This 110199-nucleotide long non-coding RNA is filed under the name Lactuca sativa (garden lettuce). RNAcentral describes it as "long non-coding RNA (LSAT_LNC004315)". The record is from RNAcentral. Lineage: Eukaryota; Viridiplantae; Streptophyta; Magnoliopsida; Asterales; Asteraceae.
UCCAACAGUUUGUUUCCAGAUUUCCAAUUUGUUUGACAAAGAACUUAAUUGAACACAUCAACUUAGUUCUGACCGGGCCCGGUACAUAGGUCAAAACAAAAUCAUCGAGGGGCCUAGAUAUCAGCUUCUAAUCCAAGAAGGAACAGAUAAACUUCGACUCAUGUGUUUGAUCUACUACUUAUUGAAUCAUACACAACAUCACGUUUUAUAACAUCAAGUUACGAAUGCGUUUUCGUACAAUCAAUGCAUAACCAACUCAUAGGCACAAAUCAUAUCUCUAGGUUUGAAGACUUGUAUGAUAUUACCGUCUCACGAUCACUCAACAUAAAUUCCAUGAAGUCAUUCCAGUAAGCAUGGGUUGAGUCCAAUGCUAAGAACUUAUGAGCACUCAUGAGUGUUGUAGCCAUGUCCAGCAACUUAGACCUCUGCAACCAAUCAUGACAGUCUUGAUUCAUACCUACGUCCGACAUAUGACCCACUGUGGAGGUUCGAAUAAUAUGAUAUACCAAACAUAAUUAUUCUGGAAGUCAAACCAUGCAAAAGAAAUAUAGUAAACGAUCAACAAGAGAUAGUAACACUUUACUCAUAAAUAAAACACUUUUAGUCAUCAUCUAAUGUCAAUUACACUUUACAAAUUUCAAGGUUAUCUAACUACUAAAUCUAAUAUCAUCCUUCGGCCCUAUGCUCCGAGCAUGCUGGAGAUGCUUAUCCCAACUCAGUCUCUUCGUGAGGGGAUCUGCUGGAUUCUCAUCCGAUGAUACCCUCUUUGCCACGAGGAAUCCUUCUUCUAUUCGAUGUCUGAUGAAAUGGUAUUUUCUUUCGAUGUGUCUGGAUCUCCAGUGAUCCCUUGCUUCCUUGGCUAAGGCAACUGCACUUUCACUAUCACCGAAAAUUUCCAUUGGCUCCUUAAUAGAUGGUACAACUCCAAGGUCUCCAAUGAAGUUCUUCAGCCAUAUCACUUCCUUUGUUGCCUCGCUAGCUACUAUAUACUAUGAUUUGCAAGUUGAAUAAGCCAUUGUCUCUUGAUUAGAACUCUUUCAAGAAAUUUCUCCUCCGUUUAAGGUAAAGACCCAUCCUGACUGAGAGCAGAAAUUAUCCCUAUCAGUCUAGAAGCUAGCAUCACUAUACCCUAUAACUCUCAAGUCUUCACUCCCACCGAGGGUAAGGACCCAGUCCUUAGUCCUCCGUAGGUACUUGAGGAUAUUCUUUACCGCAGUCCAGUGUGCCUUGCCAGGGUUCCUCUGAUACCUGGUAACCAUGCUCAAGGCAAAGGCUGCAUAAGGUCGAGUACACAUCAUAGCGUACAUGAUCGACCCUACAGCCGAAGCAUAAGGUAUUCGACUCAUUUCUGCUAUCUCAGCCUCAGUACUAGGGCUUUGUGUCUUACUCAAUCUGGCCUUACUCUGGAUGGGUAACCCUCCUUUUUUGGAGUCCUGCAUUCCGAAUCUCUUCAUCACCUUAUCCAAGUAGGUACUCUGACUAAGUCCAAUUAGUCUUUUACUCCGGUCUCUGAAGAUCCUUAUCCCUAGAAUAUAGGUAGCUUCUCCUAGGUCCUUCAUAGAGAAACACUUCCCAAACCAGGACUUAACUUCCUGCAGAGUUGGGAUGUCAUUUCCUAUGAGUAGUAUGUCAUCCAUAUACAACACCAAAAACCUAACUAUACUCCCACUAGCCUGGACAUAUACACAAGAUUCAUCUUCACUCCUAGGAAAGCCAAAUUUUUUGACAUUCUCAUCAAAAGCAAAGAUUCCAUCUGCGAGUUGCUUCCUUUAACCCAUAAAUGCAUUUCUCAAGCUUACACACUCUAUUAGGGUACUCUGUGUUGACAAAACCCCCUGGCUGACUCAUGUAAACAUCCUCAACCAACUUUCCAUUAAGGAAAGCAGUUUUGACAUCCAUUUGCCAUAUUUCAUAGUCAUGAAAUGCAACUAUGGCUAACAUAACCCUAAUAGACUUAAUCUUGGCCACUAGAGAAAAGGUCUCAUCAUAAUGAACUCCAGGAGUAUGUGAGAAACCCUUUGCAACCAAUCGUGCCUUAUAAGUGUGUACAUUACCAUCCAUGUCAGUCUUCUUCUUGAAGAUCCAUUUGCACCCUAUAGUCUUACGACCUGGUACAUUCUUAACCAAGUUCCAAACUUGAUUGUCAUACAUGGACUGUAUCUCGCUUUCCAUUGCCUCUUUCCACUUGGUUGACUCAGGCCUGCCAUGGCUUCCACAUAACUGUUAGGUUGAUCCAGACCUAUCAGUGUCUCAUCACUGAUAAGUGUAUCACCUUCUGCAGUAAUAUGGAAUCCAUAGUAAUGCUCAGGUGCAUUCCUAACCCUUGUGGAACGCCUAAGAGGUACAGACUUGUCAAUUGGCUCAACAGGAAUUUCCUCCUCAAGUUGAGUGCUAGGGUAUGAAGUUCCUGCACCACUUGACUCUUGAAUUUCUUCAAGGUCAACUUGCCUCCCACUGUUUCCUUGGCUUAUAAACUCUCUCUCUCUCUCUCUCUCUCAAGACAGCCCUUCUAGCUACAAAGACCACAUUUUCACUAGGUCUGUAGAAGAAGUAACCAAAGGAUUGUUGUGGGUAGCCGAUGAAAAUACACCUCUCGCUUCGGGGUUCGAGCUUAUCAUGAGUCUCGCGUCUCACAAAAGCCUCACAACCCCAAAUCUUCAUGUGGUCUAGUUUGGGUACUGUACCAGUCCACAUCUCAUGAGGAGUUUUUGCAACAUUAUUUGUAGGGACAACAUUAAGGAUAUGGGAGGUAGUCUCUAAGGCAUACCCCUAAAAUGAGAUUGGUAGCGAAGCUCGACUCAUCAUCGAACAAACCAUAUCCAACAAGGUUCAAUUUCGCCUCUCAGCUACACCAUUCAAUUGCGGUGUCCUAGGAGGUGUCAAUUGUGAGACAAUCUCACAUUCCUUAAGAUAGUCGAGGAACUCUAAACUAAGAUACUCACCACCUCGAUCGGAUCGAAGCAUCUUAAUGUUCCUGCCUAAUUGAUUCUCGACUUCCAUUUUAAAUUCUUUAAACCUUUCAAUAGUGUCUGACUUAUGCUUGAUUAAGUAGACAUAUCCAUAUCUACUGUAAUCAUUAGUGAAAGUCAAAUAAUAACGAUUAGCAUCCCUUGUAACAUGUUUGAAGGGUCCAUACACAUCCGUGUGUACGAGAUCCAACAAACCUUCACUCCUCUCACAAGAACCUGUGAAGGGUGACUUUGUCAUUUUUCCAAGUAAGCAUGAUUCGCAACUAUCAUCUGACUUUAGGUCAAAUGUCUCCAAGACUCCAUCCUUUUGGAAUUGGCCUAUGCGUUUCUUGCUUAUACGUCCAAGACGACAAUGCCCUAAUGAUGCUUUAUCCAAGUUAUUAUCAUUAACAAAAUCAAUACAAAAUACAUUAUUUCCUAAGUUAUCGAUCAUAGAUACAGAUUCAUACACACCAUGACAAGGUAAUGCUUUAAAAUAAAGAACAUUAUUAAAGAAAGCAUUAAUUGAACCAACUUCAUUAUCAAAUGAAAAGGUGAAACCUUGUUUAUACAAUGCAUGAAAGGAAAUAAUAUUUCUUGCCAUUUCUGGUGAAUAAAAACAUUUAUUCAAAUCUAAACCAACUACUUAGCGAUAAAGUAUAAACUCCAAUCUUGGUGACAAGCAAAGCUUUCCUAUUGCCCAUGAUUAAGUUUAUUCUUCCUUGCUCCACAUUCUCACUUCUUCUUAGUCCCUGCAAAUCAGAACAUAUAUGAAUACCACAACCGGUAUCAAGGACCUAAGAGUUAGAAUGGGGUGAUUUAUUAGAUAAGAUACUGUAAAUACCUGCAUGGUUGGGUUUAACUUUCCCAUCCUUCACAUCUUGCUGGUACUUUGGCCAGUUCCUCUUCCAAUGUGACUUUUCAUGGCAAUAGAAGCAUUCAGCCUCUUUUGGGUCAGAAGGCAGAGUGACGAAACCUUUCUUGGUUCCACUUGAAGAAGAGCCAUCAAGGUGUUGGAUAUAGUGUCUAAGUCCAUAACUAUAUUUGGUAUCUACUUGACCCGAACCGGCAUGGUCCAUUUGGGUUGCACUUCACCCGAACAAUUUAUGGAUAAUCUUUUGAGAAUAGUAUAAGUUCUAAUAUAUUAAUAUAAAAUCAUAUUAUUUAAUUAGUAUUGAUCUAUAAUUAAUCUAGGACUAAUUUAGAGAUCAAAAGUAUUAGUAAUUAAAUAUGGGCUUUUAUAUUUAUAUAGUGUGGGCUAAUGCUUAUUUGGAAUGGGCUAGGCUUGGAUGGAAAGUCCAUGGAGACCCCAUGGAGCUUUAAGCCAUGGAUCUCAUGGAAAUGAAGAGACAUGGGUAUUAGGGUUUACAUGGAUGUAACGCUAAUCCACGACACUAUAUAAAGGAGGCUUUGGUUCUUGAAUUCACACUAGUUGUGGUGAGCAAAGUAAGAGGGCCGAUUUCAAGAUAGUUGUGACUAUUCUCUCAAGGUUCCAAAGUUUGUUGUGAUUUGUGAUUUCCAUUUGAGGCAUCUACACUAUUGGUGCUAGGCUCUAAAACGCCAAGCAAUCAACUACAACUAAAAGGUAGGUAAUUCUACUAGCUUUAUUUGAUUCAAGUUCCGCAUGCCAUGCUAGAUAGGAUAAGAACCUUGGAAAAAUAAUUAUUUGAAUGUAUCUUAGUUAAACAUAGAUCCAAGGUUUCUAGGGUUUCAUGUACAUCAUAGGAGUGUUAGAAUGCUCAAAACCCAUCAGUGGUAUCAGAGCCUAGGCUUGUUUGUUUUGAUACUUGAUGCAAAAUAUUGGAAAAAGUCGAUUUUUUGCUGUCUGCCUACUGAACUCACCGAUUCCAUGGGGGGACUCGCCGAGUUCAUGUGUAACUUCAUCCUACUCGCCGAGUAGGUUCGUGCACUCGACGAGUAGGAGCCUCAUAAUGCAGAUUUUCGACUUUUGCUGCUGGAAAUGGACUAGAAACAUUACCUUAAACUGUUUUGGUGUUAUAAAACUUAUUUUAGAUGGUGUAAUGUUUAUGCUAAUCCAUUUACAAUGGCUAUAAUAAAAAGUUACAAGUUUUAUGAGUAAUUUAUGAUUCUUGAAAUGUUCAUAUUCAUGUUCUUGAACUUAUGAAGAUUAGAUGAUCAUAGGAAUUGUUUGUAACCUACUUGGUAGUUUAAUUCUUGAUCAUAAUGUGUUUUAGUGGAGUCCAUAACUAGUCCUCAAGUUAUGGAAAACCAAGAGUCACACUUGAAUUAAAACCAUUAAAAGAACACAAGAGUUAGAAAAUGAAAAGUCUUCAUUUUAAUACUCAAUUAACUUCAUAAGUUAUCAGAAAUGAAAAGUUUUGAAGGUUUACAAAACUUGCCCUCAANUUAUGAAUACUUUAAUUCCAAGUUAGCCCUUAGAAUUUUAAAAGUUAAAAUUCAACCCUUAUACUUUAUAAUAUUAUAAGUUAAUAAUAUAUAUAUGUAUAAGAGUAAAGUCAGUCUUACCGCUAGUACGCCUCAUUCACGAAGCCGGUCUAUAAGGGGGGUAUAAGGUUGUUGCCUAUAAAAUGGCAACUUAAUGGGUGUCCACUCUCACCCACCGCUUCCUUGAUCGGUGGAGGGUCGUUAGCCGAACGGGUAGGACAAGGACUUAUAAAUUCUCAUUAAAAGUAUAAUGAUAAUACUAAAGUAACUAAACUUUAUUGAAUUCCCAAUCUUAGUUAUUUUAGGAAAAUGUGAAUAAGGUGCUAAUCCAUGAAAUUACACUUUACACUUUGUUUAAGUCGUUAGUGGAGCGUGUGUGGUUUACCGGCACACUAACUUGAACAUAACAGUGUAGGUAAAGGGUGACUUAAUGUUUAUCAUAGUAUCGAUGGAGCGUAUGUGGUUUACCGAAACAUCGAUUGAGGGGUAAUACAUUGAGGGUACCAAGUAAUUUGCAUGGUUACUUCACACCUUGUUUUGUGAUCCUCGGCAUCCCAGUCACAAAACUUGAAGGGCACACUCGAGAUUGAAACAUGCCAUUGAAGAAAGUUCAAUGAAUCUCAAAGAAUCUAGGAGUUUCUAAACCAAUUAAAACCUAAUUAAAAAUUUCGUUUUUCAUGGUGGAAAUUGGUGAAUCGUCAUUCACCUACCUUCAAAUAUCUUAUAGCUUAGAUUACGGCAUCCCUCUUCUAAGUUAUAAAAUAUUGUGUUGGGUCCUAGCCUUAAUACUACAUUUGGGUGUUUUAUUAAGGACUAUCUCUAAAUCUAAUCUAAUCUAUUCCCUCUUCUGUUCUGAUGUUUUCAAAUAACAAUGCUUCUGGCUCUAACCCUACUAGCUCCUUCUCUCUCAUGAAUCUUUGUGGGAGAGUCAUCUUUGAUGGAUCCAACUUUACUGAUUGGAUCAGAAACAUCAGGAUGGUUACUCGAUAUGAGAACAAAGAAUAUGUUCUCAACAAGGAGUUGAAGGUGCCCGAGCCAACUGCUACUCCUGAAGAGCUUACUGAAUAUGAGGUACAUGAAAGAGAUGCUACAAAAGUGGCAUGCAUCAUGAUGGCCACCAUGACAGCGAGCUCCACAAGUCCUACGAGGACUAUUAUCCUUUUGAGAUGCACCAGGACUUGAUGGACCGCUACCAUCAAAGUGCUCGUCAAGAGCGAUAUGAAAUAAUCUCCUCCAUGAUAACAACCCGAAUGAAGGAUGGUGAACCCAUCACAGGCCACAUGCAGAAAAUGCAAAGGUAUGUGGACCGUUUACAAAAGCUGAAUGUGAACUUCCCCGAGGAGUUAGCAAUAGACAUCAUUUUGCACUCCUUACCAUCGUGUUAUGAUUAAAUCCGCAUGACAUAUCACAUGAACAAGGAAGAAGCCACCCUCAGCAAACAUCAAGGACUCUUGAAGACCGCCGAAAGUGGUCUAGUGGGUAAGUUGAUUGUUACUACUCCUACUCUUACUCCAACUGCGGCCAAGGUCUUGGCAAUCGGGCAUGGCAAAGGAAAGAAGAGAAAGAACCCUUCUAAGGGUACCAAGGGUAAGACCCUUGAAGGCUCUUCCUCAAGCAAAACCAAGAAAGGUUUUGUCACUCCGUCUGCUAACCCUAAUGAGGCUGAAUGCUUCUAUUGCCAUGAAAAGUCGCACUGGAAGCGAAACUGCCGAAAGUACCUGCAAGAUUUGAAGGAUGGGAAAGUAAAACCCAACCAUGCAGGUAUAUACAUUAUAUUGUCUAAUAACUCACCUCAUUCUAAGUCUUGGGUCCUUGACACAGGUUGUGGUAUUCACAUAGGUAGAGAUUUGUAGGGACUAAGAAGAAGUGAGAAUGUGGAGUUGGGAAAGAUAAACUUGAUCAUGGGAAACAGGAAAGCUUCACCUGUCACCAAAAUAGGAAUUUAUUCCUUAGUGGUAAAUAGUGGGUUUACAUUAGAUUUGAAUAAAUGUUAUUAUUCGCCAGAAAUGGAAAGAAAUGUUAUUUCCUUUCAUGCAUUGUAUAAACAAGGUUUUACCUUUUAUUUUUAUAAUAAUAAUGGUAGUAUUCAUGCUUUUUUUAAUAAUGUUCUUUAUUUUAAAGCAUUACCUAGUGAUGGCGUGUAUGAAACUGUAUCUGUUGUAGAUAAUCUAGGAAAUAAUGUAUUGUGUAUUGACUUUUCCACUGGUUUAGAUAAAGCAUCUUUAUGGCAUUGUCGUCUUGGACAUGUAAGGAAGAAACGCAUAGGCCAACUCCAAAAGGAUGGAGUCUUGGAGUCAUUUGACCUAAAGUCAGAUGAUAGUUGUGAAUCUUGUUUGCUUGGUAAAAUAACAAUGUCACCUUUUACUGGCACUUGUGCUAAGGGUGAAGGUUUGUUGGACCUCAUACACACGGAUGUGUGUGGACCCUUCAGAACCGCCACAAGAGAUGCUAAUCGGUUCUAUGUGACUUUCACUGAUGAUUUUAGUAGAUAUGGAUAUGUCUACCGAAUAUGGCAUAAUUCAGAAACCUUUGAGAAAUUCAUAGAGUUUAAGCAAGAAGUAGAUAAUCAGUUGGGCAGGAACAUUAAGAUGCUUCGAUCUGAUCGUGGUGGUGAGUAUCUUAGUACUAAGUUCCUUGACUAUCUUAAGGAAUGUGGGAUUAUCUCACAAUUUCCACCUCCUAGGACACAACAGUUGAAUGGUGUAGCUGAGAGGUGCAAUCGGACCUUGUUGGACAUGGUUCGUUCCAUGAUGAGUCGAGCUUCGCUACCAAUCUCAUUUUGGGGGUGUACCUUAGAGACUGCCGCCCAUAUCCUUAAUCCAGUCCUUACAAAGAAGGUUGCCAAAACACCUCACGAGAUGUGGACUGGAAAAGUUCCCAAUCUACUCAUAGGAAAUGACAUCCCAACCCUGCAGGAAGUAAAGUACUGGCUUGGGAAGUGUUUCGCUAUGAAGGACCUUGGUGAAGCUGCCUAUAUCAUAGGGAUAAGGAUUUUGAGAAACUGGAGUAAAGACUAAUUGGACUUAGUCAAAGCACCUACGUGGACAAAGUGUUGAAAAGAUUCAACAUGCAUAACUCCAAGAAAGGUGAGUUACACAUUCAGAGUAACGCGAGAUUGAGUAAGACACAAAGCCCUAGUACAGAGGCUGAGAUAGCAGAAAUGAGUCGAAUACCUUAUGCUUCAGCUGUAGGAUCGAUCGUGUAUGCUAUGACGUGUACUCGACCUGAUGUAGCCUUUGCUUUGAGCAUGGUUAGCAGGUAUCAGUGAAACCCUAGCAAGGCACGCUGGACUGCGGUAAAGAAUAUCCUCAAGUACCUACGGAGGACUAAGGACUGGGUCCUUACCCUCGGUGGGAGUGAUGACCUACGAGUUGUAGGGUACAGUGAUGCUAGCUUCUAGACUGACAGGGAUAAUUUCCGCUCUCAGUCGGGCUGGGUCUUUACCAUAAAUGGAGGGGCAAUUACUUGGAAAGGUUCCAAGCAGGAUACAGUGGCUGAUUCCACUUGUGAAUCAGAGUAUAUAGCAGCAAGCGAGGCAGCAAAUGACGCUAUAUUGCAAAAGAACUUCAUUGGAGACCUUGGAGUUGUACCAGCUAUAAAGGAGCCAAUGGAGAUUUUCUGUGACAGCAAUAGUGCGGUUGCCUUAGCCAAGGAACCAAGAGAUCAUGGGAGAUCCCGACACAUUGACAGANUCAUCAGACAUCGAAUAUAAGAAGGAAUCCUCAUGGCAAAGAGGGUAUCAUCGGAUGAGAACCUAGCAGAUCCAUACACGAAGGGAUUGACUCGGGCUAAGCAUCUACAGCAUGCUCGGAGCAUAGGGCUGAAGGAUGAUAUUAGUUUUAGCAGUUAGAUAAUCUUGAAAUUUGUAAAAUGUAAUUGACAUUCAAUGAUAAAUAAAAGUUGUUAUUUAUGAGUAAAUUGUUGCUAUCACUUGUCGAUCGUUUACUAUAUUUCUUUUGCAUGUUUUGACUUCCAGAAUAAUUAUGUUUGGUAUAACAUAUUAUUUGAACCUCCACAGUCGGUCAUAUGUCGGAAGUAGGUAUGAAUCAAGACUGUCAUGAUGGGUUGUAGAGGUCUAAGGUGUUGGACAAGGCUACAACAAUCAUGAGUGCUCAUAAGUUCUGAGCAUUGGACUCAACCCACGCUCACUGGAAUCACUUCAUGGAAUUUUAUCUCGAGUGAUCGUGAGACGGUAAUAUCAUAUAAGUCUUCAAACCUAGAGAUAUGAUUUGUUACUUACGAGUUGGUUAUGCAUUGAUUGUACGAAAACGCAUUGGUAACUCGAUGUUAUAAAACGUGCCUUUGUGUAUAAUUCAAUGAGUGGUAGAGCAAACAUAUGAGUCGAAGUUUAUCUGUUCCUUCUAGGAUUAGAAGCGAUAUCUGGGCCCCUCGAUGAUUUUGUUUUGACCUAUGUACCGGGCCCGGUCAGAACUAAAUUGAUGUGUUCAGUUAAGUUCUAUGUCAAACAAAUCGGAAAUCGGGAAACAAAUGUUGGACAAUAAGCAAGACCAUGUUCCAUGUAUUUGUCCGGCUGAUAUCUAGAACAGAGGAUUAUAUGAUCACUUAUCUAAAAUGGCGCGUUCUAGUUCAACAGAGUUUAAAGAGCUACGAUUGCUGAUCGGUUCCUGAAGUCAUACUUGCAACUAUAGUUAUUAGACUUAUCCAAGUGGGAGACUGUUGGAUAUAGUGUCUAAGUCCAUAACUAUAUUUGGUAUGUACUUGACCCGACCCGGCAUGGUCCAUUUGGGUUGCACUUCACCCGAACAAUUUAUGGAUAAUCUUUUGAGAAUAGUAUAAGUUAUGAUUUAUUAAUAUAUUAUAAGUUCUAAUAUAUUAAUAUAAAAUCAUAUUAUUUAAUUAGUAUUGAUCUAUAAUUAAUCUAGGAUUAAUUUAGAGAUCAAAAGUAUUACUAAUUAAAUAUGGGCUCUUAUAUUUAUAUAGUGUGGGCUAAUGCUUAUUUGGAAUGGGCUAGGCUUGCAUGGAAAGUCCAUGGAUACUCCGUAGAGCUUUAACCCAUGGAUCUCAUGGAAAUGAAGAGCGAUGUAACCCUAAUCCACCAGACUAUAUAAAGGAGGCUUUGGUUCUUGAAAUCACACUAGUUGUGGUGAGUAAAGUAAGAGGGCCGAUUUCAAGAUAGUUGUGACUAUUCUCUCAAGGUUCCAAAGUUUGUGGUGAUUUGUGAUUUCCAUUUGAGGCAUCCACACUAUUGGUGCUAGGCUCUAAAACUCCAAGCAGUCAACUACAACUACAAGGUAAGUAAUUCUACUAGCUUUAUUUGAUUCAAGUUCCCCAUGCCAUGCUAGAUAGGAUAAGAACCUUGGAAAAAUAAUUAUUUGCAUGUAUCUUAGUCAAACAUAGAUCCAAGGUUUCUAGGGUUGCAUUUAUACCAUAGGAGUGUUAGAAUGUUCAAAACCCAUCACAAGGGUCCUAGCCUUGGUACCCUUCGAAGAGCUCUUCCUCUUCUUCCCUCGACCUUUCCCGAUUGCCAAAACUAGGGCGGAGUUUGGAGUACGAGUGUUAACAACCGACUUACCCUUAAGACCUGUUUCUGUGGUCUUGAGAAGUCCCUAAAGUUUGCUGAGUGUGACCUUUUCCUUAUUCAUGUGAUAUGUCAUGCGGAAUUGAUCAUAACACGAGGGUAAGGAGUGCAAAAUGAUAUCGAUUGCAAGCUCCUCAAGGAAGUCCACAUUAAGCUUCAACAACCAAUUCACAUACCUUUGCAUUUUCUGCAUGUGGCUUGUGACGGAUUCCUCGUCUUUCAUCAUGAUUGUUAUGAUGGAGCAGAUGAUUUCAUACCUCUCUUGUCUUGCACUUUGAUGGUAUCUUUCCAUUAGAUCUUGGUGCUUUUCAAAUGGGUAGAAGUCCUAAUAGGACUUUACGACUUCCGCUGUCAUGGUGGCCAACAUGAUGCAUGCCACUUUUGUAGCAUCCCUUUCAUGUGCCUGGAAGUCAGCUAUCUCAUGGGGAGUUGCAGUGGUCUCAUCAAUCUCCUUAAGCUCCUUGUCAAGGACAUAUUCUUUGUCCAUGUAUUGGGUAAUCAUCCUGAUGUUUCUGAUCCAUUCAUUGAAGUUGGAUCCAUCAAAAGUGACUUUCCCACACAAGUUCAUAAGGGUAAAGGAGCCAUUAGGAUUAGAGCCAGAAGCAGCAUUGUUUGAAGACAUCUGAAAGAAGAGAAAAAUAUUAGUUUAGAUAAUAAGAGAGUCCUUAAUAAAACACCCAAAUGUAAUAUUAAGGCUAGGAUCCAAUCACAAUAUAAUAUAACUUAGAAGAGGUAUGCCGUAAUCUAAGCUAUAUCAUAUUUGAAAGGUAGGUGAAUGACGAUUCACUAAUUUCCACCAUGAAAAACGAAAUAUAGAUAUUAGGCUUUUAAUUGGUUCUUAGAAAUUCCUAAAUUCUUUUGAGAUUCAAUGAACUUUUCAAAGGCAUGUUUCAAUCUCGAGUGUGCCCUCAAACUUUUGUGACUGGGAUACCGAGGAUCACAAAACAAGGUGUAAAGUAACCAUGCAAUCGAUGUACAGAUAAACAAGACAGGCUCCACUGAUACUAUGAUAAACCUUAAGUCACCCUUUACCUACCUUGUUAAGUCCAAGUUAGUGUGCCGGUUAACCACACACGCUCCACCAACGACUUAAUCAAAGUGUAAAGUGUAAUUUCAUGGAAUAGCACCUUAUUCACAUUUUUCCUAAAGUAACUAAGAUUGGGAAUUUAAUAAAACAUUUAGUUACUUUAUAAUAUUCAUCAUACUUUGAAUGAGAAUUAAUAAGUCCUUGUCUUACCCGUUCGGCUAACGACCCUCCACCGAUCAAGCAAGCGGUGGGUGAGAGUGGACACCCAUUAAGUUGCCAUUUUAUAGGCAACAACCUUAUACCCACCUUAUAGACCGGCUUCGUGAAUGAGGCGUACUAGCGGUAAGACGACUUGAUCUUAUACAUAUAUAUAUUAUUAACUUAUAAUAUUAUAAAGUAUAAGGGUUGAAUUUUAACUUUUAAAAUUCUAAGGGUUGGAACUAAAGUUUUAAUCAAGACUUUACUUGUUCCAAAACUUGAGGGCAAGUUUUGUAAACUUUCAAAACUUUUGAUUUCUUAUAACUUAUGAAUUAAUUGAGUAAUAAAAAGGAAGACAUUUCAUUUUUAUAACUCUUGUGUUCUUUUAAUGGCUUUAAUAAAAGUGAGACUUUUGGUUUUCCAUAACUUGAGGACAAGUUAUGGACUCCAUUAAAACACAUUAUGAUCAUGAAGUAAACUACCAUGAAGGUUACAAACAAUUCCUAUGAUCAUCUAAUCUUCAUACGUUCAAGAACAUGAAUAUGAACACAUUCAAGAAUAAAAAAAUUACACUUAAAAACUUGUAAUUUUGAUAAUUGCCAUUGUAAAUGGAAUAGCAUAAACAUUACACCAUCUAAAACAAGUUUUAAAACACCAAAACAGUUUAGGGUAAUGUUUCUAGUCCAUUACCAAUAACAAAUGUCGAAAUUCUGAAAACUACAGCCUUUACUCGUUGAGUGCAAGAACAGACUCUACGAGUAGCUUGCAUUUGUUUAUGGACUCGUCGAGUCCCCCCAUGGACACAGCGAGUUCAUACGAGCAGAAAACAGAAAAUCGAUUUUUUCAAGCAGUUUGCAUAAAAAAUCAACAAACAAGCCUAGGCUCUGAUACCACUGAUGGGUUUUGAGCAUUCUAACACUUCCUAAGUGUGCAUGUUUGGGGAGAACACCUUUGUUUAUAUAGUGUGUUACAUUAGGUAAACCCUAAUGUAACAUGACUCUUCAUUUCAUAAUCCAUGGGUUAACUCCAUGGAGCAUCCAUGGAGCAUCCUAUGGGUGGAACCUAACUUGAUAAUCCAUGGAGCCUCUUAGCCCACUAUAUAGGAUAUGGAAGAUUUACAUAAUCUACCCAUAUAUUUAAUUAGUUAUCUUUUGAUCACUUAAUUAGUUCUAAAUUAAUUAUUGAUCAAACUAAUUAAAUAAUAUUAUUAAUAUAUUAGAACUUAUAAUAUAUUAAUAAACCAUAAGUGUUAUUUGUCUCAUCGUAGUUUAUCCAAUUGCAUGGUGCCAUGCAACCCAAAUGAACCAUGCCGGGUCGGGUCAACUACAUACCAGAAAUAGUUAUGGACUUACACACCUUAUCCAACAGCUUUGUAUGAGGUUGUUGUUGCUACAACCACCGCAGCCGUUACAGCUGCAUGGGUUGGUUCGGGUGGGGUUUUUUUUCAUGAAUUGUUAUGGAUGUUAAAGUUAUCAUGCCAGUAUUGACCAACCACCUUUUGAGAUGUUGUAUGCGAGGAAGUGUUGGACCUCGGUUUGUUAGGGCAUCGGGUCAUGAGGAAUAUUGAAGUGGUGCUUAAGCCCACUGAGUUGAUUCAAUAAGUGUGCGACAAUAAGUAUGCAGACCGACAACGCUUAGACCUCGAUUUUUAGGUGGGGACUUGGUGCUUCUGAAGCUGUCACCUUGGAAAGGUGUCAUCCGGUUUCAGAAGAGGGGAAAGUCAGGCCCCUGGUUUAUUGGUCCAUUAAGGUUUUUCACCCGAGUAGACAGGGUUGCAUACCAGAUGGAUAAUCUCAAUGAGCUCAGACAAAUCCACAACACCUUUUAUGUCUCUCAAUUGCGGAAGUGUGUAGCUGAUGAUUCGGGGGUGAUUUCUUCGGAUGAUAUUAAGGUCGCUAGGCACCUAAAUUAUUUGUAAAUUCUGAUUGUGAUUCUCAACAGAAAGACCAAGACUUUGCGUAAUAAGGUGGUGAACUUGGUGAAGCUAUAAUGGUAGCACCGGAAGGGCUCAGAGUGGAUGUGGGAGCCUGAGGAUGAGAUGUAGGAGCACUACCCAUACUUUUUUGUAAUAGCGGACUUCGAGGAUGAAGUCUGAUUCAAGUGAGGUAGAUUUGUAUAGUAUUCCAAGUAUUUUCAUUCUAUCAUUGAUUCCUUAAAAGAUUGCAUAAUUGGUCGCUACGCUGGACCUACGAGAUAGGUACGUCAGGCAUAGGUCCCUAAAGAUAGUCGUGUAUUCCCUCGCGUACACUAAGCAUACUCAUGCAGAGGGAAAACGCUAAUUUUUAGGGUUUGGAUGCUAUUUAAAUAACUUUAUGGCCUUAAAUCCUUUCUUACCUCUAGCCUCCAUCUCUCUUAGCCUCCAUCUUGAAACCUUAAUUCUUGUGUGUGAGUGUUGAAUCUUUAGAAUGACAUUUUGGUGUUGUUGGUGGUGAAGGAAGACCUUUGGAGUUGUUAUGUUGCUCUCAAGCCUUUGGAUCUAGAUUCUUCUCAUCUUUGUGCAUCUUUUGGAGGUAUAAAGUUCAAAUCUUGAUGUUUGCCUUGCUAGAUGUUGUUAGGUUGCAAGUUAUGACCUUUUUGUCCUAAAACCUUGGUCUCUUGAAUAUUGUCUACUCUAGACCGUUUGAGCUAUCCUUUCAAGCAUUUUAGAGUGUUUUGAUAAAAAUGCAAGCUUGGACCUUGUUAUUUUUCCAUCUAGUAGUUAUGGAGUUUUAGAUGGUUAGAUGAGUUAGGGUUUUGGUGUUGGUGUCCUUGUAGCCAUGCAAAGGCAUAAAUGUCGCAACUUUAUGAUUUUAAACGUUUAUUAGGCUUAGAACUGAAUUGUGGACAUUAAGUCUUAACACAUUAAGACCAUUAGUUUAGAGUUUAGACUUCAUGGUAUUAUGAUGGGAGUAAUUCUAUAGACGAUGAUCGUAGUGGGCUGAUGCCCCGUAACCCCUUCGUGAUCGAGUUGUACGCUGCGCGUAGCAAGGACUAUGCCGAAGGUACUCUCAGAAAACCUUUUCGACCACUUUUGGGACUUGGGAUCUAGGAUUUUUGGGGACUUGGCUAGUUGGGUCAUGAAUGGGAAGGGGAAAAUGGUCUUUUUUUCUUAGAUAGAUAAAGGAUGAAUGUGACCUUCGUAUAAGGAUUAGAUCCUGACUACUAAUUUGUGUUGUUAUUGGGUUAUGAUUAGUGUGAGGAGUCAUGUUAGCAGCAACUCGAGUGUGUUGUUCAGUUAUCUUUAGUUUGAGGUAAGUAUUCCUACCAUACUUGUAGGCCAAAGGCCCCAAGGCCAACCCAAUGAUUCGUAUGUGUAUAACGUAUGCUAUUAUGUGGCUAUUACUGAUGUGAUCGUAUGAUAUAUGCAUGGCGCCAAUCUAGGAGAAAACACAUUAUGGGCUUGGGGUUGAUAUGGACUCGGAGGUUGAUAUGGACCCGACACACCUAUUCGUUGUUCCAUGGGGUUAAAACGGACCUGGGGGUUGUUACGGACCUGACACAACCACGUGUUGUUAUAUUAUGUGUAUAGAAUAUAUGGUAUUUUAGGGAAACUCGCUAACCUUUGUGCUUACAGUUAUGUUUUCGGUUUUAGGUACUUCUGGUAAAGAAGGGAAGAGCCCGACAUAAUGACACUACAUUCUCCCCCUCACGAUUUUCGCAUUUAUGAUCUCUUUUACUGUGAUAUUUUGUGAUACUUGUAUUUUGGAUGAUUUCGAGACAUGUGAUGUUUGGGAUUGAUGAGCUUAAAAAUAAAAUUUUUACUUAUGAAUUUUGGUCGCUACAUUUAAUGAUAGUUGUUAUCGGUAAGUCAUGUCUACCCACCGACAACUUUUACAUGGCAUGAAGUAUAUCAAUUGACAAAAUAAUGAAACAGACUAUUGGAAAAAAUGACCUUGCCUUUUUCAUAAUAACAUUUUUUUCCAAUCAAGCUAGUACAUUUUCAUUGUUGAUUUCUUGUUGAAGGAUAUUUAAAGAUAAUUUCAAAUAAUGCAUGUUAUAUAUGUUUUGCUUGUUUGCUAAUAGAAUCAUUCCAUUACACUAUUGCGACCAAUUAUCACCCAUAAAAUUUUACCAAUAAUCAUACAAUAAUACCCAUGAUAUGAAUCUGGUUAGAUAAUAAUUAUGGCCAAUUCUAUGGAAUUGGACAUAUUUAUUAUGAAUGUGACUUAUGUUUAGUACCCAAGGCAUUCCUUAAGCCUCCAUAGGAUCUAGUUCCAACCUUUGUCACUCUCUGUAAUUCCUAAACCAAACCCUAACAGUACUUCGUCGUAGUGCCUUAGAAAUUCUUGAAUGUAGAAAAAAUAUGGUACAAGUAUUAGUUAAACUAUAACUUCAAAUACAUAAUACAUACAUUACAUACACAUCCAAAGGCCAUGAAAGAUAACUCAAACUGGCUUAUGGAAUUUUUCUUGAUUCUAUGUAAUGUUAUUAAGAUUGGUUCUUUCAAUAUUAUGAAAUAUUCUUGGUAGGUUAUUGAAGCUUUGUUGUUGAAACCCAUUUGAUGAAUUCAUUUUGAAAUACGUUGAGAUAACCAAAAUUAGUUUAAUGAAAGAAAAGUGAUAUCAAAUUGACUAAUAUUUAUAGGAAACGAUUAGGGAUUUAUUGUCUAAGUGUUACAUUACAAUUUGCUGGUGAAAUUACAAAUCACAACUAAAAUGGGAAUCCACUUGUGAAAUGAAAAAGUGUACCUUGUCGUAAUGAAAAUGUACGUUUUCAUAGUCAAAGUGAAAUGAAAAUUCACUGCUAAAAUGACAAUUCACUUCUGAAAUGACAAUUCUUUAGAGCCUGUUGAAAUUAUAAUCUACACUGAAAUAACAAUUCACAUGUGAAAUGACAAUCCACUUGGUAAAUGAAAUAUGUAACUUUUUGUAGUCAAGGUGUACAUUUUUGUAUUCAAAGUGACAUGACAAUUCACUACUGAAAUGAGAAUUCUUUAGUAAAAGGAUAACUCCAUGUUGAAAUGAUAAUACAUUGGUAAAAUGACAAAUCAUAGGUGAAAUGGCAAUCAACUGGUUGUAUGACAAAGUGUAUAUUAUUUUAGUCAAGGUGACAUGCCAAUUCACUGCUGAAAUAAAAAUUCACUAGUGAAAUAACAAUUAAAUGGUGACAUACUUCACCAAACCUCUAUAUAUAGUACAUAAAUCGCCUCAUUCCAAGAAGCUUACUCUGGUGUAUCUUCAAUUAAAUCUACCAAAUGUCAUACCAUGAUUGUAGAAGUGAAACAUUUAUAAGGACUUCAAAGACCAACACUAACCAUGGAAGAGAGUUUUAUGCUUCUCCAAAAACCGGUAUCCUAUUUUCAUUAUCUUUCUAUUCUUUAUUCUUAGCAAUAUCAAUUUAUCAUUGGUUAACCCUAAUCCAUUAUUUCUUAAAUUCACGGGGACCAUGGUGUGAGUUUAUUUGUUGGAUUGAUGAUGAAAUGAGCCAUAAAAAUUCACAGAUAAAUUAUCGGUUUUUUCGGUCAAUAACAAAUAUUGGUUUAUAUUAGGGUUAUAUAUUCUUGUCCAAAAUACUUUACAAGUUGUGACCUUUACAAGUAUCGAAUGUGUUUCUAAGUGUACUGCUAAUGAUAUGGAUUAUGAUUAGUAAUAUCAGUUGUGUUUUGUAUUAGUUGUUUUUGAUAAUAUGGAAAGUUAAUUUCUUUAUAUUCUAAUAGAAAAUUUAAAAUCUAAAUUACUAUCUAAAUAUAAUUACCUUCCUAAGUAAAAAUACAAACAUAUUGUAUCUUUAUAUGAAAAUAGAGUGAUGUUUCAUACAAUACAAAAUAAAAUCAUUAGCUUUUAACUGCGUUGUAAAAGAUCCACAAAAAAUAUUGGCCAUCGUGUAAUUAUAACUAUAAACAAAUAACUCAAAUGAACUUUAUAAAUGCAAGUCCUUAUAAUCUGACACAAAGCACUAUAAAACCAAACACACGAACAACCCACAAUCGCCUAAAGGUCCAUCUUAUUAAGGCAUAUCAUCAACUUGAAUUGGAUAUACAAUGACAUGUCAUGGUGGUAAGCCUAGUCUAACCUAGUAGCCAAUGCCUUUAAAAAUGCUAGCCACUAACUCUUAAAAUCAUAAAAAGCUUCCUUUUCUACAAAUAUGAAAUGGCGACAUAUGGUUUGAGGCUGUGGUAUAUGCAUAAAGUUGUAGACAAUCCAUAGCUUACUAUAGGUGUCAAUCGUGUCAUGUCGUGUCGGGUUCGUGUCGUGUCGAAACACUAAACGGGUUGAAAGUGCACGACCGUAACCCAAUCCAUUUAAUUAACGUGUUGUGUCGUGUCAACCCAUUCAUUUUCGUGUCGAGUUCGUGUCGGGUUUUGGGUUAGGGCUAUACCUUGAAAUAUGUCAUGUCAUGUAAGGUUAAAUGAUUACGCUUGUUGAAAGAGUAGGAGUUGGGUAGGCGGAAAGGAAAAGCUAAUAGUUUUUUAAGGCAUAAUAGAUGAAGUCAUAGCAAGUUCAGAUAACAAAAUUAAAAGAGUGGGAGUUGGGGAGGCGGAUGACAAGGUCAUGAGGAUGUGAGAGUGGUGAACGACACUGGGUAAUUUGGGAGAGAAUGGAAAAACUGAAAUGAAGUCUUGAUCUAGACGGCUAAGUCAUUUCAAAAUUACAAAAUAAUUCAAUUCGAAAGUUUUAUUAUGCUUAUGGUUUUGGUUUUGUAUCUUUCUAGAUUAUUUAAAUAAUUCAAAAAACAUGCAUAUAAAUAAACAGGUCAUUUUCGAGUUGAAAUUCUCAACCCUAACCUUAUCCAUUUAAUUUUCGUAUCAUGUCGUGUCAACCCGUUUAUUUAAAUGGGUUCAAAUAUCUUACCCAAACCUGUUUAUUUCUUGUCAGGUUCGUGUCGUGUCAAUUUUUGCAACCUCUAUAGCUUACCAAGCAGCCAAUGUUUCCCUAUGUAUAAAGUUUUNNNNGAGCCAUACCUAUUACCACACUUUUGUAGCAUCAGGCCCACUCAUUUUACUGUUAGACAAAGGUACCUAGUCUUUUUGCGGACUCAUUAGGAAGAAAGAUUGUGGCAUGAUUGUCCACCUUUGCCUUGCAGAGCCUCUCUCCACCAAAAACCGUACAUAUAUCAAAAGAAGUUGUCAUGUCAUUGCAUUUAUAGGAAAUAUAUNACAACCAUCAAAAUUCGAGUCCGUUCUAGAUUUGAAUAAACUUAGUUGCACAUAUAGGCAUGACACAUAAUAGACUUAGUAACUAGAAACUAAGUUAUAACCUGCUAGAAACUUGGAAACAAGUAGGAUCGAAUGAUAGUGUACUUAGAUUUCACAUUGAUAUGUGAAUUCUACUACUACUUAACUGUAGUGACUAUCCAUAUUUGGGUCACUCUUUGACUCGAACACCAUUUCAUGAAUCAUAUACACACAUCAUGCAUUUUACCUAGUAGUAGAAAUUAGGUCAAAGUCUCAUAGAAACUUAUGUCAAAGUUGAAGACUAGGACUAGUAUACUUGAUUCCUCAAUUUCGCUUGAGUCUCGGAAUCACUACAUAGAAUGCCAAUAAACUAAUAAAAAUAAAUUACAAACAUUAUUUAUAACUAUAAAAGAGUUAUAAUACCAUAAGAUAAUUUAAAGUCCCAAAUAUUCUAUUUUUUUGAUAUCUAAAGAUUUACAAAAUCUCAAGACCCUAAAAGCCAUAAAAGCUCAUAUUUAUAAACUUUAACCUUAAAAAUUCUAUAAAAAUAAUUAUGAAACUUAUAAUAUGAUCUUAUAAUAAUAAAAAUUAUGAAAAUGAAUUUAAGGAAAAUAAAAUUUAAGUCAUUAACAAUUACCCUAAAUUUAUAAGUCAAAAAUCAAGGUUUCAUGAGCAAAAACUUGGUUAGGGUGUAUAUUUUAUAAAAAGUUUGAUAUUUUUAUAAAAGAAUUGAAUUUUUUUAUAAAAUUAAAAGAGAGGGGGGGCAUUUUACACUCAAAACGGUCCACCCUCUUCCCAAGAUACUUUCCCUCUUCCCAAAACACAUAAUCAGUCCAUCUCCUUCACUUCUCUCUCUCUCUCUCUCUACACUUUCUCACACUCCACCAUUUACCACACUCAAACUCUCUCUUUCCAUCUCUAAAACCACGAAAUUCUCCAGACAAGAACAUCUCUUAACCUUCAAAUCUUCAUCUUCUAGGGUUGUUCUUCAUGGUAAUCACGAAAAUCCUUCAAUCUCCUUCACUUUUCUAUCUAGUUUUAAAGGUUUUUCUUGCAUUUCCAUGUUCUUCUACACCAUUCUCUUAGAAAAUUUGUGUGAAUAUUCAUUCAAUUCAGUUUUGAUGAUGAUGGUGGUAGAUUUUCACCAAAAACAUCUUGUAUGUUACAAAAUGGUGAAGACCCAUGACCUAAACCUAAGUCAAAACAAUGGAAAUACAUUUUUCUACACGUUUUGGUGGAAAAUCACCACAUGCAUCCAAAGUUUUCUUUCAAAACCUAACUUAACACAUUUCAAACUCAUUAAUGAACUUCAAACAAACAUGCAUGUGAUGAUCUUCAAGCUUAGAAGCUAGAUCAUCAAAGUAUGUUGUUAAAAACUUUCAAAUAUGUUCAUGAAGGAUUUAUUUCCAAAUAAAUAUCUAAAACUCCUUUUCUGACAAAAUCCGAUUUUUCCCAGAUUCCCAAAAAGAAUAUAAGAUGAUCUGUAAAUUUCCAGAGAAUAAUUCAUUUCUCCCGUAUUACUAUAGUUAAUGCAAUAAAAUAGAGCAAUAAAUCAUAUAAAAUACUUUCUCAGGUCUAUAAAUCCUACGGAAAUUCUUGGACGACCCUUAUGCUACAUAAAGACCCCACAUUAAAUUUCAUCGGUUUUUGUUACUUUUUAAUAUGGUUUUGAAUUUUCUUUUUGUUUGGAUCAAAUAAAUCAUAAAACCACUUUAGAAAAUGUGAAAAUGAAAUAUAACAAUUUUCGUAGUUGCUACAAGAGGUAUGAGACUCAUAAAAAUAUUUUCAGAAUUUUUCAUCAUGCAUUUCUAUUUUUCACCGAUUUUUGUAUUUAUAAUGGUUUAAAAAUAGAAAAAAUAGUUCUGCUCAUCAAAAAUUCACGACAAUUUACCAGAAUACCUUUUAAUACAUUAGGAGGCUACAUAAAUAUUUUUAUGAUUUUUCUCUUCUGUAUACUAUUUUUCUGCUAUUUUCUAAUAUUAAAUACACUUAAAUACACAAAAUCGGAUUCCAUUUGAUAAAAACCACCUUUGGGAUUUUUUCCAGAUUAUUUACACUGUAAAUGAACUUUAAAUUUUUUUUGAUAAUUUACUUUAACUGUUUAAUAAUUAUUCUUCAAUUAAUGAUUAUUUAAGAGGAUAAAACAAAGAAAAAUAGAAAGACUAAUUGAAAAAUAUCUUUUAUAUUUUUACAGAUUCUUCAUGUAUAACAAAAGUGUCACAAAAAUUUUGGGCAAUUUUGGAAACUGUUUUCUGUUUAUUUUAAUUUUUAUUAGAAUAAAUGCUCAAAAAUAAUAAAAUUUGGGUUAAAUAGUUUGGAAAUCCAUUUUUAUAUUUUUCCCAGCUUAAUUAUAUCUAAUUUCAGUAUUAUAAAAGGGUUGAAAAUUUUUAUGAUCUGGAUUCUAUUUUUCACAAAUUUAUAUUGUUAUGAAGGCUUACAAUUUUGGAAAAAUAGUUAAUCAUAUCAAAAAUUAAAAGGAGAAUUUAUGGAAUCUCUCUACUGUGUUUAGAAUCAAAAUGCAAAGCUUGAGAAAUUCUGGAAACAGUUUGAUAAUAUUUUGGCUUUUUAAGAGCUUAAAACACAUUUAAAUGUGUUCAAAUACCCUCAAUUGUUAUUACAAAAAUAUGGAAAAUUAAUAUCCAAAAUUGUCUUAAUCACAUGAACUAAAAAAAACUUCACCAUUUCAGAAAAAUGUUUGUAACUUAUCAAUAUUAAAUUUUGACACAAUAUUGGCAUAAUUCUAUUGUAGUAGCAAGUAUACUAGUGUUAGCUUUCUAUUAGAGACUCAUUAGUGUGUAACAUUGUGUAGAAAUUGAUAGUGGUAUGACUGGAGCGUAGAUCAAGGCAUCAUUUGCAUCAUCUCAAUGCAUAGUGAGUAUCCACGCACUCCCCUAUUUUUAGUUUUUAUGUUUUUGGGCAGAAAAACAUGUCCCGGAAAACUAUUAUUUGUUCGUUGUAUUUAAAUUGAUUUGUAUCAAACAUGAUUGCUAUUUUAUUUCUAUAUCUCUCUAUGUAUGUCUAUGCAACAUGGAACAUGAGAACAUGUCGCCUUAAGUCCCUUCCCUAACACAUUUCUCUAACCAUUAACUCUUUGAGCCAAUGGUCAUUGUGAAUAGCGCCAUUAGGAAUAGACAACUCCUCACUCGCCCGAUUGCUGGAGUGCAUGAUACCAUAUAAUCUAUGGAACGAUAAGCAUAGAUAUUGAUAGGGCUUCACUCAUAGGCUUGGUUGAGAACUCAUUAUUUGCUCAUACACAUACAAACUUGUUAUUUAUUAAGGCAAUAAACUCAUUUAUCAAUUAUAGCAAUGAACUUUGUUUCUCGUUAUAGCAAUAAACUUUGUAUCACAUCAUAACAACGAACUUUUAUUACUGCAAACUUAUAUACAUGUUUUAGCAACGAAAUUGAUUGCUCAUUUUAGCAAUGAAACUUUUUUAGUUGUUUGAGUAACGAACUUUAUCUUCAAUGAGAAUAUGAACGUUGCAUCUCAUUUGAACAACAUACUUUAUCUCUCAUGAUGAUAAAGAAAUUUUUUUUACAAACUUAUUUACUUAUUUUAACAAUAUACUUUUAUUAUUGGAAACGUUUAUCAAAACUUUGAUUUCAAUUCAUGAAAACAAUAUUAUUUUGUUUAUCUGUGAGAACUCACCAACUAUUUUUAUAGUUGACCCUCGUUUUACAUGCUUUUUCAGGAAUCAUCGAGUAAGUGGUACUUAGAGACACUUCACUGUUAGGAGCAUUCGCAUGUGUUGUAUUGCAAUUUUCAAUGUAAUUUCUUUUAAAAGUGGUUCAAACCCAUUGUAAAUUUGUAAUGAUUUUUAAUAAUACAGUUGGUGUUGUCUUUUAUCUUUUGCUAUGAAACCCAUGACCCUCGUUUUACAUGCUUUUUCAGGAAUCAUCGAGUAAGUGGUACUUAGAGACACUUCACUGUUAGGAGCAUUCGCAUGUGUUGUAUUGCAAUUUUCAAUGUAAUUUCUUUUAAAAGUGGUUCAAACCCAUUGUAAAUUUGUAAUGAUUUUUAAUAAUACAGUUGGUGUUGUCUUUUAUCUUUUGCUAUGAAACCCAUUAUACUGCCACGCCUCGUGUUUCCGCUUUAGCGAGGUGUGACAUAUAUAUAUAUAUAUANNNNNNNNNNNNNNNNNNNNNNNNNNNNNNNNNNNNNNNNNNNNNNNNNNNNNNNNNNNNNNNNNNNNNNNNNNNNNNNNNNNNNNNNNNNNNNNNNNNNNNNNNNNNNNNNNNNNNNNNNNNNNNNNNNNNNNNNNNNNNNNNNNNNNNNNNNNNNNNNNNNNNNNNNNNNNNNNNNNNNNNNNNNNNNNNNNNNNNNNNNNNNNNNNNNNNNNNNNNNNNNNNNNNNNNNNNNNNNNNNNNNNNNNNNNNNNNNNNNNNNNNNNNNNNNNNNNNNNNNNNNNNNNNNNNNNNNNNNNNNNNNNNNNNNNNNNNNNNNNNNNNNNNNNNNNNNNNNNNNNNNNNNNNNNNNNNNNNNNNNNNNNNNNNNNNNNNNNNNNNNNNNNNNNNNNNNNNNNNNNNNNNNNNNNNNNNNNNNNNNNNNNNNNNNNNNNNNNNNNNNNNNNNNNNNNNNNNNNNNNNNNNNNNNNNNNNNNNNNNNNNNNNNNNNNNNNNNNNNNNNNNNNNNNNNNNNNNNNNNNNNNNNNNNNNNNNNNNNNNNNNNNNNNNNNNNNNNNNNNNNNNNNNNNNNNNNNNNNNNNNNNNNNNNNNNNNNNNNNNNNNNNNNNNNNNNNNNNNNNNNNNNNNNNNNNNNNNNNNNNNNNNNNNNNNNNNNNNNNNNNNNNNNNNNNNNNNNNNNNNNNNNNNNNNNNNNNNNNNNNNNNNNNNNNNNNNNNNNNNNNNNNNNNNNNNNNNNNNNNNNNNNNNNNNNNNNNNNNNNNNNNNNNNNNNNNNNNNNNNNNNNNNNNNNNNNNNNNNNNNNNNNNNNNNNNNNNNNNNNNNNNNNNNNNNNNNNNNNNNNNNNNNNNNNNNNNNNNNNNNNNNNNNNNNNNNNNNNNNNNNNNNNNNNNNNNNNNNNNNNNNNNNNNNNNNNNNNNNNNNNNNNNNNNNNNNNNNNNNNNNNNNNNNNNNNNNNNNNNNNNNNNNNNNNNNNNNNNNNNNNNNNNNNNNNNNNNNNNNNNNNNNNNNNNNNNNNNNNNNNNNNNNNNNNNNNNNNNNNNNNNNNNNNNNNNNNNNNNNNNNNNNNNNNNNNNNNNNNNNNNNNNNNNNNNNNNNNNNNNNNNNNNNNNNNNNNNNNNNNNNNNNNNNNNNNNNNNNNNNNNNNNNNNNNNNNNNNNNNNNNNNNNNNNNNNNNNNNNNNNNNACAACUUUCAUGACUAAAAAGAUGCAUGUAAACUUCUAGUUAUAAAAAUAACACUUAUAAACAUAGAAAAUAUGAAUGGAUUUUCUUGAUAAAAGAAAACCAUCCAUGUUUUCGAAAAACAAAUAUGAUAUCAACUUAUCAAAUGAUCUAACCAAGCUUGAAAAAAUGACUUUGAUACCAAUUUUUGGGUUUUUAUUUAAAAAAAUCUAAUUUUAAUGACAAAAUUGAUGUUAUUAACAACAUAAGAAUUUUUAGAUUUGAAUAACCUAAAAAAGUUUUAUCCCACCAAGGCUCAUUUUUCAAAGCUUAGAAAGAUUAAAACAUAACCAAAGGAAAUAAGAAGUUUACAAGAUUUGAGUGAUUUUAGAACCUCAAAGUGAUUUAUGUGUGUUUUGGUGCUUGAGGAGGAAGAAGGAACUUCUUGAAGAGUCAUUACUUGACUUGGAGCUUUCGGAUCCAAGAGUUGUGCACCUAGAUCUAUCUUGUGGAGGUAUAAAGUCUCAACAUUGGCAACUCUUUCAUGUAGAUCUAGCUAAGUGGUAUUUUGUUAUGGUUUUGGUCCCUUUUCAGGUGCUUCUUAUGAGUAGACGUUACUCCAAAACCAUUGAGCUUCAUAUUUGGUCCUUGUUGAGGUUAUGGAGUCAUAAAUUUUGGAUCUUAAUGGGUAUAAACCUUUCAUACAUGUUUUGGUAGUCAUUUGAUGAAGUUUAGGACUUACGGUUUUGAUUUGGUCCCAUUGAGUUAUGCUAAGUCAUAAAUUUAGAAACAUUAUGACUUAAGAAGUCCCUUGAAAUCAGACCUGGAAGUUUGGACUGAGGUCUUAAAGUAUUAAGAAGUGUUAACACAUUUUUGGAGUGAUUUUGACCUUUUGGAAUUCAUCUUUGGUGCUCUGGCUUCGUUAACCCAUGCAAAGGCUUAAAGCAUGCGACUUUAUGGAUCAAGUCACUUAUAUUUAGCUAUUUUGAGGUUUUGGACGUCUUGACUUAAUGGAUUAAGAGAAAUAAUUGAGAAUUGGUCAACAGGAGGAGUAUGUUGGGAAUAAAAGCCUAUAUGUGCAGCGUACAAGCUGAGUACUCCCCGCGUACUCAACAUAGUGGGAUUUUAGUGUUUGGGCUUCAGUUUGGGCCAUCUUUUGGGAUUUAUUGUUUCGGCCCGUGUAGGGCCAUCGGGUUUUGGGUUGAUAUUUAUUUGUAGAGGCCUACUAUGGAUUUGGGCCCAAUUUGGAAAAUUGGGUCAUGGAUUGGGCCUUUUUGGUAUUUGGACCUUGGGUAGUUUUUGGUAUUUGGACCUUGUGGACUAUUUGGUUUGGGCCUCAGUCUUGGUCCAAAAGUAGGUGAGGGGUAAAUUGGUCAUUUACCCUAGUAAUGGUUUUAUGGUUAUCGAUUGGAAUACAAUUGUUGAUUGGGUUUUUUUUUUUUUUUAAUUUGAUUGUUCGGGGAUCUGUCAGCCAGCAGCCUGGGAUUUUCUAUUUGACUAUGCAGUACGAAGUGAGUCCUCUCAUUAUAUCCAUAAGUCAAAGGCACCAAUGUCAGCCCAUUACGUGUUAUGUGAUAUGCUAGUUGUCUGUGUGAUAGUUGCAUGGAAGACCUCAGAGUUAGCCCGUGGCAUUUGGUUAUUAAAAUUAUGGGGGGGAUCCCAUGACAUUUUAGGUAAAGACCAUGGGGGAACCUAUUGCAUUCCAAAUAAAGACCAUGUGGGGAGCUCAUGACAAAUAUAUGUAUGUUGCAUGAUAGUGUGUGCUUGUAUGAUGUAUGGUAUUUUGGGUAACUCGCUAAGGCUUGUGCUUACGGUUUUCCGUUUAUGUUUCAGGUAUUCCUGUUUUCAAAUGGAAUGGCUCAGAAUGAUUGCAGAGGACACACCACAUGUUUCCGCAUUUUGUGAAUUACUCUGAUUUGAUGAUGUUUAGCUAAAACUUGUUUACCUUGGUUUUAAGCGGAAGAUAUGUAUUAACAAUUUAUUAACCUAAAAAUAAAAAAAAAUUAUGUCUUGAUUUUUGGGACGGUACACUUUUUGGUCAAAAUUAGUAAACAAAGCUUCAUAUUUAAGACAAUCAAUCUUGAAAAUAACAAAGUUAUGAAAAAUUAUAAAAUAAGAUACAAAAUUAUAAGAUAUUAGGAGAUUUAUAAAAAGUACAAUUAGUAAAAGCGUUACAGUUAUAAGGAAAAAUAUAAGACCGUUAACAUUAGUAAAACUGCAAUAUAUAAACUAAAUUAUCACAAUAGUAAUGAAAUGUCAUUAUUUGAUAUUUCUUAUAAUUGAAAGAUAUAUAUCAAAUUAUAUUGAUGAUAUACCAAAAUUAUUUAAAGUUGCGCCAAGUCUAAUACAAAGUUCUUGCGAACACCAAAUAAAUAAGAACAAACAUAAAAGCUACACUUAUAUUCAUAAUCAAUUUAAAACAAAUCAAUCGAGAUAUAGAAAAGAAUUUCCGUUGAUGAUACACUAAAAUUAAAUCCAUAUAAAAAUUAACAUUCCUUAAAUUAUACUCUAUGACUUUAUUACAAUAAAUGAAAUAGUUGUCAAUAUUUAAUGCAGUAAAAACAAAUGAUAUAUUGGUUGUCAAUAUACGUUUAAAUUAAGUAACCAUAUUAUGGAAGAAAUGUCAAAUUAGAAUGUUUAUGCUUAUAUAACAAUAUAAUUAAGUGAUAUUUUUAAAUAAUUGAAAAACAUAGAAUAAUGACAAGUGGAAAAUAGUAAAUUCAAAAAAUACCAAAAAUUGGCAUGUGCCAAAAUGAAUGAGAAAAUGACAUGUGGCAAAAUGAUUUUUAUUUAUUAGGACAUAUAUUUUUAUGUUGCUUUAUCUUAUUUUUUUUUUAUUUUGUUGCAUUUUAUGACUUUAUAUGUAUUUUUUUAUAUGUUCACCCGUGUUUAAAAUAAUAUAUUUUGACGACUUACAUGUUUCCUUUAUCAAAUCUAAACUUUCCAAAAUCAGAUUCCAAUCGUGACCUAUCAAUUUAAUCAUCAUUAAUUUCAUCUAUAAUUUUAACCAGUUUAAAUUUAUAUUUUCCUUAUAUAAAAUUUUAUAAUGGUCCUGAAUUUUCCCUCCAAAAAUAUUUCAAGCAUUUAUUUUUUAUGCGUCCCUUAAUCAAAUUUAAAUUUGUAUUUUCCUUAUAUCCAUAAAAAAAUUAUUUUUAUAACUUAAGCGUUUUCUUUAUCAAAUUUAAAUCUUCCAAAAUCAUAUUCAAUUGUAGUCUAUCAAUUUAAUCGUCAUUAAUUUGAUACAUAAUUUCAAUCAAUUUAAAUUUGUAUUUUCCAUAUAUAAAUUUUUUAUGAUUCCAAUUUUUUCCCUUCAAAAAUAUUUCAAACAUAAAUUUUAGAUAAUGUUUUCUCAUUAUAUUUAUUACUUUUCUCAUAUAAAAUAAUAAAAUUUACCACUAUNNNNNNNNNNNNNNNNNNNNNNNNNNNNNNNNNNNNNNNNNNNNNNNNNNNNNNNNNNNNNNNNNNNNCAACAUAAACACUAAACAAAUUGAUUAAUUAUUUUGUAUAACAUAUCAACCUAUUUUGUUUUAUCUUUAUGUAGUAGCAAUAAAAUUUAUAAACUUACACAAAAAAUGUACAUAUUUCAAAUUUUGUUGUAAUAUUAUACCUUAUAAAAUACAAUUCCCUCCAAAAUAAUAUUCGUUAGUAAUUUCGUCCAUAUUUUCACCUAAUCUAAGUUUUUAUUAUCCUUAUAUAAAUUUUUUUAAUAAUCAAGAUUGUUUCUAUCCAAAAGUAUUUCAAGCAUUUAUUUCUUACAUUAUUUUGCCCAUUAUAAUUAUUAAUUUCCUCAUAUAAAAUAACAAAAUUUACCAAUAUGCCUAUAUAUUUUUAUUUAACUUUUAUAAGCAACAUUAACAAUAAUACAAAGUGAUGGAUUCAAGUGACGAUUCAUAUUCUUUAAGAAAAAAAUUAUGACAACCCGAAAUUUCUAUCUUGUACAGCCAUUCCACUCAAUCAAAGUCGGACUCGUUUCUGCUAUCUUUUAGCAUUGGUUAGGGUCUGUUUGAGUGUUCUAAGCCUAGUACGUUCAAGGAAGGAGUGUUAGGAAGCAUCUUUUAGAGUUCAGUGGGCAUCUUACAAGCCGGAAAACUCCAUGUAUUGGAGUUUACGGCUGUAAACUAGGGAUUACGGUCGUAAACCCUUGGCUGGCCGUGAACUCCUCCCCUCAUAUAUGAUAUUCCUUCAUUUUUCAACUUUUUCUCAAACUUCCAUCUCAAGAACUCGAUUUCCUCUCUAGUAUCAUCAAGAACUUUCACCUUGAUCUUCAAGCAUGUAAGUAAUCCUUCCAUUUUUGAGUUGAUAUCCUUCUAUUUCUAGUGAAGAUUCAUGUUUUCAUCCAUGAACUAUCUCUUUUGGAUAGAUCUUCAAGUUUUCUUCACUUUCACCAAGAACACCUACUUGUUCUUGGGCCGUGAACUCCUUAGAAGCCUUCAAAAGUGUAAGUAUCUCUUCUAUCUUCUAGUUAGGCUUGAUAAACACAUGAUUCCUAGCCUCAAAACAUUUUAACAUGAAUGAACAUCAAGAGUUACGGCCGUAAACCCUUGCAUGGCCGUAAGCCCUUGUUAUGGUACAUGUCUUGGACGCAAACUAGUUUUAAGUCCAAACCUAGGACUGUGAUCACUUAGUGAAUGCUUGUUAGGGUCGUAAACACCUCUUAAAGUCAUGCCCUAUAGUCGUGAACUCUCCUUUGCCGUACACACCAAAGGUGUGGCCGUAAACUCCAUUUAAUACAAUUAUAUGUGAUUAAAAGACUUCAAUCCAAGUGUUUCCUAGUCCCUAAAGUGUUUUCCUUGCAUGUUUAGUUGUAUAUAAACUAAUUAUAUACAUAUAUGUAUCAUUAUAUGCUUAAUAGGAUCCGUUUCUGCUCGAGGCUUCACUUGACACGUAGCAUCCUAUAUCGAUCUUUCAUUCAUAUCACUCACUACAAGUGAGUUCAUACCCCUUUAUUCUCCAUUUUAAAUGAUUUUAAAUGCUUUUAUGGGGGGGGGGGGGGUGGAAUGCAAGUUGAUAACAUUAUAGUUAUUAUAUCAAUCACAUGUGAUUAAUAACUAUCAAACAAGUGGAUUUCAUAUACUUCAAAACUGUUUAUCAAACAAACUCUUCAAAACAUUUUAUAAACUGACAGCAAGUCAUCUGUUACCAUUCAAAUGGUUAAAAUUCCUUUUUGUGUUAAACUCUUUUAUAGGCUAAACUAUUUAUUAAACGCUUUUAAACUUAUAUAUUGUCAAAAUCAUGUCUAUAUAGAUAUAAUUAUAUAAGUAAGGUUGAAAGGGCUUAGAACUGAUAACUCACUUUAUUUCCAACUCCUUUUUUGGUUGUGGACUUAGGGUAUCCGGUUAUUUGUCUGAGUGUCAUUUGAAUCUUAGUAUAUAUUAUGUAUAUAUACAUAUAUAUAAAAGUUCUUACAUCAGUUCAGCACCUUUAGGUAGCAAAGGUGUACAAACAUACUCAGUCAUUCAAAAAACAUUACUAGUAAACUAUAAAAGGUAUAGUUUAGGGAUUUACUACUCACUAUUUCUAGUACAAUGAAACAUACAAGAGUCAGUUCAUUCAUGAGUCAAUACAAACUUACUAUUUUGAGAAACAGAAAGAACAUACUAUGAUGAGAAACUAAGAGAACACACAGUACACUAUACAAAGAUAACUCACUAUACACUAGAAUAGAGAAAACAUACAAUACACUAGAACAUACUAUACAAACACAAGAAUACUAUAACAUUAACAUGAGCCACUACUUCAUGGCAUGGCAAUCUAUUGUUAUGUCACGUUUUGUAACUAGAGUCUCUUGGAGGGAGAGCGUGAAUUUGUGUAUAGAUUUAUAUCGGACUGACCGUCCUACACCUUGUUGCUAGCUACAGUGGGACCUAUAGGUCUACGAGUGAUGAAUGUCAUACCAUUUCGACGUCUUCGAGCGUCGUUUUUUACUAGUCGAUCAAGCAUGGUUACAAUCAUAUCACAUUUUACCUUAAUUAACAAUUGGUUUAAGGUAGUUAGUACAAUAGUAGUUACUAUAUACAAUACUACAAUACAUCUUUAUUUUCCCAUUGCAUUCACAUUGUGAUCUUCUCACAUAAACGGUAAUGUAAACUAUAUUUUGGAAAUGAUAGUCAUACUUGGGAAAGAUACACACUUUUACAAAAAGAAAAAACAUACAAAAUAGUCGGGUCUUGGUAGAAGACUACCUUUCAUAAUAAAGUAGAAAAUAUAGGAUCUUGUAGGAGAUACAACAAUUACAUCAAACUCGUACAAACAUUUACAGUAAACAUUUACAAACACUUUCAUACAAAGAAUGACACUAAAACACUUAUGAACUCACCAACUUUAAUGCGAAUCUACUCUUACAAAAUAAUUUGUAUUCUCAAGUCACCAUUAGACAGGUACACUGGACCAGGUUUUGAGAAGACGGAGCUCGUACAAGACUCGUCUUUAUUUUGAUUAUUCAUUUUUGGUGUCUUAUAAACUAUAUACAGAACACACUUGUGUAAAAUUGUACUAUUAAUGCAAUCAAUGAUGUUGUUGCUUGCUUACUAUUAUGCAUUGUUAUGAUACUGUACAUGACGUCCUCCGCUCCAGAACGUUUCCGCCGUUCCAGUUUUGGGGUGUGACAGAUUGGUAUUAGAGCUUUGUUUAUAGUGAAUUGAGUAUAUCAACCCAUAAAAGAUAUACAACUAUAAACACAUCGGGAUUAAAAUAAUCUGACCAAAAGUUUGUGCUUUUUAAUAAUAAAAUAUUUAACCAAAGUAUACAUACCUGCAUUCAUACUAAAAUCAGUAUCACUAGGACAAAGCAAAAGUAUUGCGGUUGUUGAACAACACAAGUAGGCUUGGGGACAUAUAAUCAGAUCUGGGAGUAAUAUAGCCUGAUCAACUAUAUUUUUUCGAGAAGUGAUUAGCAUGUGCCUAGGAAGGUUGUGGUGUUGCAACAAGUCUAAAAGCUUACCAACACUACUACAAUGAAAACAUUAGAACAUAACAAAAACUUAAAAUACUAUAGGAGUAUUUUGUGUUACUAUAAUUACUUAUUUGAGAACUAAAGGUCUUUAUUAGUAGGUUAAUAGUUUCUAGGUGGAUAUGCUAAGGUUAUAUGUGACCAAGGUGUCAUAGAAUUAGAAUUUGUGAUCUUUGCUUUAUUUCCUAUUUCUUGUUUGGUUGUGGAUUUGGAGUUAGGGUCACUUAUUCGAAGGUCUAUCAUGUUUUGAUUACAUGUAACUGGUAUGCACUACACAAGUAUUGAAGUAACUGGUAAAGAUCAUCCUAUAAUUAUCUUAGGUACUACGUCUAUUAAGUAUUUCUUUUAUCCCUAUUCUCGAAUAGAUAACAUGGCUGGAUUCCAUCUCCCUGGCGACCCGUACUUUCCCAAACAAGGCAAUGGUGGAUGGCUCGAUGCAGAGCCAUAAGAGAAUCAUCCAAUCCCUUUGGAUGAUGACUUCACAGAGAACUUUCCGGAGGAUUCUGACUCCGAGCCAGAAGUCAAUGAUCUACCCCUGGUAGCUCCAAUCCAAAAUCCUAACCCUUGUUCGGCUUUUCAAGGCCCGACGCCUCUAUGGGUACAAAACUUGGGUAGGUGGAGUCAAGAACAGGGUCAAACCUUACCCUACAAUGGAGACAAAAGCUUCUACAACCAGAGCGAGGGAGGCUCAACAGACAGAGUCCUGCCUAUUCUGGUCUACAGGGUUGCUCGUAAUGAAGAGCAGGGUAGGACAACCAUCAACCGAAUCAUUGUGACAACCCGAUAUUUCGAGUCAAUGUAAUGUAAAACCGAUCAAAUUUAGGCCAAAAUGUAACCUUCCUAAAAUCUUAUUCGGAUUAAAUAAAGUAAUAGGAAUCAUAUCAAGGUUUGCGUACAUAAAAAGAACGUCCAAAUCUGACCUCGGAUGAGGAAGUUAUGAAAUUUUGAAGAAAUUCCUUAAUCACGUCAUUUUAAUAAAUAAAUAAUAAAAAUAAUUUCGGAAUUAGCCAACGGAAUCUAAACGAAAGUCGUAGAUCAUGGUCUCACCUUCGCGUGAAUAUAAAGAACGUCAAAAACGGAGUUCGUAUGAGAGAGAUAUGAAUUUUUGAAGUUUAUUUAAAAUAAAUAAGAAUUUAAUUAUAAAUUCCCGGUAAUAUCCGAAGGGGAGUCAUCGGAUUGGACCGAAGUACGCCCUGCGUACCUUCGUACGCCCCGCGUACUGAGAUCGAGGGUCUCGGAUCGUCCACGUCGCNNNNNNNNNNNNNNNNNNNNNNNNNNNNNNNNNNCCCCCGCGGCCCCGCCCGCCCCGCCGUCCCAUCCGACCCGCGUACCCAGCAACCCGUCCCAUCCGAACCGAGGCAGUCGAGGCUUCGGUCAUGCAUGACGUACGCGUACGCGCUGCGUACGAGCGUACGCCCCGCGUUCGGAGGCGGUUCAGCCUUCCUAUAAAUAGGAUGCGAGGCUUUCCGAAAAUGUUGCUCAUUUCUCUCCUCUCUCUCACAACUUUGUCUCGUUUUCCGUGCCCGUUAUAACCCGAAGCUCUGGUCUUUUUGCUCAAGUCCCGAGGGUCGAUUUUACUCCCGAGAUUCCCGAGAAUCCCGAGAAAAAUCCGUUUUCCGAGACGAAACUCUGCCCGGUUUUCCAUCUCGCUUUCUUCAAUCAAUCAAGUGAGUUUCAUACCCCUUAAUCAACCUGUUAAAUAUUCUAAAUGCUUUUAUAUGCUUUCAAAAGGGGGGGAAUACAAGUUAAAUACUUAUAGUUAUUGUUUCAAUCACAUGUGAUUGUACUAAUCACAUGUGAUUAAUAACUAGGGAAAUCAGUGGUUUUAUCACUAUUCAAACUAUCUAUCAAACUGUUUUACUUCUAAAUGUUUUCCAAACCCAUUUACUUUUCGAAUUUACACUGCAACUGUGAUUUAAGCAAAUGUUCCUUAUACUUAAACUGUUUUAAUCAAAUCUACACCUUCAAAUGGUUUUAUAGAUUGACAUCAAGUCAAUCUUUCUUUAAAAAUAAUACUUAUGUUUCAAAUGCCUUAUAAAUACUUAUUUAUGCUUUUAUAUUACAAAUUGCAUGCCCAUAUAUGUAUAGACGUAUAAAUAAUGUUUAAAGGGCUUAGGAAGGCUAUCCACCUUGUUUCCUUUUCCUCGAUUUGGAUGUGGUCUGAUAGGAUUUUGGGUGACCAUCCGAAGGUCGUUUCCAUAUUAAUUAUAUAUCAAAUAUACAUAUAUAGACAUAAAAGUACUUCCAUAAUCAUAUGUACUAAACGCACUGUUAACAAGUUACCAUCGGGGUAACACAGAAUCAUACUAUUACAACUGCUAGAUCAAUGAGUCAGUUCAUUCAUGAGUCUAUACUAGGAAGAGAAUAUAUACAACUAUACUACGAGAACAUAUACAACUAUACUAGAACAAGAAACAUUUCAUCACACAUGCAAGAAUACGAUAACAAAUGUGAUCCACUGUAUCGGAGCAUGCCUUAAAUGUCAUGGCCCGAGUUGUAGCCAGAAUUCUCUUGGAGGGAGAGCGUUGAGUUUGCGUAUAGAUCUAUACUGGAUUGACUAUCCUACACCUUGCUGCUAGCUACAGCCGGACCUGCAGGUCUGCGGGUGCCAAACGUCAUUCCGUUAUUACGACCGUUCUUUAUGUCGUUGUUAUCAGUCGAUAGUAUGGUGCAAUUAUCACAUUAUACCUUAAUAUAAAUCCGGUUUAAGGUAGUAGUAAUUAGUACAACAGUAGUUCUUAUUAUACAAAACUACAGUACUACAAUGAUUUACCCAUUACAUAUUUUGGUGAUAAUCUCACUUAAGCAUUAAUGUACAAACUAUAUUUUAUCAAAUGAUAGUUAUACUUGGGUAAUCACACACUUUUACAACAGACGAGUUUACAAAACAGUUAAGCCUUGGUAGAAGGUUACUAUUAUAGAAAAUAUAGGAUUUUCUGAGAGAUUCAAACUUUUGCAAAUACUUUUAAACAUUUAUUUACAUUUUUACAAACUUAUACAUUGGGACAAGUUCAAACGUUUUUGACAAUGAACAUUGACACUAAAAUACUUAUGAACUCACCAGCUUAAUGCUGAUAAACUCUUUCAAAAUAACUUGUAUUCUCAGGUCAUCAGUAGACAGGUACCGAUGCCAGCUUUUGAGAUGAUGGAGCGUACUCAAGACUCAUCAUUUUAUUAUUUUGAUUUACGUUAUAUUUUUGGUGUCUAAAACUGUACAGAACACGCAUGUAUUAAAUUUAUAUAUUUAAUGCAAUGGAUGAUGUUGUUUGCCUAUUUACAUUUACUGUGUUGUGAUUACCUUACAUGACGUCCUCCGCCCCAGAACGUUUCCGCCGUUCUUGGUUUUGGGGUGUGACAGAUUGGUAUCAGAGCAUUGUUUAUAGUGAAUUGAGUAUAUCAACCCAUAAAAGAUAUACUAAACUAUAAACCCAUUGGGGAUUAAACUCUGACCAAGAGUCUAUACUUAAAAUAAUAAAAUAUUUAACUAAGUAUACUAGUCUGCAUUCAUACUAAAAUAAGUGUCACAAUGACAAGAACAAAAGUAUUACGAUUGUUAAAUAUCACAAGUGAGCUCGGGGAUGUAUGGUCAGUCCUGGGAAUGGCAUAGCCUGAUCAACUAUGCUGAUCCUAGGAGUGAUUAGCACAUGCCUUAGAAUGGUUGUGAUAGGUUAGCAAGUCUAAAAACUUACCAACAAUACCACAAGAAGAUCAAUAGAACUUAAACUUAAAAUACUAUAGGAGUAUUUUGCGCUACUAGUUACACGUAUACUAUAUUCUUAUACCUCUAUUCUCGCGUAGAUCUUGAUGGCUAGAUAUCCAUCAUGGCGACCCGUACUUUCCCAAUGAAGGCAAUGCCGGGUGGAUCGAUGAAGAGCCCGAAGUUGAUCAUCCAAUCCCUUUGGAUGAUCACCUCGCAGAAGGCUUUUCAGAUGGGUCCGACUCCGAGCCUGAAGUCAACAACCUACCGAUUGUAGGUCAAGCCCCGAACAACAACCCUCGACCAGCGUUUCCAGGUCCUACACCCAUGUGGGCAAACAACCGAACCGCUGGAGUGAUGAUCAGGGUCAACCCUUACCAUACUUUGGGGACCGAACCUUUUACAACGUCAGCGAUGGUGGCUCUACUGACCGAGCUCUGCCUGUCAUUAUCCGCAGAAUAGCUCGUAUUGUCGAGCAAGGUGGAGCAGCCGUCGACCGGGUCAUAGAGAUUGAUGCCGACUCAGGUGUCAACACAGUCAGCAUCCGCCGUCUUGAAGAAGACAUGGAACGGACCCGGAGGACAAAUAAAACCCUGCAGUAGCAGUUGGCUGCCUCACGAGCUGAAAUAUUGGAACUUCGAGCUCGUCAGAGGACUCAGGAUCGACCCAUUCAAGAGGUGUUUCGUCAAGUAUCCGACCGCAGUACUCGCCCGGGAUUUUCCCAUCGCCGUUGGUUGAUGUCUAGUACAGCUCCGUCUUUUAAUUAAAGGAUAGCCUUUAACAUCUGUGCUCCAAGUAGCGCUUGUGUGUAAAAUGUUUCUAACUUCCGUACUCAAAUUUGAAAUCUAAGGACUGUCAAACUUUUCUAUAUGGUAUGAUGUAUGACCUACUGUUAGGUCGAUUUUCCCUGAACUUAUUACAUCAGUAAUACCAGUAAAUUUUUGAGAUCUAUCUAUCUGGGGAAAAAUCUAUACACUUGUGCUUUCCUACUAAUAAUGCUUGUUGUGGUUUCAAGCACCCUUUCAACUGUUGGACUAUGUUUAGUUAGUCCAUGUGUCACUCUCGCGUUGCUUACAAAUUGAUUCUUACCAUCUUUCUUAUCUUUUUAAACUUUCAGCUGAAGGAUGCCUCCUCGCAAGUCUCCCAGGAAUAGGAAUAAUCCUGCACCUCCACCACCUCCUCCGCCUCCGGUCAUCGAUACUGUAGCCCUGAAUGCUGUUGUAGCUGCAGCAGUGGCAACUGCCAUGGCUCAGUAUCACUCUUCUGAUGCCAGCAGAGGUGGAACCCCUGUGGAAUCUAUUCCGAUCGAAAUCCCUGUGCGCUCAAGGGAGUGCUCUUACAAGGAUUUUACAAACUGCAAGCCGAAGCCUUUCUAUGGCACCGGCGGAGUCAUUGCUCUCUCGCAGUGGUUCGAGAAGACUGAAUCAGUCUUCGAAAUUUGUUCAUGCCCUGCUGCGUGCAAGGUGAAAUAUGCCGCCUGCACCUUUGAGGGUAAAGCCCUAACGUGGUGGAACGGCCACGUCAAAGCCCUAACUCUCGUCGUAGCCAACGACAUGGGCUGGGAAACAAUGAAAGACCUCAUGACUGAGGAAUACUGCCCGAGGGGCGAGAUCCAGAAACUGGAGCAGGAACUCUGGAACCUGUCGAUGAAGGGCACCAAUGUGGUCGCUUAUACUGCCCGAUUCAGCGAGCUGGUGGCCCUCUGCCCCAAUAUGGUUCCCACCGAGGGGAAGAAGAUCGAGAGGUACAUAUGGGGACUAGUGCCUCCGUAUCAGGGGAAUGUGCUAGCGUCAAACCCCGCUACCUUCGACAGUGCCAAACGAUUGGCACAACGACUCAUUGACCAUGGAGUCAAAACCCCUGCAACCACAACCACCCUAGCCAUCCCGGAACCCUCCAAACCCGCCGAUACUAAGCGGAAAUUCUGGGAUGAAAGGAAGAAGCAUCAGGCUGCCAAAAAGCAGCAAUUGGUGGCAAUUCAUGCCGCAGUAACCCCUACUGCUGCUACUACUGCUCCGGUGAGUCGGUAUGCUGGAAGUUCGCCCAAGUGCAACAAAUGCAGCUACCACCACAACGGCCCCUGCCGUGAAUUGCAGUGCUCUAACUGCAACAGGAAAGGACACACCGUCCGAUUCUGUAAGUUCCCGGCACAACCUAUCAACCAAGUCCCUGGCUCUGGCGCGAGCCCAACCUGCUAUGGAUGUGGCGAAGCAGGCCACUUUAAGAGGGACUGCCCCAAAGCGAGGAAUGCUGGAGGAGCAGGGAGGGUACUGGCUAUAGGCCACGGGGAAGCAGUUGCUGACCCGACAGUAGUAACCGGUACGUUCCUCCUCGAUAACUCCUAUGCAUGCAUUCUAUUCGAUAGUGGAGCGGAGCGAAGCUUCGUAAACCAUAAAUUUGCUCGCAUGCUUAAUCAACCACCGCACGCACUCAAAGAACUAUUUACAGUAGAAAUGGCUAAUGGAAAAACUGAAAAUACGAGUAGCAUAUACUUAGGUUGUACCCUAACCCUAGACAACCAUUCAUUUCCAAUCGACCUCAUGCCAGUCUCAAUAAAAAGUUUCGACGUCAUCAUUGGCAUGGACUGGUUAAGCCUUCAUCGUGCCGACAUCAUGUGCUUCGAGAAAGCAGUCCGUCUAAACCUUCCGUCUAACGAAACUCUUAUAGUCUAUGGCGACAAACCCGGUGCAAGUCUUCGCAUCAUAUCAAGUAUUCAAGCACAGAAAUACCUGCGUAAGGAAUACCACGCAUUCCUUGCUCACGUCGUCGACACGAACCUAGAAACGAAAGAACUAAAGAACCUCCCAGUAGUGAGCGACUUCCCCGACAUUUUCCCAGAAGAACUACCCGGAUUACCUCCGCAACGACAAGUCGAGUUCAGAAUCGACUUAGUCCCAGGAGCUACCCCAGUAGCCAAGUCGCCCUACCGUUUAGCACCAGCCGAGAUGCAAGAACUCUCUGGUCAACUUAACGAACUGCUCAGCAAGGGCUUUAUAAGGCCAAGUUUCUCACCUUGGGGAGCACCGGUCUUGUUUGUUAAGAAGAAGGACGGAUCCUUCCGUAUGUGUAUUGACUACAGAGAACUCAACAAACUGACGGUCAAGAAUCGUUAUCCUCUACCACGCAUAGAUGAUCUAUUCGACCAACUGCAAGGGGCGAACUAUUUUUCUAAGAUUGAUCUGAGAUCCGGAUAUCACCAGUUACGAGUGCUAGAGGAGGAUGUGCCGAAGACCGCCUUCCGAACUCGUUACGGACAUUACGAGUUCGUGGUGAUGCCAUUCGGAUUGACCAAUGCGCCCGCAGUCUUCAUGGAUCUGAUGAAUAGAGUAUGCCGACCCUACUUGGAUCAGUUCGUCAUCGUUUUCAUUGACGACAUCCUAAUCUACUCCCGAAGUAAGAAAGAACAUGGCGAUCAUCUGCGACAAGUUCUAGGGACAUUACGAAAAGAGAAACUUUAUGCGAAGUUCUCGAAAUGUGAAUUUUGGAUCCGAAGAGUCGAAUUCUUAGGACACGUGGUAAGCGAAGAGGGAAUCCACGUGGACCCAUCCAAAAUUAAGGCCAUUGAGAACUGGUCAGCACCGAAGACUCCUACAGAAAUUCGUCAAUUUCUAGGUCUCGCUGGCUACUACCGCAGGUUCAUUCAGAACUUCUCACGAAUAGCGAAGCCUCUUACAACCCUAACCCAGAAAGGUGUGGCCUUUGACUGGGAAGAGAAACAAGAAAGAGCGUUCCAAACGCUCAAACGAGCCUUGUGCACCGCACCAAUACUAUCCCUUCCCGAAGGAAUAGAAGACUUCGUAGUUUAUUGCGAUGCAUCAAACCAAGGACUCGGAUGUGUUCUGAUGCAGCGAGGUAAGGUCAUCGCCUACGCCUCAAGACAAUUGAAGACACACGAGGUUAACUACACGACCCACGAUCUUGAACUAGGAGCAGUAGUGUUUGCUCUGAAGAUCUGGAGACAUUACUUGUAUGGAACGAAGAGCACUAUCUUUACCGACCACAAGAGUUUACAACACAUUUUCGAUCAGAAGGAGCUCAACAUGAGACAACGACGAUGGGUCGAGCUACUCAGUGAUUACGAAUGCGAUAUUCGUUAUCAUCCGGGUAAAGCCAACGUAGUAGCAGACGCCCUAAGUCGGAAGGAAUAUUCUGGUCGCAAAGUCAAGUCAUUAUCGAUAACCAUCCAUUCACACCUGACUAAGCAAAUUCAGGCGGCUCAACUUGAGGCCAUGAAAUCUGAAAAUGUGUCAAGUGAAUCCCUUAGAGGAAUGGACAAGAAUUUAGAAGCCAAGGGUGACGGAGCUUUAUAUUUCAUGAACCGGAUCUGGACACCGAAACAUGGUGGCUUCCGAGACUUGGUCAUGACCGAGGCGCACAACACUCGGUAUUCCGUCCACCCAGGUUCAGAUAAGAUGUAUCUGGAUCUUAAGAAGCUAUACUGGUGGCCUAAUAUGAAAGCAGAGAUUGCUACCUUCGUAAGUAAAUGCCUUACUUGCGCAAAGGUUAAGGUCGAGUACCAGAAGCCCUCUGGUUUAUUGCAGCAACCAGAGAUCCCGGAAUGGAAGUGGGAGCGGAUCACUAUGGAUUUCAUAACCAAGUUGCCCAAGACAACGGGUGGACUUGACACCAUAUGGGUCAUCGUUGAUAGAUUGACCAAGUCUGCACACUUCCUGCCUAUCAAAGAAACCGACAAGAUGGAGAAGCUUACGAGAACAUACAUUAGGGAAAUCGUACGGCUACAUGGUGUACCUAUGUCCAUUAUCUCCGAUAGAGAUAGUAGGUUCACCUCAAGAUUUUGGCAAUCACUACAACAUUCCCUAGGAACGAGGCUGGACAUGAGCACAGCCUACCAUCCUCAGACCGACGGACAGAGUGAGAGGACCAUCCAAACUCUAGAAGAUAUGUUGCGAGCCUGCGUGAUUGACUUUGGGAAGGCAUGGGAUACUCAUUUACCCCUUGUCGAGUUUUCCUAUAAUAACAGUUAUCACACGAGCAUCAAGGCUGCUCCAUUUGAAGCUCUCUACGGCCGUAAGUGCAGAUCCCCUCUGUGCUGGGCUGAGGUGGGUGAUACCCAAUUAGCCAGGGGGCAAACUUCCGACAGUACUCUCACCGGUCCGGAGAUCAUUCGGGAAACAACAGAGAAAAUCGUUCAGAUCCGUGAACGAUUGAAAGCCUCUAGAGACCGACAGAAGAGCUACGCUGAUAAACGAAGGAAACCUUUGGAAUUUCAGGUGGGAGACCGAGUCCUCCUCAAAGUCUCACCCUGGAAGGGCUUGAUACGCUUCGGCAAGCGUGGAAAGCUUAAUCCGAGGUACAUAGGGCCUUUCGAGAUUCUUGCAAGAGUCGGCCCCGUAGCUUACAAACUCGAACUACCAGACGCACUUCGUAACGUACAUUCUACAUUCCACGUAUCUAACUUGAAAAAGUGUCUAUCCGACGAGACUCUUGUAAUCCCACUCGACGAGAUCGAAAUCAACGAGAGCCUCAACUUCGUGGAAGAACCUAUAGAGAUCAUGGACCGUGAGGUCAAGCAGACAAAGCAAAGCCGUAUCCCUAUCGUGAAGGUUCGCUGGAAUGCCAAGCGAGGACCGGAAUUCACUUGGGAACGUGAGGAUCAGAUGAAACUGAAAUACCCUCACCUUUUUGCUUAGUUAUUUGUAAAUUCUAGCUUGCUUAAAAUUCUAAUUUCGGGACGAAAUUCCUUCUAACGGGGGGAUGAUGUGACAACCCGAUAUUUCGAGUCAAUGUAAUGUAAAACCGAUCAAAUUUAGGUCAAAAUGUAACCUUCCUAAAAUCUUAUUCGGAUUAAAUAAAGUAAUAGGAAUCAUAUCAAGGUUUGCGUACAUAAAAAGAACGUCCAAAUCUGACUUCGGAUGAGGAAGUUAUGAAUUUUUGAAGAAAUUCCUUAAUCACGUCAUUUUAAUAAAUAAAUAAUAAAAAUAAUUUCGGAAUUAGCCAACGGAAUCUAAACGAAAGUCGUAGAUCAUGGUCUCACCUUCGCGUGGAUAUAAAGAACGUCAAAAACGGAGUUCGUAUGAGAGAGAUAUGAAUUUUUGAAGUUUAUUUAAAAUAAAUAAGAAUUUAAUUAUAAAUUCCCGGUAAUAUCCGAAGGGGAGUCAUCGGAUUGGACCGAAGUACGCCCUGCGUACCUUCGUACGCCCCGCGUACUGAGAUCGAGGGUCUCGGAUCGUCCACGUCGCACUAUCCGAAGAGUUCUAACCCGUCCGACCCGUCCGAAGCUCCGACCCGUCCGACCCGCUGUCCCGUCCGACCCGCCGUCCCAUCCGACCCGCGUACCCAGCAACCCGUCCCAUCCGAACCGAGGCAGUCGAGGCUUCGGUCAUGCAUGACGUACGCGUACGCGCUGCGUACGAGCGUACGCCCCGCGUUCGGAGGCGGUUCAGCCUUCCUAUAAAUAGGAUGCGAGGCUUUCCGAAAAUGUUGCUCAUUUCUCUCCUCUCUCUCACAACUUUGUCUCGUUUUCCGUGCCCGUUAUAACCCGAAGCUCUGGUCUUUUUGCUCAAGUCCCGAGGGUCGAUUUUACUCCCGAGAUUCCCGAGAAUCCCGAGAAAAAUCCGUUUUCCGAGACGAAACUCUGCCCGGUUUUCCAUCUCGCUUUCUUCAAUCAAUCAAGUGAGUUUCAUACCCCUUAAUCAACCUGUUAAAUAUUCUAAAUGCUUUUAUAUGCUUUCAAAAGGGGGGAAUACAAGUUAAAUACUUAUAGUUAUUGUUUCAAUCACAUGUGAUUGUACUAAUCACAUGUGAUUAAUAACUAGGGAAAUCAGUGGUUUUAUCACUAUUCAAACUAUCUAUCAAACUGUUUUACUUCUAAAUGUUUUCCAAACCCAUUUACUUUUCGAAUUUACACUGCAACUGUGAUUUAAGCAAAUGUUCCUUAUACUUAAACUGUUUUAAUCAAAUCUACACCUUCAAAUGGUUUUAUAGAUUGACAUCAAGUCAAUCUUUCUUUAAAAAUAAUACUUAUGUUUCAAAUGCCUUAUAAAUACUUAUUUAUGCUUUUAUAUUACAAAUUGCAUGCCCAUAUAUGUAUAGACGUAUAAAUAAUGUUUAAAGGACUUAGGAAGGCUAUCCACCUUGUUUCCUUUUCCUCGAUUUGGAUGUGGUCUGAUAGGAUUUUGGGUGACCAUCCGAAGGUCGUUUCCAUAUUAAUUAUAUAUCAAAUAUACAUAUAUAGACAUAAAAGUACUUCCAUAAUCAUAUGUACUAAACGCACUGUUAACAAGUUACCAUCGGGGUAACACAGAAUCAUACUAUUACAACUGCUAGAUCAAUGAGUCAGUUCAUUCAUGAGUCUAUACUAGGAAGAGAAUAUAUACAACUAUACUACGAGAACAUAUACAACUAUACUAGAACAAGAAACAUUUCAUCACACAUGCAAGAAUACGAUAACAAAUGUGAUCCACUGUAUCGGAGCAUGCCUUAAAUGUCAUGGCCCGAGUUGUAGCCAGAAUUCUCUUGGAGGGAGAGCGUUGAGUUUGCGUAUAGAUCUAUACUGGAUUGACUAUCCUACACCUUGCUGCUAGCUACAGCCGGACCUGCAGGUCUGCGGGUGCCAAACGUCAUUCCGUUAUUACGACCGUUCUUUAUGUCGUUGUUAUCAGUCGAUAGUAUGGUGCAAUUAUCACAUUAUACCUUAAUAUAAAUCCGGUUUAAGGUAGUAGUAAUUAGUACAACAGUAGUUCUUAUUAUACAAAACUACAGUACUACAAUGAUUUACCCAUUACAUAUUUUGGUGAUAAUCUCACUUAAAGCAUUAAUGUACAAACUAUAUUUUAUCAAAUGAUAGUUAUACUUGGGUAAUCACACACUUUUACAACAGACGAGUUUACAAAACAGUUAAGCCUUGGUAGAAGGUUACUUUUAUAGAAAAUAUAGGAUUUUCUGAGAGAUUCAAACUUUUGCAAAUACUUUUAAACAUUUAUUUACAUUUUUACAAACUUAUACAUUGGGACAAGUUCAACGUUUUUGACAAUGAACAUUGACACUAAAAUACUUAUGAACUCACCAGCUUAAUGCUGAUAAACUCUUUCAAAAUAACUUGUAUUCUCAGGUCAUCAGUAGACAGGUACCGAUGCCAGCUUUUGAGAAGAUGGAGUGUUCUAAGACUCAUCAUUUUGUUAUUUUGAUUUACGUUAUAUUUUUGGUGUCUAAAAAUUUACAGAACACACAUGUAUUAAAUUUAUAUAUUUAAUGCAAUGGAUGAUGUUGUUUGCCUAUUUACAUUUACUGUGUUGUGAUUACCUUACAUGACGUCCUCCACCCCAGAACGUUUCCGCCGUUCUUGGUUUUGGGGUGUGACAAUCAUGAAGGUUGAUGCAAAUGCGGGAGUUAAUACAGUCCGCAUUCGUGGUCUCGAAGAUGCUCGUGAGAGUUCUAUGAGAGACAAUGAGGCUCUAUAGCAAGAAUUAGUUGAAACACGAGCCGAAGUCAUAGAACUCCGACCACGCCAAAGAGUAUAUGAACGACACCUUCUUGAUGUGGAGCGUCAACUGGCAGGUUUGAGGGUUCACAUGAGGGGUACCCAUCGCCGGUAGAAGAUGCUCUACUCGUCUUUCCUUUUGGUUUAAGGAAUAACACUCUUAUGUAUGCUCUAUGUAGCACUUUUACCUGUAAAUAUUCCUAUCUUUGUAGUACUCUAUACUGUCAAAAUUUUCUUACUCUGGUUUGAUGUAAGACCCACUUCUAGGUCAUUUUUCCCGAACUUAGUACAUCAUUAAUGCUAAUAUUAUUGACAGACAUCAAAUCUUUUGGGAAAUACAUAUCUAAGUGCUUUCAUACUUCUACUGUUAGAUCUUUAUUUCAAUAAUACUCUCAUUUGUUUUGUUGGGCUAUGGCGAGUUAGUCCAUGGUUCACUCUCAUUAUACUCACAAUUGAUUCUUACUAUCAUCUUCAUCUUUGUAAACUUUUAGUUGAACAAUGCCUCCACGGAGGGUGACAAGGCGUAAUCCUCCGAUAACUCCUACUCAACCACCACCUCUUCCACAAUACAAUCCGGCAAGAAUCCAAAUUAUAGUGGCUACGGCUGUUUCGGCAGCCUUAGCCCAAUUCAGUGCUAGUGGUACUAGCAGGAGUGGAACAAUAGUUCAUUCCACUCAAGGUGAUGCUCCAAUGCGCUCUAGGGAGUGCUCGUAUAAGGACUUCACCAACUGCAAGCCCAAGUCCUUAACAGGACUGGCGGAAUCAUUGCCCUCUCGCAAUGGUUCGAGAAAACGGAAUCGAUCAUUGAGAUAUGUUCCUGUCUGGAAGGAAGCAAAGUUAAAUUUGGUGCUUGCACCUUCGCGGACAGAGCCUUGACGUGGUGGAAUAGCCAUGUCAAGUAAAUAACUCUAAUUGUGGCUAAUGCUAUGGGCUGGGAAGCUCUGAAGGAGCUCAUGAUAGAAGAGUACUGCCCGAGGGGCGAGGUUCAGAACCUUGAACAGGAACUCUGGAGCCUAACCAUUAAGGGCUCCAACAUAGUGGCCUACACUACCAGAUUCAACGAUCUGGUGGCACUAUGUCCGGGAAUGGUCCCUACAGAGGGAAAGAAGAUAAAAAGGUAUAUCUGGGGGCUGGUGCCUCCAUUUUAGGGGAAUGUCUUAGCUUCAAACCCUACUACCUGUUGGAUUUUGAGCAAUCUUACACUCUCAUGGUGUAUAUGCAACCCUAAAUACCUUGGAUCUAUGUUUUCUCUAUUAUAAAUGCAAAUAUUAAUUUUCCAAGGUAUUAUCCUAACUAGCAUAUUAUGAAAUACAAGUAAUAUAGAAACUAGUAGAAAUACAUACCUCUUUGUUGGCGCUUGAUUCCAUGGAGCUCAAGAGCCUAGUGCCCCAAAUGUGACACCUCAAAUGGUUCACACAACAUCAUAUGCACUUGGAAUAACUCAGAGACAAAUCAUCACUUCAUGAAAUCGGCUUGCCCUCCACACAUAGACUUAGUGGCCGAUUUUGACAAGAAUGAUAUGUUUAUAUAGUGUGACAGAAUUAGGGUAAACCCUAAUUGUCAUGGCUUUCCAUUUCCUUGGAUCCAUGGGUUCAAAUACACCAUGGAGCAUCCUAUGGGUUUUAGCCCAACUUGAUAAUCCAUGGAGCAUUAGCCCACUAUAUAAGUAUGGAUGAUUUACACAAUCAACCCAUAUAUUUAAUCAGUCUUCUUUUGAUCACUUAAUUAAUUCUAGAUUAAUUCUUGAUCAAUACUAAUUAAAUAAUCUUUUUAAUAUAUUAGAACUUAUAAUAUAUUAAUAAACCUUAAGUGUUAUUUCUCUCAUUUUAGGCUAUCCAAAUGCAUGAUUCCAUGCAACCCAAAUGGACCAUGCCAGGUUGGGUCAAGUAUAUACCAAUUAUAGUUAUGGACUUAGAAACUAAUCCAACAGUCUCCCACUUGGAUAAGUCUAAUAACUAUAAUUGCAAGUACGCCAUCACAACCUGACCAGCAAUCGUAGCUCUUAAAAGCUGCUGCCAAACUCUUAACAAAUCAAUGACGCUUCCAUUAGAUAAGUGAUCAUAUAUUCCUCCAUUCUAGAUAUCAUAUGGAAUGAGACAUGGAUUAUAAUCAUUCUCUCUGUCCAUUCGUUGUUUCCCGAUUUUUGAUUUAUGACGACUGACUAAUUGAAUAAAUCAAAUCAUUCCAGGCCCGACCGAGAACUUACAUUUUGUCAUCACUAAAUCAUCAAGAGGCCCACAGAUAUCGCUUUUAUCCCAUUAAGGUUAAAAGGAAUGGAUAAACUUCGACUCAUAUGCUUGUACUGACUACUUGUUGAAUCAUACACGAAGGCACAUUUUAUAACAUCAAGUUACCAAUGCCUUUUCAUGCAAUCAAUGUAUAACCAACUCAUAGUCAACAACUCAUAUCUCUAGGUUUGAAGAAUAUAAGAUAUUAUCAUCUCAUGAUUCACUCGUGAUAAAAUCCAUGAAGUGAUUCAAAUGAGCGUGGGUUGAAUCCAAUACUUAGAACUUAUGAGCACUCAUCAAUGUUGUAGCAACCAUUGUUAUGUCUAAUGCACCUUAGACAAAUCUUACAAUCCAGAUUGAUGACAGUCUUGAUUCAUAUCUACUUCCAACAUAUGACCGACUGUGGAUGGUUUGAAUAACUUAGUCAUUCGGGAAGAAUGACCUAGUUAUUCUGGAAUUCAAAACAUGCAAAGUGAAACACAAAAUAAUACUAAUCUUGUAUGGCCAAAACACUUUGAGUGUAAAUAAAACCCUUUUAUCUAAGCACCAUAUUGAUUACUCGUUAUUCAUGUUUCGAUUAAUCAACUUUAUACUUGAAUUGAAACAAUAGUCAUGCCAUGCUCCAAGAAUGCAUACUUUGUUUACCUAUGGUCCUUUCUUUGUGAAAUAGAUCAAUUGAACACGACUCCACUGAUGCUCAUUUCACAAUCCCAAUCCCUUUUGUAAAUGUACGAAUACCAAACUCUUUCCAUUUACUGUAAUCUGUUAGAUUCUAAACUUAUAUGCAAUGAUUCUCUUGUAAUGACUACGCACAAAGUCACAUAGACCUGGCAACAGACAUUACAAAGUAUUAUAAUGGAGAUCAAUUCCAUGGAAGCGAAGUCUGAUAUUCAAAGUACAUUCCUUUGAACAUCAUUCUUUGCAUAAAGUUUUCUAAUCUUACACAGAUUCAGAGAAUAACUUCCACCUAUGGAAACAAUUUCAUAUUACCAUUGUGACUAUCACUUCUAAACAAGAGUUGCUUCUUUUUAGAAUAUGUCAAUAUGGUCCUUUAAAAAGUUUAACACUAUACUUCCAAUUGUCCACAAGCAACCAAUCUUUGGUAAACCUCAGAUUGUCCUCGAAAAUUUGCUUAAUCAUUUUAGUCAUUUCCAGUUCUAUUCCUUUUCCAUUUUAAUGCCUUAGGCAUUUGGAAAAUUUAGAAUGGAUUAUAGCACAUGUAAUCGAACCUAUAUCCGAAGCAUAUGGGACACGAUUCAUGCUAUAUUUUUUUAUUUGCCAUGUUCUCAUAAUUCGAACUAUGAAGAGGUAUGUCGUAAUCAUAAUCGAAUUUUGAGAACGCAACAUUUAUAGAAUUUCCUUAUGUUGAACCAUUCCAACAUAACAUUUAUAUAUAUUCUUGACUAAAGUAGAUUAAAAUCUCAAUCUAAGCGUGUAAAAUUGGAAUGAAGUAUAAAAUUCUCUCCAUUAAUUAUAGAAAAACAACUUUUUCAAGGCGAAUUGAAACGUUUGUUCUCUAUAAUUAAUAUUGCUAACUUGCAACACUUUACAUAAUAAUCAUGCUCCCAGUAGCAUAAUGAUUAUUAUCUUACUAGCAUAACACUUAUGCUCCCACUAGUUUUGACAUGUAUCCAGAGAUCAUCUGGACUUUUAGAAAUCAAUACUUUAUUGACUUUCUUACCAAAGUUCAGAUUUCUGAUACGCAAUUACUUUGAUAAGACUUUAUCAAAAUCAUAGAACUUUCCUUAGAUAGCUCACUUGUGUGUCUAAACAAUUAUGAAUAGGGAUGUCGUAAUCAUAAUUUUCAGACCUUUUGUCAUUCACACAAUUGCUAUUUACUUAAAAUCUACUUAGUGAAAGAGUUUCCUCACCAUCAUUUUCAAGAAUCGAAGAGAAACCUUAUGACACUUAGAUUUUAUGGUGUAAGUGUUCUUAUCCAUGUGAAUUUGUCAUAACCAUAAUCACAAGACAAGGUUACAGGCAAAUCCAAACACAUAUGGACUAAACUUGUUCAAUCUUAAUUUCUUGCUACCUGGCAGCACAAGGGCCUACCAUUGCUUCCAGGUUGUUAUGCAAACAAUUGAGAACUCACAAAAUUCAUAAGCAUAGUCAACUUUUAACUCGAAUAGACACAUAAAUAAGAUAUAUUUCAACACGACAGGUUACAAACCUCAAGUCAUGGGCUAGUGAUUAACAAUCCUCUUGAUUAAUUUUUGAAACUAUCUCAAGAUCUUUAAGACUCCCACUCACCUCUUGGCAUAUAAGAUUCUCUUUGUCAAGAACCAUUCCUUGAUAAAACAAAUAUUCAAGAGUUAGUGCGGAUUCUUAUCAAGUUAAACAAUUCUCACAAUUGGUCUUAGUUGGUCUUUGUCUUAUCCAAAACAUCACAACUUACCAAUUUCAAAUGUACAAGAAUAGGAAACAUCUUACUCUACAUUUGACAAGUGUUAAAAAAACUUUCUAAAGACUAUGUCACUCAAGUUACAAUCUUGGAGUAUAACUCCAGGAUUUGUUUUUGGAAUGAAGUAUGAUUUAUCUUUUGAUUUAACCAUUUCAACAAUUCACGAUUCCUCUCCUUAGGAAAACAAAUGCACUAAGGUGUACUUCGAGGAUGAAUUGUGAUAUGGUUCCAUAAUCACUAAGAUAAUCAUAAAACAAGAUACACAAGUACUCUCCCAUCUCUUCAGAUUGGAGAAACUUUUAUCUUUCUGCCUUAUUUGAUUCUUCUUAUUCAUUCUGACACACAUUGAAACUUUUCCAAAGUUUCAGAAUUAUACUUAAACUUGUAAGCAUAAUCAUAUUUACUAAACUUUAGUAAAUCAUAACGAAUAACCUUAUCAAACUUUGUGGUGGGCCUGACUAGUGCACAACCUAAUGUACCCGAUCCUUUAGUACUUCGCUUGACUCACAUGCGAAUGUGAAAAAGGAAUUAGUCUUAAUUUACCAAAUAUGAAAAUUCUCUUCAUCACNUUACCAAAUAUGAAAAUUCUCAUUCAUCACACAAUACAACUUGCAUGAUUCCAAGUUUCUAUCCAACUAAAACUUGGGUGAUGAGAAUCUUUCCUUAUUUGAUAAAUUAUGACGCUACCACAAACGAAAGAAUCAAAUUGAUUUUCCAAUAUUUCUAUCAAUGGAAACAUAUAAACAACAAUUUUUUCACAAAUGCCUUCGUAAGGAUACUUAAAAUAAAUAAAAUCAAAACUUUUCUUUUAUUUUAAAACUAGCGGAAAAACUUAUCCUUUGUAACAUCCCGAAAUAGCAAGAGUAAAGUUGAAGGGCUAAAAGAGUAAAAUGGGAAGGACCAAGNAGUGACCAACUCGGCGAGUAGCAUGGGUGGACUCGGCGAGUUGGUGCUGAGUGGAGAAAACCCUAAAUCCGGAGGUUGAGCCCUAUAUAAAGAACAUUAUGUCUCCUCCCCAGCCUCCUUAUCAUCCCUUAAGUUCCAGAAGCCCUAAUUUCGUGAGGAAACCCCAUUGUUGAGUGAAUUGGAGCUUGGAGAAGUGGUUGUUGAAGAAAUCUUGAAGGAGAAGAGACUUGGAUGAAAGGGCUUUGCGAGGAUCCAGACUAAUCUUCUGUUGGAGCUUCCUUUUGAGGUAUUAUUUCAUUGUUUGAGCUGCUAAUGUCUAGAUUCAUCAUUUUUGGGGGUGUUAGAGAUCAUAUCUUUUGGUGUAUUGGAGUUAGAGGUUAGAUCUGAGGUUGCUACCUCAGAUCUGGAAUGGAGAAAGGCUUGAAAGCAUAAAAGUCCCUGUUGAUGAGUGUUUGAAAGAGCUAUUUUGUCCCAAACCCUAUCCCUAGAGUGUAAAGUGCCUAGAUCUCCUUGGAUCCACGUAAAGUUUACCACUUUACGUGAUGGAUGGCCUUAGGAAGGGUAGAUCUAUGGUUUGGAUCAUCUGCAUGGCUUGGAAAGCCUCUAUAUGGAUUCAGACCCGGUGGUACUCGACGAGUCACAUGGGUAGACUCGGCGAGUUGCUUGAAGAUAGGUUGGAACUCGAGGAGUUGGAAGAACAACUCGGCAAGUUGGAUGAAGAUGGCCUGAAACUCGACGAGUUGGAAGAACAACUCGGCGAGUAGGUUGAAGAUAGCCUUAGACUGGACAAGUCUGUUCUUGGACUCGGCGAGUCUUGUCGAAGAGUCCCAAUCUUUUCUAGUUGAGCCGUGAAUCGGUGAGUCAAGGGAUGACUCGGUGAGUUGUGUGUGAGUGGACUCAAAGUUGUUGAACUCGGCGAGUCUCGGGGUGACUCGGCGAGUUGAGUCGCGGAUUGGGGAAUUUCUGAGCAUGGGGACUCGGCGAGUCAUCGGGUUGACUCGGCGAGUAGAGUCAGUCAUGGGUUGACUUUGACCAAGGGUUGACCAAUGGUUUCCAGGGGCAUUUUGGUAAUUGUUGGAAAUUGUUUUGAGUUCAGUGCCUUGGUGGUUGUCCAGUGGUGGAGAUCGUAUCAGUGAUCGGAGCAGCUUGGGUUAUCUAUUUAGUCGGCAGUUUCGAGGUGAGUCAUCCUCACUAUAUCAACAAGGUCUAAGGCACCAAGGCCGGCCCUUAUCGGAUUGAGAUCCGGGUCUUUAUUGGUAUGUUAUUGCUUUGAUAUGUUUGCAUCCUGGUAGCUAGGAUGGUAUAUGUUAGAGACCUGAUUGAGAUCGGUAUUCUGAGAUGUAGGGUAAUGCUAUGCUAGUGACCGGUUAGGUCGGUAUCCUGGUUAGGAUGAUGAUAUGUUAUGUGAUCUGCUUGAUCGGCUUGUUGACUGUUAAAUGUUAUAUGUAUGUUUAUGUGCGCAUGGUUGUUUGGACUGGAGUUGGGUUGAGGCGGGUCCUGCUUUGUGCUGUAGGCCAAGAUACCCAGGGCGGACCGGUUGUCCCGAAGGCCCAGCGAGCGGUCCGGAUAGGCUGUAGGCCCCAAGAGGGCGGACCAGACGUGCCGAGGCUCGGAGAGUGGACCAGGCCGACUGAAGGCCCGGUGCGGGCGGACCAGUCAUACUGUAGACUCAGAGAGUGGACCAGGUGGAUUGAAGGCCCGGUGCGGGCGGACCAAUCACACUGCAGACUCGAUGUAUGUGGUUAGAUUCGGAGAGUGGACCAGGUGGAUUGAAGGCCCGGUGCGGGCGGACCAAUCACACUGNNNNNNNNNNNNNNNNNNNNNNNNNNNCAGGUGGACUGUUGGCUGGUGCGGCGGACCAGUCACACAGUAGACCCGAAGUGCAUGGCUGCUCUGUGAUCGGACAUGUUAUAGCAUGUUAUGCGCGUACGGUAUAUGUGGUUGGUAUUUUGGGGAUAUCUCACUAAGCUUUCGGGCUUACAGUUGUGGUUUUAUGUUUUUCAGGUUCUUCAGGAGACCGUGGCAAGGCGAAGGCGUGAUCGUACCGCGCCUCGUGUUUAUGUUGUGAUGAGAUUCUGGGAAUAAUUAAAAAAAUUGUAUUAAAAACCUUUUUGUAAUAACUUUAAUGGAAUCAGUUUGUUUUCAAAAAUUUUAAAUUGGUUGAAAUCUUUGGUCGUUACAAGUUGGUAUCAGAGCCUUGGUUUGAGUGAAUUGGAGGAACACUCGUGUGACUCCAGUCUCAAAUCGAGGAGAGUUUUCAAAAGAGAAUUUAAAAUGGUUUUCAAAAUGAGUAAAGGAGGACGCGGAGGUACGAUCAGCCGGAGCCAGUAAGUAACCCCAAAAUACCAUACAUGAUAUUUGUUUUUGAGCUUUGAUAGAACAGCAUGCUAGUGCUAGGCUAGGGAUCUUUAGGAUUUCAUGAUAAUGUUGCCUGAUUUGUGAUGCCUGUAGCCUAGGGUUUCCUUGUGAGAGAUUUCCAGUGUUCCUCUAGGGUGAGGGUUGAGCGCUUGUUUGUAUGUUUCACUAGGGUGUUGUGGUAGUACUUCAUACAAAUAUGGGUAGGUGUGGAAGGUAGUAUGGGCCCGUACUACUGAAAGCACAGGACCCAUACGCGUAUCAGGGAAACCAUGAACCCUAGGGUUGGGUUGAGAGAGAGUUGGUUCCCGGAUUAGUGGGAAGUGUCUGAGAUUUUGUGGUGUUUUUCAGUAUGGAGAUUCCGAGGCAUGCUGGGAGUGGAUCCGGGUCAGGAUCGGGAGCAGGAGGGGGAGUUCUGGGGGGGUCAGUACCGCCUGAGGUUAUUGGCCAGAUGAGCACGUGCGAGUUGGAUGCGAGGAUUCGUGAGAUCCCGCGUGAUGAGAUUGCUGCGUUGUUCCGGGCUAAGUCGCCGGAACUGUUUGGGUCGAUCAAGACCGCUAUGGUUGAGUAUUUUGAUGAGCGUUAUGCAGCUCUCACAGAGACGGCUGCCGCGGUGGCUACAUCGGCUGUAGCAACGGCAGGGGGAGGAGCUGGUCGGGGCUUUCAGUAUCGGGACUUCGAUAAUACGAAGCCUCCCACCUUUGAUGGAGUUCAGGACCCGAUUGUUGCUAUGAGGUGGUUAUCGGACGUGGAGGGGUGUUUCUUCACAUGUUCAUGCCUUGCUGAUAAGAGGGUGAGGUGUCCCCUGAACCUGUUGAGGCUCGGGGCGAAGGAUUGGUGGAGAUUGACCACGGGGUCAUAUUCGGAUGCGCAGAGGGCUGCGGUUUCAUGGGAUCAGUUCAGAGAGAUGUUCAGCACUCGUUAUGUUCCGCGGGUUGAGAGGGAGAGAUUGGCUCAGGAGUUCCUUGAGCUGAAGCAGGAUUCGGAGUCGGUGACUGAGAUCACCAGGAUGUUCACUGAGAGGGCGAUGUUCUGCCCUGAGUUCGCUUCGGAGCAGGCUCAGAUGUCUCGAUAUCUGAGCAUGCUCAAGAGGGAUAUCAGACAGUUUGUGUCUACGCAGAGGUGCGAGACCUUGUUGGAGUUGCAGGAGGCCGCCAGGCGGCAUGAGUUAGAGAUUGAGUUGCAGUUGCGUGAGCUGAGGCAGGCUCCGGUGCAGUCGCAGCCGGCGCCGAAACGGUCCAAGACCGUUGAUGUUAGAGUGGGGGAUCUGAGCAGCCACACUUGUGGGAAGUGUGGGAGGGGUCACACCGGAGUUUGUAGGUCCGGUGGUGCAUGCCGCAAGUGUGGAAAGGAGGGGCACUAUGUGAGGGAUUGUCGACAGUCAGUGCCGGUUCGGGAUUUGAGGAUUUGUUAUCAUUUUCAUCAGGCUGGACAUUUGAGGGUCAACUGUCCACAGCUCGCUGCAGGACCGGUGCAGGCUCCAGCACCGGCCACUUUGAGGAUCACGGGGGGAGGUCAGGGUGGAGCGGAGCCCCAAGGGCUCAGGGUCGUGCUUUUCAGCUUAUAGCAGAGGAGGUAAGAGCAGUGUCGGAUGCAGCUGCGAGUAUGUUUCUUCCUUGAUGUCUUGCUAUCUUGUGAUUAUUGUGGUGUAUUGUUUAUGUGCUAGUAUCUUUGUGUGGUUCUCGGUGUGGUAUUCGUUGUUCUUUGAGGGUUAUGGCAUGGCUAUGGGUUUAGUUUUGGGAUUUUGUGGUUAUCUUUUAUGAGGGGUUAUUAGUGGAAACCUGGCAUUGGUCGGAAGGCCGGGUAGCAUCUGCUUUCUGAGGAGUGGUUAGCUGCCGAUUGAGUUCUUUUGAGCGGGAUAAUCAGUGUUGAUAUGGGAUUUUGUUAAGGUUGUUUAUGCUUGUGGGAAGCAGUCCGCGUCUAAGUGUUGGUUUUGUGCAGGGUUGUUUUGGGUGGUCGGUAAUGGCGACCGGUGUUUGAUAGUCACUGCUAUAAGUGGGGGAGAAUUGGAAAAUUCUCCGGAAGAUCGAUGAGCAUUUGAGGGUUCUUAGCUGUUUGGAAUUCAACAGUGUUCUAUCAGACCAGAGUGUAGGCUGGUAGGAGCAAGUGUCGGGCAUGCGGGGCAGGAUACAUACCUAGGGCAUUUGAUUGUGGACGGCCUGGGAUCAGGCCGGAAUCGAUUAUGUGUGAUGGAGAUAGAGUUCGGAACCCCUAGAGGGCUAGAACGGUAUGCAUGGGAGGAUUUCCCGGAGAGAUAGCUCGGAAUGAUGAAUGCUAAUUGAGCGGUCCGGAUAGACUGAAGGCUGGUAGGCGUACCAGUCAGGCCGAAGGCUCGGAGGAUGGUCCAGCCAGACUAAAGGCACAGAGAGCGGUCCAGAUUGGCUGAAGGUUCUGAGAGUGGUCUAGAUUGGCUGAAGGCCUGGUGAGGCGGUCCAAUCAUGCUGAAGACUCUACAGGCGUUCUUAGAUCGGUUCGAGGAUAUGGAUUGUGUUUAUGCGGCAUGAUAGCAUUAGAAGGGCUGGCCCCGGGUUUUUAUCUUGAUUAGUGGAAUUUGUGCAUGGGCUUGAGAGUCCCUGCGAUCAGAGUCAGAGCAUGUGUGCGGUUAUGCUAUGAAGGAGUGGUGUAGCGUUGGGCUUUGAUCAGCAUGAUUGCAGCAGUGGCAUGGAAUCACAUCCAGUUUGGGAUGUCUGCUGAGGUCGCGGAAGGAAUUCCGUGGGUGUAGGGCCAAGGGGCUCGGAAGGGAUGCAGAGAGGGAGUCUUGGGCUCUCAGUGUGAUUUUGAUCAGGAAAUUGUGUAUGUAGUAGUGGUUCAUCCUGGGGGAUGUUUGGAGAUGUCAUCAGUGUAUCAGGUUUUCCCAACCUGAGGGUGCUAGAGCUAGUUCAGCAUGUGUAUGUGAUUGCAAGAGGAGAACUCAUGGCAGUUGCUCUGAAGAAUGUGUCUUUCUGUCAGCAGAGUGGUUAGAGUUGGACUCGGACCGGGAAUCCGGUGGUGCAUGGUUAUUUUCUAGCUCACAUGGGGCGAGCGAUGGUUGUGAUUUGGAGCAGUGUUGCAUCAUGAGUAGUACUCAGUUGUUAAGUGGGGUUAUCAGAGGGUAAAGCUGGUGGUCGGCUCGAGACGGUGGUCAGAACACCGUAAGGAAGGAGAAAGUGAGUUUCGGGUUCUAUGGUUGUGUUUUGAGGAACAUGGUUGGGUUAAUGCCAGGUGAUGCGUGGCAGGAGUAUUUCUAAGAGUUGAGUUGUUGCAGGCUUCGAGGACGAAGCCUAAUGUAAGUGGGGGAGAAUUGUAACAUCCCGGAAUAGCAAGAGUAAAGUUGAAGGGCUAAAAGAGUAAAAUGGGAAGGAGGAACUCGGAGAGUCCACGAGUGGACUCGGUGAGUAGGGUCGCGACUCUAGUCGCGUGUUAAGUGACCAACUCGGUGAGUAGCAUGGGUGGACCCGGCGAGUUGGUGCUGAGUGGAGAAAACCCUAAAUCCGGAGGUUGAGCCCUAUAUAAAGAACAUUAUGUCUCCUCCCCAGCCUCCUUAUCAUCCCUUGAGUUCCAGAAGCCCUAAUUUCGUGAGGAAACCCCAUUGUUGAGUGAAUUGGAUAUUGGAGAAGUGGUUGUUGAAGAAAUAUUGAAGGAGAAUAGACUUGGAUCAAAGGGCUUUGCGAGGAUCCAGACUAAUCUUCUCUUGGAGCUUCCUUUUGAGGUAUUAUUUCAUUGUUUGAGCUGCUAAUGUCUAGAUUCAUCAUUUUUGGGGGUGUUAGAGAUCAUAUCUUUUGGUGUAUUGGAGUUAGAGGUUAGAUCUGAGGUUGCUACCUCAGAUCUGGAAUGGAGAAAGGCUUGAAUGCAUAAAAGUCCCUGUUGAUGAGUGUUUGAAGGAGCUAUUUUGUCCCAAACCCUAGCCCUAGAGUGUAAAGUGCCUAGAUCUCCUUGGAUUCACGUAAAGUUUGCCACUUUACGUGAUGGAUGGCCUUAGGAAGGGUAGAUCUAUGGUUUGGAUCAUCUGCAUGGCUUGGAAAGCCUCUGUAUGGAUUCAGACCCGGUGGUACUCGGCGAGUCACAUGGGUGGACUCGGCGAGUUGCUUGAAGAUAGGCUGGAACUCGACGAGUUGGAAGAACAACUCGGCGAGUUGGAUGAAGAUGGCCUGGAACUCGACGAGUUGGAAGAACAACUCGGCGAGUAGGUUGAAGAUAGCCUUAGACUCGACGAGUCUGUUCUUGGACUCGGCGAGUCUUGUCGAAGAGUCCCAAUCUUUUCUGGUUGAGCCGUGAAUCGGUGAGUCAAGGGGAUGACUCGGUGAGUUGUGUGUGAGUGGACUCAGAGUUGUUGAACUCGGCGAGUCUCGGGGUGACUCGGCGAGUUGAGUCGCGGAUUGGGGAAUUUCUGAGCAUGGGGACUCGGCGAGUCAUCGGGUUGACUCGGCGAGUAGAGUCAGUCAGGGGUUGACUUUGACCAAGGGUUGACCAGUGGUUUCCAGGGGCAUUUUGGUAAUUGUUGGAUAUUGUUUUGAGUUCAGUGCCUUGGUGGUUGUCCAGUGGUGGAGAUCGUAUCAGUGAUCGGAGCAGCUUGGGUUAUCUGUUCAGUCGGCAGUUUCGAGGUGAGUUAUCCUCACUAUAUCAACAGGGUCUAAGGCACCAAGGCCGGCCCUUAUCGGAUUGAGAUCCGGGUAUUUGUUGUUAUGUUAUUGCUUUGAUAUGUUUGCAUCCUGGUAGCUAGGAUGGUAUAUGUUAGAGACCUGGUUGAGAUCGGUAUCCUGAGAUGUAGGGUGAUGCUAUGCUAGUGACCGGUUAGGUCGGUAUCCUGGUUAGGAUGAUGAUAUGUUAUGUGAUCUGUUUGAUCGGCUUGUUGACUGUGAAUUGCUAUAUGAUUGUAUGUAUAUGUGCACAUGGUUGUUUGGACUGGAGUUGGGUUGAGGCGGGUCCUGCUUUGUGCUGUAGGCCAAGAUACCCAGGGCGGACCGGUUGUCCCGAAGGCCCAGCGAGCGGUCCGGAUAGGCUGUAGGCCCCAAGAGGGCGGACCAGACGUGCCGAGGCUCGGAGAGUGGACCAGGCCGACUGAAGGCCCGGUGCGGGCGGACCAGUCAUACUAUAGACUCAGAGAGUGGACGAGGUGGAUUGAAGGCCCGGUGCGGGCAGACCAAUCACACUGCAGACUCGAUGUAUGUGGUUAGAUUCGGAGAGUGGACGAGGUGGAUUGAAGGCCCGGUGCGGGCGGACCAAUCACAUUGCAGAAUCGAUGUAUAUGACUAGACUUGGAGGUUGGACCAGGUGGACUGUUGGCCGGUGCGGCGGACCAGUCACACAGUAGACCCGAAGUGCAUGGCUGUUCUGUGAUCGGACAUGUUAUGGCAUGUUAUGCGCGUAUGGUAUAUGUGGUUGGUAUUUUGGGGAUAUCUCACUAAGAUUUCGGGCUUAGAGUUGUGGUUUUAUGUUUUUCAGGUUCUUCAGGAGACCUUGGCAAGGCGAAGGCGUGAUCGUACCGCUCCUCGUGUUUAUGUUGUGAUGAGAUUCUUGGAAUAAUUAAAAUAAAUUGUAUUGAAAACCUUUUUGUAAUAACUUUAAUGGAAUCGGGUUGUUUUUGAAUAUUUUAAAUUGGUUGAAAUUUUGGUCGUUACAUCCUUACAAUGCAAAUACAUAUGAAAACUUGUUGUUAUCUAUUCAUAGCAAUAUUUCAUAACUCUUAUGCAGUGACUCAAAAUUCUGGUCAUCGAACCAUGCGAUCAAAAUCAGCACACUCUUUCUUUAAGCUUCCUUUGAUUCUCCCAAAACAUCAAAAUGUAAUUACAUUACAUCAUGUUUUAAGAAUCUCCAAAAGUGACUUAAUAAAGUUAGAUAACGGACUUUACCUAAACUAGAGUCAAAAUUUUCACUUUACCAUCCUUAUAAGGUUUCAGGUAAAUUCAGCAGUUUUCCAACCAAUGCCCCUUUUCUUUGGCAAUAUGGACAUAUGGACUCUUUGGGAAUGGUACAUGGGACUAUCUCAUACUUAGUCAUUCUCUUUACCAUUUGGUCAACCGAGUUGACUAUGGUCGAUCCCUUUCCAUUGGGAAGAGAAAGUUUUUUUGAACUUCCAAUGUCACCAAUGUCAAUGUCCAAAUAGGUUUGGGAAGUAGAUCUUCCAAUCUAAUUUGCUUCACCAAUGCUCCAAAUCAUUGCUGAUUCAGCAUCCUCAAGCAAAUAUGUAAGAUCAUUACGAGUCAUGUCAUGAUCUGUCAUCAGGGAGUGACUGAAGAACCAACUCAACAGCCCGCAACCUUGAGACUUCAACACCCGAUUCUCCCGGCUUGUCAAUAUGUGACUUAACCUCUAAGAUGUAAACACAUAUAGACUUUGAUUUCCAAUAGGGAUUGAGUGACUUAGAACUUAUCAAGUCUUGAAACUUAUGGGAUAGGGAGAUUUAUUGGAGGAGGUGGAGGAAGUGAAGUAUGAUUUCCAGUCCCACUAAUACACAACAAAGGGAUUAGUCUUUCACCUUGGUUGCCAUUUGGGAUAUCAUCUUCAUUAGGAAGCUUGUUCCUAAGGAUUUAGGAGGACCAUAGAUGUCUUAACAAGACAUCUAUAAUGGGAGAAAUUCAAGUUUAGUUGAUUUAAAGUCAUUAACAUAACACCCAAUAUCAAAUAUUAAGGCUAGGACCCAACAAACUAUUUUAUAACUUGGAAGAGGGAUGUCGUAGUCCAAGCUAUAGAAUAUUUGAAGGUAGGUAAAUGAAGAUUUACCAAUUUCAACCAUGAAUAACGAAAUUAUUCAUUAAGUUUUAAUUGUAUUUAAAACUCCUAGAUCUUUUGAGAUACAUUGAACUUUGAAUGUCAUGUUUGAAUCUCGAUUGUGCCCUCUCAAGUUUGUGACUGGGAUGACGAGGAUCACAAACAAGGCGUGAAUAACCAUAAAAAUUGACUUGGUACCCUUAAUUUUAUCAUCUAAUCGAUGUGUUGGUUAAACACACAAUCCACCGAUCUAUGAUAAAACUUAAGUCACCCUUUGCCACACAUUGUCAGUCCCAUGUUAGUGUGCCGGUUAACCACACACGCUCCACUAACGACUUAACAAAGGUGCAAAGUGUAAUUUCAUGGGUUAGCACCAUUUCACAUUUUCCUAAGUAACUAAGAUUGGGAAUUUAUAAGUGUUUAGUUACCUAGUAUUUAUCAUUAUACUGUUAAUGAAGGGAGAAUUAUAGUCCUUUCCUACCCGUUCGGCUAACGACCCUCCACCAGUCAAAGAAGUCGUGGGUGAGAGUGGACACCCAUUAAACUGCCAUUUGAUAGGCAGUAACGUUAUACCCCCCUUAUAGACCGGCUUCGUGAGUAAGGCCUACUAAUGGUAAGAUUGACUUUAUCUUAUACAUAUCUAUAUAAUUAAAAUUAUAAUAAUAGUAUAAGGUUGUAUUUUAAACAUUUAAAAUACUUGGUGGUUUAAUCUAUUAAUUAAACUAUACUCUUAAUUUAAUUAAGCUUAAACCAUGUCUUUAUGGAAUUAUUAACUCUUUUAAUUAAACACUUUAAAUAAUUUAAUGAAGUCCAUAAAGUUUGAAUUUAAACUUUUAAAAUUGCAGAGUUUGGGAUUAAGGCAUUAAUGUGUGUGAAACUUUACAAAUUCCAAAACUUGAGGGCAAGUUUUGAAACUAUUCAAAACCUUUCAUUUCAUAACUUAUGAGUUUAAUGGUUCAUUAAAAUGAAGACUCUUCAUUUUUAUGUAACCUCUUAUUCUUUAAUAACACUUUUAAAGAAGUGACUCCAAGUUAUGGAGUCAUCAAAACAAUUUAAUGAAAAGACUCUUCAUUUUUUGUGUGACCUAUGGAACUUUUAUGAGCUUUAAAAUUCAUAAAUGUGACCUUUUAUGUAACUGUGAUGACAAGUUACAAAAACACCUUUUAUGAACUUCUUUUAGAUUAAUAUGGAUUGAAAGAAACUAACAAAUAAUAUUUUUUAUCAAUCUAAAUUACUCAUAAAACAAUGAAACACAAAACUUUUGGUAAUGCAUAACUUGAGGACAAGUUAUGGAGUCCAUACAAUUUCAUCAAGAUCAUGAAUUAUACUAACAAACAAUUUGCACAUAAUUUCUAUGAUCUAACAAAACUCAUAAGCAUGAACAUUCAUAAUCAACAAUUUUUCAAGAAUUACAUAAACAUAUAUAAAACUUGAAACUUUGAUUAUCACAUUGAAAUUGGUUUAACAUAAUCAUUACCACAUUAGAGAAAACAGGUUUCAUAACUCCAAAACAAUUAAAGGUAAUGAUUCUAGACCAAUUCCAACACCAAAACUCGAAGAUAUGCUGUUUGGGGUUCCAACUCGUCGAGUGCACAAAGAAACUCAACGAGGAGGAUGAGUUUUGCUUUAGACUCAUCAAGUCCCUUUAUGGACUCGUCGAGUCCCCUGUCCAGACAACACAAAACUUCGUUUAUUUUGAGCCAAUUUUGCAAGUAUAAGUGAAAACAAGCCUAGGCUCAGAUAGCACUGUUGGCUUUUGAGCAAUCUAACACUCCUAUGGUGUACAUACAACCCUAAAUACCUUGGAUCUAUGUUUUCUCUAUUAUACAUGCAAAUAUAAUUUUUCCAAGGAAUUAUCCUAACUAGCAUAUUAUGAAAUACAAGAAAUAUAGAAACUAGUAGAAAUACAUACCUCUUUGUUGGUGCUUGAUUCCAUGGAGCUCAAGAGCCUUAGUGCCCCAAAUGUGACACCUCAAAUUGUUCACACAACAUCAUAUGCACUUGGAAUAAUUUAAAGAGAAAUCAUCACUUCAUGAAAUCGGCUUGCCCUCCACACAUAGACUUACUGGCCGAUUUUGAUAAGAAUGAUAUGUUUAUAUAGUGUGACACAAUUAGGAUAAACCUUAAUUGUCAUGGAUUUCCAUUUCCUUGGAUCCGUGGGCUCAAAUACACCAUGGAGCAUCCAUGGAGCAUCCUAUGGGUUUUAGCCCAACUUGAUAAUCCAUGGAGCAUUAACUCACUAUAUAAGUAUGGAUGAUUUACAUAAUCAACCCAUAUAUUUAAUUAGUCUUCUUUUGAUCACUUAAUUAAUUCUAGCUUAAUUCUUGAUCAAUAGUAAUUAAAUAAUCUUAUUAAUAUAUUGGAACUUAUAAUAUAUUAAUAAACCUUAAGUGUUAUUUUUCUCAUUUUAGCCUAUCCAAAUGCAUUAUGCCAUGCAACCCAAAUGGACCAUGUCGGGUCGGGUCAAGUAUAUACCAAUUAUAGUUAUGGACUUAGAAACUAAUCCAACACUACCUUCGACGGUGCCAAACGGUUGGCACAAUGACUCAUUGAUCAUGGAGUUCGUACCCCGACGACGACAACAACCCUGGCUAUCCCAGAACCCUCCAAGGCCACUGACAACAAGCGAAAGUUCUGGGAUAACAAGAAGAAGAACGCGGCGCAAAAUGCUACCAAAAAUCAACAGGUUGUGGAUGUUCAUGCUACGAUAGCAUCUACUGCUACUACGCCGAUGUGUUGGAUUAAUGUCUAAGUCCAUAACUAUAUUUGGUAUGUACUUGACCCGACCCAGCAUGGUUCAUUUGGGUUUCACUUCACCGACACAAUUUAUAUGGAUAAUCUUUUGAGAAUAGUAUAUUUAUGAUUAAUAUUAAUAUAUUAUAAGUUCUAAUAUAUUAAUAUGGAAUCAUAUUAUUUAAUUAGAAUUGAUCAAGAAUUAAUUAAGUGAUCAAAAUGAACUAAUUAAAUAUGGACUCUUAUAUAUAUGGAAUGGGCCAAGUUCAUUUAGGUUGGGCUAAGCUUUCAUGGAUAGUCCAGGGAGUGUUUAACCCAUGGAUCAUAUGAAAUGAAAGGUCAUGGGUUUAACCCUAGUCUCCAUAUUAUAUAAAGAUGUCCUUGGUUGGUGAAAUUGGCACUAGUGUGGGUACACUAAGAGGGCUAGCCGAUUUCACUAGAGAGAACCAAAGUAUUCUUAUUCUCAAAGUCUUCCAAGGUAUUUUGGUGAUUUGUGAUUCCACUUGAGGCUGCCACACUAUUGGGGCUAAGCUCUUAAAGCUUGAAGACAUCAAGCUACAGCAAAAGGUAUGUCAUCUAACUAGUCUUUGUAGUAUAGUUGCCUCAUAGUAUGCUAGUUAGGAUUAAGGCCUUGUAAAGUUCUUAUUUCCAUGUAUAAUAGAGAAAACAUAGAUCCAUGGUUUAUAGGGUUGCAUGUACACCAUAGGAGUGUUAGAAUGCUCAAAACCCAACACGAUGAAGCAGUAUGUUGUGAGCUUGCCCACGUGCAAUAAGUGCAGCUUCCAUUAAAACGGACCCUACCGGGAAAUGCAGUGCGCUUACUGUUGGAUUAGUGUCUAAGUCCAUAAAUAUAAUUGGUAUGUACUUGACCCAAUUGACAUGGUCCAUUUGGGUUGCAUGGCAUCAGAACAAUUUGGAUAGACUUUUGUGAGAAAAGGAUAUUUAUGAUUUGUUAAUAUAUUAUAAGUUCUAAUAUAUUAAUAUGAAAUCAUAUUAUUUAAUUAGUAUUGAUCAAGAAUUAAUUUGGAAUUAAUAUUGUGAUCAAAAGGAGACUAAUUAAAUAUAUGGGGAUUGAUUGUGUAAAUCAUUCAUUCUUAUAUAUGUGGGCUUAUGAUCCAUAGUUCUUGAUGUUGGGCUAAACCCAUGGAAUAACCCAUGGAUACUCCAUGGAGGUUUUAACCCAUGUAACAUGAAGAAUAUGGAAAGCAUGAGUUACAAUGUGUAACCCUAAUAGCCACAAUAUAUAAGGUCCUCAUGGCUGAAGAUGUCACACCCCAAAACCACGAACGGCAGAAACGUUUAGGGGUGGAGGACAUCAUGUACAGUAUCACAACAGUGUAAUAUAAUAAACAAGAAACAACAUCAUCCAUUGCAUUAUAAGUAAAGUUUUAAUACAUGUGUGUUCUUUCAUUGUAGUAAGACACCAAAAAUAUACAAUCAAAAUAAAAGACGAGACUUGUCUGCUCUGUCUUCUCAAAACCUGGCCAUCGUACCUGUCUACUGUUGACCUGAGAAUACAAGUUAUUUUGAAAGAGAGUAUUAGCUUUAAAGCUGGUGAAUUCAUAAGUAAUUAAGUGUCAUUGUCUUGCUUAUGAAAAUCUAUUAUGAAGGCCAUGUAAACCUUUAAAUGAAAAUGUUGAUGUAAGUAUGAAAAACCCUAGAAAAUCCCUUAUUUUCUAUAAGUAUGAAAUGUAGUCUUCUACCAAGACCCGAAUGUUUUGUUAUGACAAUGUAGUCUUCUACCAAGACCCGAAUGUUUUGUUAUGACAAUGUAGUCUUCUACCAAGACCCGAAUGUUUUGUAAGUAAUAUGAUAGCUUUUCCUUUCUAUUGACUAGUACUAGAGUACUUAGUCUAACUCAUCGUUUAUGUGAAAGUAUCACAAAAUAAAGUAAACAGGAAAAAUAUAAUCAUGUAAGUGUUAUUAUCUUGGGUUACCAGGACAAACACGACAUCGCCGAAGCGAAAGAUAGACCCUAUGGACAUCCGAAGAGUGUCCCCUCAUCCUCUGUAGCGGCAGCAGGGUGGAGGGAGGGUUAGUCCCGACAUCGAUCUCCUAAUAUCGAUCGUUAACCUAAUGAUCCUCCGAAGAUUCACAUCUCAUCCACUGUUGCAACAGUUGGACAGAGGGAUGGUUAGUCCCGUCACUGAUUACUAAAUAAGUAACAACCUUAGACAUCCGUAGACAUUCAUCGAUCACUGGUGCUAAUCAGUGGGGUUCGGAAUGGUAAGUCCCGCCGAGAUAUCCCAUUGAACCGGGAUAGGAAAGAUAAUUUACACAGUAAGUACUAAUAAAUCAUCCUCGUAGUUCUAAGUACAAGUAUCCAGGUAAGUAAAUACAGGAUAAUGCACCUAAGUAACAGUGUUCCUGUAUGGUAUUCAUGUAAGUGUGUUCAUGUAACAGGUAAGUAUAUGUAAACAUAUUCAUGUAUCAUGUAAUCCUAAGUACGUGUACUCAUGUAUCAUGUAAGGUAUUGGUAUAGACUCAUGAAUGAACUGACUCUUGUGUGAUUCCUUGUAGUAGUAAUAAUGUUUGAUAUCUUCUAACUGUCCCUAUGAUAGUUAACUGGAAGGUAAUUAGUUGUUUAUGUAGGUUUAUGCACUCUUGCUACCCAAGAGUAUUGGAAACUAAAUGAAGGGUGAAAACUAUAAUCUCUAACAUAUAAAUGAACAUAUGCGCAUAAGUAUAGUUUGAUUCAAGAAGGUAAAAUAAUGGUUUUGCAAGAUAUCUAGGAGUUUUGAACAAUAAUUAAGAGUGACUUGAUGUCAUUUUAAUAAACAUUUCAAAACUAAUACUUUUGUUAUCAAGGUAUUUUAAGAUAGAAAACCAUUUCAUGUGACACCUUUUGAAAUAUGUGAAAUCUACUGAGUGAAAACACAGUUAUAAAAUACAUAAGAUUGAUUUAAUAACAUACUGUUUUCUACUUGUAUUCCCCCCAUUAAAGCAUUUAAAAUCAUUUAAAACAUUGAUUAAGGGGUAUGAACUCACCUGUAGUUGGUGGUUCGGAUGAACUGGACGGUGUAGGAUUGCUAGGUGUCAAGUGAGGACUUGUACACACACUACGAUCCUAAUGAACAUAUAAUCACACAUAUAUGCACUCAAUUAGUCUCAAAUUACUAAUUGAUAAAGUUAAGACAUCCUAGACAUAAUAAACACUUUAUAUAAGUGUUUUAAGUCCUAAGGAUUGCAUCUAAGCUAUUGUGGGACAAGGCACUUGUGUUUAGGGUUCCAAAGGACCCCAUAUAUGAGUUUACUCCCCAUAUACCAUCACACAUGGAGUUUACGGUUGUAAACUCUUGAGUUUACGGCCGUAAACUCCCAACCAUGGGGGUAUUGUGUGUUUUGAAGUCCCAAAUGAUUCCUAGAAUUAUUCCAACUUGGUGGUUCAAUUCUUGAAAGGGUUUAAGGCCUAGAAACACUCCCUAGAGGAGUUUACGGCCCCAAGGCCAUUUCCUUUGGAGUUUACGGCCGUAAACUCCCUUGGAAUGGUGUUUUUGUUGUUUUCAAGUCUCUUGCAUAUGAAGGAUAGGUUCUAGACUUUUACCUAAAGCAUAUGAAGGCAUUUGGCACACUUUGGUGCCCUUCAUUCAUGUUUACGGCCCAAGAACCAUGUCUUGGCCGUAAACUCACUUUGGAAGGUGAUUUUGAUGUGAUUAAGGCCCUUGACUUAUUGGGAACAAGUCUAGGUAAGAGCCUAUGGCCUUAGGUGCCUUGAAAGCACCAUUUUGAGUAUGAUUUUGGAGUUUACGGCCUCAGAAACUCUUGGGCCGUGAACUCCCAAACUUGGGUGGUUCUUACUUGAUUUCAUGUCCCUAAAACACUCCUAUACAAGUCCAAGGCAGUUGUAUAUCACGGGGGACAGUCUAGGCUUCGUUUCGGGAGUUUACCGCCCAAGAACACCUUGGGGAGUAAACUCCUAAAUCUAGUGAUUUAGCCUUCUAAAUCAUGUUAUAACUACAUAUAAAGCUUUCUAACACUACUAGAAAGAGUUACUCACGUUUUGGUAUAAAAACCCGAAGAUCCGUGAGAGAGAAAAUGGCUUUUCUCUAGUUGGAAAUGUGAAUAAUGAAUGAAUUUGGUUCAGAAUUCUAUUUAUAGUCCUGAGAUAUUUUUGGCAGAAAAUAUUUUUAUUCCUGAAAUGACCUCUAAUAUAAUAGAGAGAUGGAAUAAUAGAGUUGCACUAAACCCUAGUGCAUCCACUCUCCUGAUAUCUCCUGAAGUGUAAACCCUGAAUUACUCAAACUUACACGAAAAAGUCUGAAAAUUAGUUGUGACUGCUAUAACUUCUAUUAAAGUGAUAUAGUUUGUACAUAAUGGAAAUUUCAGGUUGUCACAUCAUCCCCCCGUUAGAAGGAUUUUCGUCCCGAAAUUAGAAUUUAAGCAAUUAAGAAGUUACAAAUAACUAAGCGAAAAGAUGAGGGUAUUUCAGUUUCAUCUGAUCCUCACGUUCCCAAGUGAAUUCCGGUCCACGCUUUGCGUUCCAGCGCACCUUCACUAUCGGGAUACGGCUCUGCUUUGUUUGCUUGACCUCUCGGUCCAUGAUCUCUACUGGUUCCUCCACGAAGUUGAGGCUCUCGUUGAUCUCGAUCUCGUCGAGUGGAAUAACAAGAGUCUCGUCGGAUAGACACUUUUUCAAGUUUGACACGUGGAAGGUAGGAUGUACGUUACUGAGUUCGUGCGGUAGAUUGAGUUUGUAAGCUACAGGGCCGAUUCUCGCGAGAAUCUCGAAAGGCCCUAUGUAUCUUGGAUUGAGCUUCCCACGCUUUCCAAAGCGUAUCAAGCCCUUCCAGGGUGAGACCUUCAGUAGGACUCGGUCGCCCACCUGGAACUCCAAUGGUUUCCUACGCUUGUCAGCGUAGCUUUUCUGUCGGUCUCUAGAGGCUUUCAAUCGUUCACGAAUUUGAACGAUCUUCUCUGUCGUUUCCCGAAUGAUCUCCGGACCCAUGAGAGUGCUUUCGGGAACUCGUCCCUUAGCUAACUGGGUAUCACCCACUUCAGCCCAGCACAGAGGGGAUCUGCACUUUCGGCCAUAGAGGGCCUCGAAUGGAGCUGCCUUUAUGCUCGUAUGAUAACUGUUGUUGUAGGAAAAUUCAACAAGGGGUAAAUGGGUAUCCCAAGCUUUUCCAAAGUCAAUCACACAGGCACGCAACAUAUCUUCUAAGGUUUGGAUAGUUCUCUCACUUUGCCUGUCGGUCUGGGGAUGGUAGGCUGUACUCAUGUCCAGCCUAGUUCCUAGGGAACUUUGUAAUGACUGCCAGAACCUCGAAGUGAAUCUACUAUCUCUGUUUGAGAUGAUAGAUACAGGAACACCGUGUAGCCUUACGAUCUCCCUAACGUACGUUCUGGUAAGUUUCUCAAUCUUGUUUGUUUCCUUGAUCGGCAGGAAGUGUGCAGACUUGGUCAAUCUAUCGACGAUGACCCAUAUGGAAUCAAGUCCACCCGUCGUCUUGGGCAACUUGGUUAUGAAAUCCAUAGUGAUCCGCUCCCACUUCCAUUCUGGUAUCUCCGGUUGCUGUAGGAGGCUGGAGGGUUUCUGGUAUUCGACCUUGACCUUUGCGCAAGUAAGGCAUUUACUCACGAAGGUAGCAAUAUCUGCUUUCAUGUUAGGCCACCAGUAUAACUUUUUAAGAUCCAGAUACAUCUUAUCUGAACCCGGGUGGACGGAAUAACGAGUGUUGUGAGCUUCGGUCAUGACCAAGUCUCUGAAGCCACCGUGUUUCGGUGUCCAGAUCCGAUCCAUGAGGUAUAAGGCUCCGCCACCCUUGACUUCCAAGUUCUUAUCCAUCCCUCUAAGGGAUUCACCAGCUACGUUAUCAGGUUUCAAAGCGUCGAGCUGAGCCUCCUUUAUUUGCGUGGACAAGUGUGAAUGGAUAGUUAGAGUCAAAGAUUUGACUGUACGACCAGUAUAUUCUUUCCGACUUAGGGCGUCGGCUACUACAUUAGCUUUACCCGGAUGAUAAUGAAUUUCUCACUCGUAAUCACUGAGUAGCUCGACCCACUGUCGCUGUCUCAUGUUGAGCUCUUUCUGGUCGAAAAUGUGUUGUAGACUCUUAUGGUCUGUAAAGAUCGUGAUUUUUGUAUCGUACAGGUAAUGUCACCAGAUCUUUAGAGCAAACACAAUUGCUCCUAGUUCAAGAUUGUGGGUUGUGUAGUUAACCUCAUGUGUCUUCAGCUGUCUCGAGGCAUAGGCGAUGACUUUACCUCGCUGCAUCAGAACACAUCCGAGUCCUUGAUUGGAUGCAUCGCAAUAGACAAUGAAGUCUUCUAUCCCUUCGGGAAGGGAUAGUAUCGGGGCGGUGCACAAGGCUCGUUUGAGCGUUUGGAACGCUCUUUCCUGUUUCUCUUCCCAGUCAAAGGCCACGCCUUUCUGGGUCAGGGUUGUAAGAGGUUUCGCUAUGCUGGAGAAGUUCUGAAUGAACCUGCGAUAGUAGCCAGCUAGACCUAGAAAUUGACGAAUUUCAGUAGGUGUCUUUGGUGCUGACCAGUUCUCGAUGGCCUUAAUUUUGGAAGGGUCCACGUGUAUACCUUCUUCGCUAACUACAUGGCCCAAGAAUUCGACUCGCCGAAUCCAAAAUUCGCACUUUGAGAACUUCGCGUAGAGCUUCUCCGAUCGCAAUGUUUCUAAGAUUUUACGGAGAUGUUGACUAUGUUCCUCCUUACUUCGAGAGUAGAUGAGUAUGUCAUCAAUGAAGACGAUGACGAACUGAUCCAAGUAAGGACGACACACCCUAUUCAUCAGAUCCAUGAAUACUGCGGGCGCGUUAGUUAAUCCGAACGACAUCACUACAAACUCGUAGUGCCCAUAACGAGUUCGGAAGGCUGUCUUGGGAACAUCCUCCUCUAACACUCGUAGUUGGUGAUAUUCGGAUCAUAGGUCUAUCUUCGAGAAGUAGUUGGCUCCUUGAAGUUGAUCGAAUAAAUCAUCAAUGCGGGGCAAGGGAUAACGAUUUUUAAUGGUAAGUUUGUUGAGUUCUCUAUAGUCGAUGCACAUGCGAAACGAUCCAUCUUUCUUCUUGACGAACAAGACCGGUGCUCCCCAUGGUGAGAAGCUUGGUCGAAUGAAUCCCUUCUUGAGAAGUUCGUUAAGUUGACUGGAAAGUUCCUGCAUCUCGGCCGGUGCCAGACGAUAAGGAGAUUUGGCUACUGGGGUAGCUCCUGGCACUAAGUCGAUUCUGAACUCAACUUGGCGUUGCGGUGGUAACCCGGGAAGUUCUUCUGGGAAGAUGUCGGGAAAGUCGCGUACUUCUGGGAUGUUCUGGAUGUCUUUGAGUUCUUGACUGGUAUCGAUGACGUGUGUGAGAAAUGCAUGGUACUCCUUUUGCAAACACUUCUGGGCUUGAAUGCACGAAAUGAUGCGAAGGCUCGUACAAGGUUUGUCGCCGUAGAUAAUUAAAGUUUCGUUGUUAGGAAGGUUAAGGCGAACUGUUUUUUCGAAGCACAUAAUGUUGGCGCGAAGAAGACUCAACCAAUCCAUGCCGAUGAUAACGUCGAAACAUUUAAUUGGGACUGGCAUGAGAUCUAUCUUGAAAGUAUGGCUAUCUAAAGUUAAGGUACAACCUACGUAUAUGCAGUUAGUACUCUCCAUUUUCCCGUUAGCCAUUUCUACCAUGAAUGAACUAUAUAAUGCACAUGGGUUUUGUUUAAGCAGGUGUGCAAAUUUGUGACUUACAAAACUUUUCUCUGCUCCACUAUCGAAAACUAUGCAAGCAUAUGAGUUAUCGAGGAGAAACAUACCAGUAACUAUCAUAGGAUUAGCUACCGCUUCCUCGUGGCCUAGGGCCAUAACUCUCCCUACUCCUCCAGCCAUCUCUGCUUUAGGGCAGUUCCUCUUGUAGUGGCCCAUUUCGCCACAACCGUAGCAAGCUUGGCCCAUACCGGCGUUAGGAACCUGGGCGGCCUGAGUUGUUGGAGCCUGGAAGAAAUGGGCUGUGUGCCCCUUCCUGUUGCAGUUGGUGCAUUGCAUCUCCCUGCAAGGCCCGCGGUGGUGGAAGCUGCAUUUGUUGCACUUCGGGAGAGUUCCAGCAUAUGUUUUUGCUGGUAAGGGGUUCGCAGGGACAAUGGGAGUAACUGUGGCAGCAUUGAUCGCCACAAGUUGUUGUUUCUUGGAGGAUCCUUGCGAAGUCUCCCUUUUCCUCUUAUUCCACCCCUUCCUGUUGUGGUCGGGGUUGGACUUUUGUGGUACGGGUAUAGGGAUUGAUGGGUUUUGAGGUUUCAAGUGGUCUAUGAGAGAUUGUGCUAGCUCUUUGGCGCUAUCGAAAGUAAUAGGCCUGGAAGCUAUGACACUUGACUGGACCUAGGGCGACAGUCCCCAGAUAUAUCUCUCUAUAUUUUUGCUCUGGAGAGCAACCAUGUCAGGGCAUAAGUUUUCCAGAUCACUGAACCUAUUUGUGUAGGUCGUGAUGUCGGAUCCAACCAUUUGUAGACCCAGAAUUCCUGCUCGAGUUUUUGUACUUCGCCUCGAGGACAAUACUCUUUCAUCAGCAUGUCCUUUAACUUUUCCCAGUUGAUGGAAUAUGCCACCACCAAAGUCAGAUAGUUAACAUGGCUAUUCCACCAUGUUAGUGCUCUGUCGGAGAAGGUAUAAGCUACAAACUUGACCUUGUUGCCCUCCUGGCAAGCACAUAUUUCAAAGACGGAUUCCAUCUUUUCAAUCCAUUGUCUCAACACCAUAACACCCCCAGUUCCAGUGAAGUUGCGGGGUUUGGCGUUCGUGAAGUCCUUGUAGGUGCAUUCCCAAGGGUGUCCAUGGCUUUCUCCGUGGUUCGAGGGUGGUGCACCUGUUCCUGAUCCACUAGGAGCAGGAGCGUUGAUUGCUGACACAGCAGCUGCAACUGCUGCUGUGAAAGCUGCCUGGAACAUGUUGGCAUCGAAAGGAUUUGGUGGUUGAAGAGGUUCACGUGGUGGUGGAGGUGGUGGUAUCGGUGUUUCGUUGUUUGGGUUACGCCUUGGAUUCCUGCGUGGGGGCAUCUUUAACUAUACGUUUAAAAGAUGACGACAUGGAUAAGAAUAAAUGACUAAUGAAUGUGUCUCAUGGACUAACUCCCAAUAGCCCAACAACAGAAGGAACAGUAUGACUAAAUGAAGAAGAUAGCAUUUGGAUAAUAAUUUCCAUAAGAUUAGAUAUCUAUCAAUAAUAUUGGAAUUACAGAUGUAACAAGUUUGGGAAAAAUGGCGUAGAAGUAGGCCGUACGUCAACCAAGAUGGAAAAUUUUGACAGAAUUAAGACUAGAUCCAGACCUAACAGGUCUAAGAUUUAUAAAUACAGGAAAUUAGACCAAAGUUUUGCAUAAAAUAGGUUAUAUACAAAAGAUGAGUUGACGAUAUUCUAUCGGCGACGAGAGCUGCUUGCAUGAGUCCUCGAUCCCGACAGUAGGCGUUCAAUGUCCCUUAUACGCCUGUUCGACCUUGCAUGCUGAGCUCGAAGUUCUCUAACUUCAACUUGGGUUUUAGCAAGUUCCCUAUGCAGAUUUGCAUUGCAGACCAGAGUCCUUUCAUGAGCAGACUCUAGUUGGCGAAUGUGGACAGUGUUAACACCAGAGUUGGCGUCAACUUCCAAGACUUGAUUGAUAGUCGCCUGAGCCAUUAUCGUGUUCCGAGAAAUCCUACGCACCAUGAUUGGUAGGACUCUAUCAGCAGAACCUCCUUCAGUGAGGUUGUAGAAACUUUGGUCUCCAUUGUAGGGAAUGGGCUGACCCUAUUCAUGACUCCAUGUAUUCAAGUUAGUGGCCCACAGAGGUGUGGGUCCUUGAAAUGCGGGACGGGGGUUCAGGUUUAGGGUUUGAGUAGCUGGGGGUAGGUUGUUGACUUCAGGCUCUGAGUCAGAACUAUCGGAAAAACCCUCAACAUGGUGAUCAUCCAAAGGGAUUGGGUGAUCAUCUUCUGGUUCUGCCUCUAGCCAACCAGCAUUGCCUUGGUUUGGGAAGUACGGAUCGCCAUGGUGAAAUCCAGCCAUUUUAAUCUACGCGAGAGAAGGGAUAUAAGAAAUAGCUAAAAUAGACGAACUAACUAAGAUAAUUACAGUAAGACCAAAUACCCUUACAGUAUUUCUUUAUGGUUGUGUUAGUAAGUUUUUAGACUUGUUGCCAUAUCCCAACCAUUCUUGGGCAUAUGCUAAUCACUCCUNNNNNNNNNNNNNNNNNNNNNNNNNNNNNNNNNNNNNNNNNNNNNNNNNNNNNNNNNNNNNNNNNNNNNNNNNNNNNNNNNNNNNNNNNNNNNNNNNNNNNNNNNNNNNNNNNNNNNNNNNNNNNNNNNNNNNNNNNNNNNNNNNNNNNNNNNNNNNNNNNNNNNNNNNNNNNNNNNNNNNNNNNNNNNNNNNNNNNNNNNNNNNNNNNNNNNNNNNNNNNNNNNNNNNNNNNNNNNNNNNNNNNNNNNNNNNNNNNNNNNNNNNNNNNNNNNNNNNNNNNNNNNNNNNNNNNNNNNNNNNNNNNNNNNNNNNNNNNNNNNNNNNNNNNNNNNNNNNNNNNNNNNNNNNNNNNNNNNNNNNNNNNNNNNNNNNNNNNNNNNNNNNNNNNNNNNNNNNNNNNNNNNNNNNNNNNNNNNNNNNNNNNNNNNNNNNNNNNNNNNNNNNNNNNNNNNNNNNNNNNNNNNNNNNNNNNNNNNNNNNNNNNNNNNNNNNNNNNNNNNNNNNNNNNNNNNNNNNNNNNNNNNNNNNNNNNNNNNNNNNNNNNNNNNNNNNNNNNNNNNNNNNNNNNNNNNNNNNNNNNNNNNNNNNNNNNNNNNNNNNNNNNNNNNNNNNNNNNNNNNNNNNNNNNNNNNNNNNNNNNNNNNNNNNNNNNNNNNNNNNNNNNNNNNNNNNNNNNNNNNNNNNNNNNNNNNNNNNNNNNNNNNNNNNNNNNNNNNNNNNNNNNNNNNNNNNNNNNNNNNNNNNNNNNNNNNNNNNNNNNNNNNNNNNNNNNNNNNNNNNNNNNNNNNNNNNNNNNNNNNNNNNNNNNNNNNNNNNNNNNNNNNNNNNNNNNNNNNNNNNNNNNNNNNNNNNNNNNNNNNNNNNNNNNNNNNNNNNNNNNNNNNNNNNNNNNNNNNNNNNNNNNNNNNNNNNNNNNNNNNNNNNNNNNNNNNNNNNNNNNNNNNNNNNNNNNNNNNNNNNNNNNNNNNNNNNNNNNNNNNNNNNNNNNNNNNNNNNNNNNNNNNNNNNNNNNNNNNNNNNNNNNNNNNNNNNNNNNNNNNNNNNNNNNNNNNNNNNNNNNNNNNNNNNNNNNNNNNNNNNNNNNNNNNNNNNNNNNNNNNNNNNNNNNNNNNNNNNNNNNNNNNNNNNNNNNNNNNNNNNNNNNNNNNNNNNNNNNNNNNNNNNNNNNNNNNNNNNNNNNNNNNNNNNNNNNNNNNNNNNNNNNNNNNNNNNNNNNNNNNNNNNNNNNNNNNNNNNNNNNNNNNNNNNNNNNNNNNNNNNNNNNNNNNNNNNNNNNNNNNNNNNNNNNNNNNNNNNNNNNNNNNNNNNNNNNNNNNNNNNNNNNNNNNNNNNNNNNNNNNNNNNNNNNNNNNNNNNNNNNNNNNNNNNNNNNNNNNNNNNNNNNNNNNNNNNNNNNNNNNNNNNNNNNNNNNNNNNNNNNNNNNNNNNNNNNNNNNNNNNNNNNNNNNNNNNNNNNNNNNNNNNNNNNNNNNNNNNNNNNNNNNNNNNNNNNNNNNNNNNNNNNNNNNNNNNNNNNNNNNNNNNNNNNNNNNNNNNNNNNNNNNNNNNNNNNNNNNNNNNNNNNNNNNNNNNNNNNNNNNNNNNNNNNNNNNNNNNNNNNNNNNNNNNNNNNNNNNNNNNNNNNNNNNNNNNNNNNNNNNNNNNNNNNNNNNNNNNNNNNNNNNNNNNNNNNNNNNNNNNNNNNNNNNNNNNNNNNNNNNNNNNNNNNNNNNNNNNNNNNNNNNNNNNNNNNNNNNNNNNNNNNNNNNNNNNNNNNNNNNNNNNNNNNNNNNNNNNNNNNNNNNNNNNNNNNNNNNNNNNNNNNNNNNNNNNNNNNNNNNNNNNNNNNNNNNNNNNNNNNNNNNNNNNNNNNNNNNNNNNNNNNNNNNNNNNNNNNNNNNNNNNNNNNNNNNNNNNNNNNNNNNNNNNNNNNNNNNNNNNNNNNNNNNNNNGAGGACUUGUACACACACUACGAUCCUAAUGAACAUAUAAUCACACAUAUAUGCACUCAAUUAGUCUCAAAUUACUAAUUGAUAAAGUUAAGACAUCCUAGACAUAAUAAACACUUUAUAUAAGUGUUUUAAGACCUAAGGAUUGCAUCUAAGCUAUUGUGGGACAAGGCACUUGUGUUUAGGGUUCCAAAGGACCCCAUAUAUGAGUUUACUCCCCAUAUACCAUCACACUUGGAGUUUACGGUUGUAAACUUUUGAGUUUACGGCCACAAACUCCCAACCAUGGGGGUAUUGUGUGUUUUGAAGUCCCAAAUGAUUCCUAGAAUUAUUCCAACUUGGUGGUUCAAUUCUUGAAAGGGUUUAAGGCCUAGAAACACUCCCUAUAGGAGUUUACGGCCCCAAGGCCAUUUCCUUUGGAGUUUACGGCCGUAAACUCCCUUGGAAUGGUGUUUUUGUUGUUUUCAAGUCUCUUGCAUAUGAAGGAUAGGUUCUAGACUUUUACCUAAAGCAUAUGAAGGCAUUUGGCACACUUUGGUGCCCUUCAUUCAUGUUUACGGCCCAAGAACCAUGUCUUGGCUGUAAACUCACUUUGGAAGGUGAUUUUGAUGUGAUUAAGGCCCUUGAUUUGUUGGGAACAAGUCUAGGUAAAAGCCUAAGGCCUUAGGUGCCUUGAAAGCACCAUUUUGAGUAUGAUUUUGGAGUUUACGGCCUAAGAAACUCUUGCGCCGUGAACUCCCAAACUUGGGUGGUUCUUACUUGAUUUCAUGUCCCUAACACACUCCUAUACAAGUCCAAGGCAGUUGUAUAUCACGGGGGACAGUCUAGGCUUCGUUUCGGGAGUUUACCGCCCAAGAACACCUUGGGGAGUAAACUCCUAAAUCUAGUGAUUUAUCCUUCUAAAUCAUGUUAUAACUACAUAUAAAGCUUUCUAACACUACUAGAAAGAGUUACUCACAUUUUGGUAUAAAAACCCGAAGAUCCGUGAGAGAGAAAAUGGCUUUUCUCUAGUUGGAAAUGUGAAUAAUGAAUGAAUUUGGUUCAGAAUUCUAUUUAAAUCUGAGAUAUUUUUGGCAGAAAAUAUUUUUAUUCCUGAAAUGACCUCUAAUAUAAUAGAGUGAUGGAAUAAUAGAGUUGCACUAAACCCUAGUCCAUCCACUCUCUUGAUAUCUCCUGAAGUGUAAACCUUGAAUUACUCAAACUUACACGAAAAAGUCUGAAAAUUAGUUAUGACUGCUAUAACUUCUAUUGAAGUGAUAUAGUUUGUACAGAAUGGAAAAUUCGGGUUGUCACAGAAGAAUUUGGCACUAGUGUGUGUACACAUGAGGGCUAGCCGAUUUGAGCAUAGGAACCUUUUCUCUCAAGUUAUUCCAAGAUGUUGGUGAUGUUGUGUGAACCAUUUAAGGUGUCACACUUCAGGCACUAGGCUCCUAUGCUCCAUGGAAUCAAGCUACAUUAGAAGUUAUGUCUUUUAACUUGUUUAUAUUACCCAAGUAUCAAUCAUUGUAAGUUAGUUAGGGUAAUACCAUGGAAAGUUCAAGUUUGCAUGAAUAAUAGAGAAAACAUAGAUCCAAGGUAUUUAGGGUUGCAUGUACACCAUAGGAGUGUUAGAAUGCUCAAAAUCCAUCAUUGGUAUUAGAGCUAGGUUUGUUUUCUUUUAUACUUGAUGCAAUUUGCUGAAAAAUCUGAUAAAUCGAAGUUUUUGCUGUCUGGACAAGUGACUCGACGAGUCCAUUGAGGGACUCAAUGAGUCCAUGAGCAAAAUCAUCCAACUCGUCGAGUUGGUUCAUGCACUCGACGAGUUGGACCCCCAGACAUCGAGGUUUUUGGCUGGAAUUGGACUAGGAACAUUACCCUAAGUUGUUUUUGAUCUUGUAAACCUUUUUUUUGAUGUGGUAAUGUUCAUGCUAAUCCAAUUUCAUAGAUAAUUGUCAAUAGAUUCAUGUUUUGUAUUAGUUUAAUAGUUAGGCUAAUUACAUGAAAAGUGUUUGAUUUCAAAUAUCUUGUUCUCAUGAGUUGAUUUAGAUUAAUAGAAAAGUUAUGUAUUAAUAUGUUUCCAAACCAAAAUAAUCUAAUUUUUUUUUCAUAAAAUGUGUUUUUGUAACUUGUCCUCAAGUUAUAUGAAAAGUCACAUUUAUGAUUAUUAAAACUCGUUAGAUUUCCAUAAGUUAUGAAAAAAAUGGGGAGUCGCUUUUUUUUUUAAAUGUUUUAAAGUCUUCCAUAACUUGUCCUCAAGUUAUGGAACUUGAAGAGUUUUUCAUUAAAACUACUUUGAACACAUAAGCUAUAGAAUUGAAAAGUUUUUUAAUAGUUCAAAACAUUCCCUCAAGUUUUGGAAUUUUCAAAGUUUCCCCUCAUGAAUACUUUAAUUCCAUAUUAAGCCCUAAGAAUUUUAAAAGUUAAAAUUCAACCCUUAUACUUUAUAGUAUUGUAAGUUAAUAAUAUAUAGAUGUAUAAGAACAAAGUCAGUCUUACCGUUAGUAGACCUCAUUCACGAAGCCGGUCUAUAAGGGGGUAUAAGGUUACUACCUAUAAAAUGGCAGUUUAAUGGGUGUCCACUCUUACCCACCGCUUCCUUGACUGGUGGAGAACGUUAGCCAAACGGGUAGGACAAGGACUAGAAUUCUCCAUUCAUUAAAUGUAUUAAUGAUAAAUAUAAAGUAACUAAACCUUUUGUAAAUUCCAAAUCUUAGUUACUUCAGGAAAAUAUGAAUUUGUUGCUAAUCCAUGAAAUUACGCUUUGCACUUUGCUUAAGUCGGUUAGUGGAGCGCGUGUGGUUAACCGGCACACUAGGUUGAUUUAACAAGGUAGGCAAAAGGUAACUUAAUGUUUAUCAUAGUAUCGGUUGAGCUCGUUUGGUUAACCGGCACAUCGAUUGAGGGGUAAAUAUUAAGGGUACCAAGUAUAUUUGCAUGGUUAUUCACACCUUGUUUUGUGAUCCUCGACAUCCCAGUCACAAAACUUGAGAGGGCAUAAUCAAGAUUGAAACAUGCCAUUGAAAAGUUCAAUGAAUCUCAAAGGAUCUAGGAGUUUCAAAUCCAAUUAAAACCUAGUAUAUUAUUUUGUUUUUCAUGGUGGAAAUUGGUGAAUCGUCAUUCGUCUACCUUCAAAUAUUCUAUACCUUGGAUUAUGGCAUACCUGUUCUAAGUUAUAAAAUAUUGUUUUGGGUCCUAGCCUUAAUAUUUCAUAUUAGGUGUUAUAUUAAGGAGUUUAAAUCAACUAUCUUGAAUAUCUCCCAAAAGAUGUCUGGUUCAGACAAUUAUGAUCUUCCGAAAACUCUUGGAACAAGCUUUCCUAAUGAAGAUGAUGUUCCGAAAAUCAUUCUUCACUCCCUCCACCUCCUCCAAUUAUUCUCCCUGACCCACAAGUUCUUGAAUAGCUCAAGGUCACUCAAGCCCUAUUGGCAAGCAAAUUAUAUGUGUGCUCACAUCUUGGAGAUAAAGUCACAUAUUGACAAGCCGGGAGAGUUGGGUGUCAACGUCUUGAGAAAUUUGGUUGUUCAAUAACCUUCUAAGUCUUAUAGUGAGUGUCCUUUGGGACUAAUAUGUAAAAGACUAUGACAUGACCCUUAAUGAUCUUAUCUAUUUGCUUGGUACUACUAAAUCUGCAAUGAUUUGGAGCACUGGUAGAGCCAAUUUGAUUAAGAAGAUCAACUUCCUAGACCUUCGUGGACAUUGACAAUGGUAACACUGAAUAUCCAGAAAAGCCUUCUCUUCCCAAUGGAAAAGGGAUCAGCCAUAGUCAACUCGGUUGACCAAAUGGUAAAAAGAAUGGCUAAGUCUGAGAUAGUCCCAUGUACCAUUCCCAAAGGGUCCAUAUGUUUCUAUUGCCAAAGGAAGGGGCAUUGGUUGCGAAGCUGCCUUAACUACCUGAAAGAUCUGAGAGAAGGUCAAGUCAAAAGUUUGACUCUGUUUUAGGUAAGUCCACUACCUAACUCUCUUAAGUUCUUAUUUGAAGAUUAUAAAUACAUUUUGAUAUAUGACAGGAUCAAGCAAAGGAAAGGAAGCUGAAAAGAAGAGUAUGUUGAAUCUGAUCGCGAAGAUGGAUUUCAAUCGCAUGGUUUGAAGAUCAGAUUCUUGAGCUACUACUUAGGAGUUAGGAUAGAUUACUAGGAAAUAUGUAAUGGCAUAGUUUUCAUUUAAAGCCACAUUGUAAGGGAAAAGUUUUUCUGCAUUUUAUAAAUAAAUAAAAUUUUUAUCUUAUUUUAGUUUAUAUCUCCUUGAAAUGGCUUUUAUUAAAAAUUAAUACUUGUGUGUUUCUAGCAAUAAUGGAAAUGUGAAUUUGAUUCUUUCAUUUGUGGUAGUGCCUAAAUUUACCAAAUAAGGAAAGAUUCUCAUUACCCAAGUUCUCAAUUGGAACGAAACUUAGAAUCAUGCAAGUUGUACAGGAUGAUGAAUGAAAACUUUCAACUUUGGAAAAAUUAAGACUAAUUCCUUGUUCACAUGUAUAUGUGAGUCAAGUGAAGGACUAAGGGAUCGAGUACACAUUCUUGUGCACUGAUCAAGUCCACCACGAAAAGAUCGGUAAGACUAUUCGUCAUGAUUUACAAAAAGUUUAGUAAAUAUGGUUAUACUUACAAGUUUAAGCAUAAUUCUGAAACAUUGGAAAAGUUUCAAUAUAUGGCAGAAUGAAUGAGAAGAAUCAAAUUUGGAAGAAAGAUAAAAGUUUCUCAAAUCUAAAAAGAUGGGAGAGUACUUUAGUAUCAUGUUUUAUGAUCAUCUUAAUGAUUGUGAGACCAUAUCACAAUUCAUCCUCUAGGGACAUCUUAGUGCAUUCUUAUGGCUAAGAAGACGAAUCAUGAAUUAUUGAAAUGGUUAAAUCAAGAAGGUGAUACAUACUUCGUUCCAAAACAAGUCUUAGAGUAAUACUCCAAGAUUGUAAUUUGAGUGACACAUCAUGAAGAAGGUUUAUAACACUUGUCAUAUGUAAGAGUAAAAUGUAUCCUACUCAUGUACAUUUGAAAUUAGGAAGUUGUGAUGUUUUGGAUAAAACAAAGACCAACUAAGGCCAAUUGUUUGAAGUGUUUGUCUUGAUAAAGAAUCUGCACUAUCUCUUGAAUAUUUGGCAAGAAAGUUUUAUAUGUCAACAGGACAGUGGGAGUCUUAAAGAUCAUGAAAGAAUUUCAAGAUCUAAUCAAGAGUAAAACCUGUAGUUUAUCACUAGCACACGACUUGAGGCUUAUAACCUAUCAUGUUGACAUAUUCCUAUUUUUGUGCGCAUUCAAGUUAAAGUUGGAUUUGCAUAUGAUUUCUGAGAGUUCUCAAUUGGUUGCAUAACAACUUGGAAGCAAUGACAUGCCCUUGUGCUUCCAGGUGGCAAGAAGUUAAGCCUGCAUAAGUUCAAUCCAUAUAAGUUUGGAUUUGUCACUAACCUUGUCUUGAGAUUAUGGUUUUGACAAAUUCACAUGGAUAGGAACACAUACAUCAUAAAAUCUAAGUGUCAUAAGGUUUCUCUCCGAUUCAUGAACAUGAUGGUGAGGAAACGCUUUUACUAAGUAGAUUUUAACCAACACAAUAACAUGGACUUGUGAGGAAUGGCAAAGGUCUAAACAAUUGAGACUAUGAUUACGACAUCCCUUUUCAUAGUUCUAAAAUUGUUUAGAUAUACAUGUGUGCUAUCCAAGGAAAGGUGUAUAAUUUUGAUAGAUUUUUAUCAAAGCAUUUCGUAUCAGAAAUUGAACUUUGGUAAGAAAGUCAAUAAAGUAUUGAUUUCUAGAAGUCCAGCUGAUUUAUAAGUACAUGUCAAAGCUAGUGGGAGCAUAAGUGUUAUGCUAAUAAUUUUCAUGUUAAUGGGAGCAUGAUAAUUAUAAUAAGUGUUGCAAGUUAGCAAUGUUAGUUAUAGAAAACAAAAGGUUUCAAUUGGGAAAAAGUUGUUUUGCUAUAAUUAAGGGAGAGUAAAUUGUAGUUCAUUUCAAAUCUAAAAGCUUUGAUCAUGAGAUUUUAAUCAAAUUUAGUCAAGUAUAUAUAUGAAUGUUAUGUCGGAAUGGUUCAACAUAAGGAAAUUCUAUAUAUGGGAAUAUUAUUUGUGUUCUAAAAUUUGAUUAUGAUUAUGGCAUCCCUUUUCAUAAUUUGAAUUAUGAGAACUUGGCAAAUAGAAAUAGAAAUAUUAUAGCAAAAAAAGACUGGUCUAGUAUCAUGUCUUUAUGUGAGACAUCAUGAAUCGUGUCCCAUAUGCUUUGGAUAUAGGAUCGAUUGCAUGUGCUAUAAUAUUCAUCCUUUCUAAAUUUUCCAAAUGCUCAGCGCUUUAAGGGGGGAAAAGUCUAGAAUAGGAUACGACUAAAAUGAUUAAGCAAUUGUCGAGGACAAUCUAAGGUUUACCAAAGAUUGGUUGCUCAGGGACAGUUGGAAGUAUAGUGUAAAUUUUUGGAGAGGACCAUAUUGACAUAUUCUAAAAAAAGGCAACUCUUGUUCAGAAGUGAAGUCAAAAUGAGAAUAUGGAAAUAUUCCCAUAGGUGGAAGUUAUUCAUUAAAUAUGUGUAAGAUUAGGACACUUAAUGCAAGAAGGAUGUUCAAAGUAAUGGACUUUGAAUUUGAGACUUCGUUUCCAUGAAAUGAUCUGCACUGGAAUACUCUGUAAUGUCUGUUCAGAAGUCUUUGUGGCUUUGUGCGUAAUCAUUACAAGAAGAUCAAUGCAUAUAAGUUUAGAAUCUAAUAGAUUUAAGUAAAUGGCAGGAAUUUGGAAUUCUUACAUUUGCAGUAAGGAUUUGGGAUUAUGAAAUGAGAAUCAUUGCAAUUAUAUUCAAUUGAUCUAUUUCACAAAGUAAAGAUCGUAGAAAAACUUAGUGUGCAUACUUGGUGUAUGGCAUAACUAAUGUUUGGAAAAACAUAGUGCACAUACUUGGUGUAUGGAAUGACUAGUGUUUAGAAAAACAUAGUGUACAUGCUUGGAGCAUGGGACAAAUAUUGUUUUAAUUCAAGUAUAAAGUUGAUAAUUUGAAAUAGUAUGUAAUUAAUAACGUGUAAUCAAUAUGUUGAUAAAUAAAAGGUGUUCAAUUUAUAUUCAUAAGUUCUGAGACCAUAUUGGAUUCGGUUAUUCUUGUGCUUUACUUUGCAUGUUUUGACUUCCAGAAUAACUAGGUUGUUCUUCCUAAAUGACUAAGUUAUUCAAACCAUCCACAGUCGGUCAUAUGUUGAAAGUAGAUAUGAAUCAAGAUUGUCAUGAAGCUGGUUUCCAGAUGUCCAAGGUAAUGGACAUAGCAAGAGUUAUUGCAACAUUCAUGAGUGCUCAUAAGUUCUGAGUAUUGGAUUAUACCCAUGCUCAUUUGACUCACUUCAUGGAUUUUAUCACGAGUGAUCAUGAGACGAUAAUAUCUUAUAUUCUUCAAACCUAGAGAUAUGAGUUGUUGCCUAUGAGUUGGUUUCACAUUGAUUGUACGAAAACGCAUUGGUAACUCGAUUUUAUAAAAUGUGCCUUUGUGUAUGAUUCAACAAGUAGUAGAAAAAGCAUAUGAGUCGAAGUUUAUCAAUUCCUUUUACCCUUAAAGGGAUAAAAGUGAUAUUUGUGGGCACCUUGAUGAUUUAGUGAUGACACCCUGAAGUGCUUGGCCAAGCCUGGACUGAUUUGAUUUGUUCCAUUAGUCAGUCUUUAUAAAUCGGAUAUCGGGAAACAACAAAUGGACAGAGAGAAUGAUUAUAAUCCAUGUCUCAGUCCAUACGAUAUCUAGAAUGGAGGAAUAUAUGAUCCCUUAUCUAAUGGAUGCAUCAUUGAUUUGUUCAGAGUUCGACAACAACUUUUAAGAGCUACGAUUGCUAGUCGAGUUUUGAAGUCAUACACAAUAAUAGUUUUAGACUUAUCCAACGUGACAACCCGAAAUUUCUAUCUUGUGCAACCAUUCAAUUCAAUCAAAGUUAGACUUGUUUCUGCUAACUUUUAGCACUGUUUAGAGUCUGUUUGAGUGUUCUAAAGCCUAGUACCUUCAAGAGGUAGUUAUAGGAAGUAUACUCUAGAGUUCAAUGUGCAACAUUCAAGCCUCAAAACUCUAAGAAUUGGAGUUUAUGGCCAUAAAAUAGAUUUUACGGCCGUAAACUCUAUGGUGUAUAUAUGACACUUAGUCAUUUUCAAUCACUUUUACCAUUUCAAGCCAAAGAACUCAUUCUCUCUCAAGUACCAUCCGAAUUUUAUCUUAGAUCUUGAAGAUUGUAAGUGUUUCUUCCAUUGAUUUAUAGAUAUCCUUCUAUAUCUAGUGAUUGUACAUGAUUUCAUCCAUGAAAUCACUUCAUUUGGAUACAUCUUCAAGUGUUCUUCAUAUCUUCAAGAACACCAAGAACACUUAGGUGUUUUGGGCCGAAAACACCCUCCUUUUGCCUUCAAAUUGUAAGUUCCUACCUCAUAUACGUGUUAAUUAGUUAGGAUGUUGAAUUAAGGACUUGAAAACAUAAAGAACUCAAGAACAAAAGGUGUUUACGGCCAAGGCAAUCUCCUUGGGCCGUAAACCCUAAUUUGUGGUGCAAUGUUGCCACAACUCCUUCGUAAGCCUUGGAGCUAAGUCUAGAACACUUCCAGGAAGACGAUAGGACCGUAACACACAAAAUGAUACAAGUUACCAUGAUUUUACGGCUGUAAACUCAUUGCGCCGUAAACCCAUGGGCCGUAAACUCAUGGGGGAUUACCAUUUGGGCUGUAAACUCCUAUGAGAGGCCCUACAACCUUUAGAUGCAUCCCUUGUACUUCUAGCACUUGAAUCAAAGUGUUUUCCAUGUCCUAGGGUGUCUUUAAUUGCAUAAUUAGUUGUUUAAAACACUAAUUAGAUGCUUAUUUGUAUCAUUAUAUGAUAAAUAGGAUCCGUGUGUGUGCUCAAGUCUUCACUUGGCACUUAGCAUCCUUUACCACUUGUUCAUCCAAACCACUUACUACAGGUGAGUUCAUACCCCUUAAUCUACCUUUUAAAUGAUUUUAAAUGCUUUUAUUGGGGGGGGGGGGGAGAAAAGUAGANAUACAAGUUGAAACAUAAUAGUUAUUAUAUCAAUCACAUGUGAUUAAUAACUAUCAAACAAAUGGAUUUGCUAUACUUUUAGCUGUUUUAUCAAACAAACUAUUUCAAAAUGUUUAUCAAACUCUUUUACGUGUUAAACUCUUUAUAAAACUUGUUCUUACAUGCCAAACCUUUACUUUAAACUCUUUUAAAAUUAUAUAUUGUCAAAACAGUGUCUAAUACAUAUAUAUAUAUAGUUAUAUAAGUAAGGUUGGAAGGACUUAGGACUAAUAACUCACUUUAUUUGUUGUUCCUUGUUUGGUUGUGGACUUAGAGUACCCUAUUGUUUGUCCGAGUGUCAAUUGAUCCUUAGUUAUAUAUUAUGUAUAUAUGUAUAAGACAUAAAAGCUUUUGUCUUAGUUCAAUACAUUCAGUUAUGCAAACAACUCUACUAGUAAACUAUAAUAGGCAUAGUUUAGGAAGUCAUUAUUCACUAUUUCUAGUACAAUGAAACAUACAGAGACUCAGUUCAUACAUGAGUCAAUACAUACUAUAACGAGAAGUAGAUAGAGAAUACUAUAACGAGAAACAGAUAGAGAAUACUCUAACGAGAAACAAUACAUACUAUACACUAUACAAGAGAACAUACUAUGAUGAGAAACAAAGAGAACAUACUACAUACUAGACAGAGAGAACAUACAUUGAACUAGUACAUACAAUACAUAUACAAGAAUACUAUAACAUAAAUGUGAGCCAUGGUUUCGAGGCAUGGCAUCACCGCAAUGGCUCGUUUUUUAUCCAGAGUCUCCUGGAGGGAGAGCGUGAAUUUUUGUAUAGAUCCAUACUGGAUUGACUAUCCUACACCGUGUUUGUAACGCCCCAAAAAUAUGUAUCAAAAAUUUUCUUUAAAUCAUUACCAAAGCCAUAUUCAUAAAAACAUAUCAUAAGUCAUAACAUGAAUUCAGAGUAUCAUUUCCAAAAUAUAUUUUCAUUAUCAGAGUAAAACCUCCCAGGCUGACUAAUCAAUGGUGUGUGCCAUGCGAUCACCCCGAGCUCUUCCCUCCGCUACCGGAAGUACGUGAAACCAAAACUGAAAACCGUAAGCACGAAGCUUAGUGAGUUCCCCAACCUACCACAUAACCUGCAUAAACACAUACAACACAUAUUGGGCCAUUCUUGCUAUUUCGUGCCUCGCCCACUACCUCGGGCCUCGCCCACUACAACGGCCCUGCCGCUCCAGGGCCCGCCUAGCUUCGAGCCCCGCUCGGGUACAGAUCUGUUUCACUUAGGCCUCGCCUGUCACUGGGCCUCGCCCGCUAAAAUAUACUAGCUCAUAAACAUAUCACAACGUAUAAGCUAAACAUAUACUAAUGGACCUUGUCCUAAGGCCUCGCCUAUCUUGGGCCUCGGCCUUGUCCUGUUACUGAUGAGUCAUGGAACCCCGUCUACGCUCCUACUGAUAGUGAGAUACGGGCACAACCUACACUCACUCUUUUCCUAACUUGGGCCUCGCCCGUAUUCUGCUGCUAAUGAGACGUGGAACACUGUCCACACUCUGCUAUUGGUGAGAUACGGGACCUCGCCCACACUCACGUCCAUACCAGGCACAUACAAGUGUCACACAGACAACAAGUAUACUCUAUCAAGCAAACCAUUCCUGGGAACCCGCCCGCUAUCAAUGGACCUUGGUCCCAAAUAUCAUACUAGCAUAGAGUGCCUAGGGCUAACCCCCGUGUCUUCCUACUCGUAACUACAUGGGCCGACAUUAUGGCCUUAGACCCAUCCACACAAAGGGAAACUCACCUGGUACUGCUGAACUUGUUGGUAAUACCUCUGGCUGCUGUCUGGCAACUUUCUCUGAACUGCUGCUCCACUAGGUCCCCGAGCUUCAAAUGCUAUGGAAAAUCCCACGAACUCUGGAUCUAUUGACAAUCCUUGAAUCCCCAAUGGUUCCCUUCUUCCUUCUUCCUUCAAAUCACCCAAAAUGGCAAGAAAGCUUGAAUGUGCAACAAUGGAGGCUUAGGGUUUCGUAUUCUGGAUAAGAGAGGCUAUAAGGAACCCUAAGGGAGAUAAUUAGAUGCUUAAAUAGUGCACAAAGUCCUGGAUUUAGGGUUUGCCUCUUCUGACCGGACUCGGCGAGUCCUCUUUGCCGACUCGCCGAGUCGGUUACUUAAUCGAUCCCCCAGAUCCCUUUCCGACUCGUCGAGUUCCUCCAUGGACACGACGAGUUGACCCUUUGACUUAGGGUUUUCUUUCCUUUCUUGGCCUUUCUGAUUUUGAGUGUUACAACUCUCCCCCACUUAAAAUAUACUUCGUCCUCAAAGCUCGCUAUGGCCAACUGACCUAUGAUCUGCCUCCAACACUCUGUAUGGGAACCUAACACCCGCUGGCUGCCUCUGCUGGCCUUCCGCCUGGUUAUUUGACUAACAUUAAUGCUUGCGGAUAAUAAUCUCGGGUCAACCUUGACCUUGAACAUUCUGGGAACACAAGUUACUCAACUGACAAACCUUCUGAUACUCCCCGAGUACUUAUGUUGAACACCCUAGGGGUUCACCCCUGUCUUUCCUUGUGCGAUUUUUGGCCUUUCCAAGGCAACGUUCCAUAACCAACUACUUCCUCUGUCACUGUGAAAGUCCUAUCCUUCACCAACUCCAUUACCCCCCCCACUUCCAGUACGGNCGGGUCUUUACUGCAAGUGUCUGCUGGACACUUCUCACUACUAUAACUUAGUGCUAAGCACCCCUCGAUCAACUAACUGAAUUCCACCAUAGGCUUCUUACCUUCACUGCCACUAACUGAAAAUCUCUGAUGUCCCUUAUCCGCCUUCUGUAUGAAUCGAGACCACCCUGGUCCCUACUGAUCUAUCAAUAUCUGGAUUACCGGCUCCCAUCGGUCGCUAGCCCCAACACAAACUUCUAGUCGCUCCCAGCGAUUACCGAGGAAACUUAGGCUACCUAAUAUUGCCCCCCUAUAUCCUGCCACUCUGGCACUACAAGCCCUGGGAUCCCCGAUCCCCCCUAACUUGACCUUAAGGUCCUUACCAUGUCCCACCUGUGCUACUAAAACUCACGGGCCUCGCCCACAGGUACCAACCGACUACACUACUGAGCAACCCUGCUCUCAGGUCUCACCUAUACCGCUACUCUCAUACGGGUCUCACCCAACUACAUCCUGGAGCGGCCUCUCCCAAGGUCUCACCAUUCUAGGGCUAUGCAUGCAAGCUCCAUACUAUUCUCAUCCACUACUCAUUCCUGAUUCCUACAUGGAUCACUAGGAGGUAAGGGCCUCACCCUAACUCCACUAGCUAAGAGAUAUGGGCCUCCGCCCACACUCUGCUAACUAAGCUGCUAGGGAAUGCUACCGCUUACCCGUAGUCUUACAACACUUUCCAUACUCACUGGUUACUGACGAAAAAUACUGCACCUCUCCUGCCGCUCUACCAUGCUUUACAUGCUAUCUUUGCCACUGAUUACUAACACGAAAGCAUCCCAAGCUAACCAUUCUGAAAAUCCUCAUUCCAACUUUCCCGAGUCCUACAGGCGACCCUCCAACCAAAAUUCCCAACCAGAUACUAACCAUCUCGAAUACAUGAACCAACUGUUGGGAAGUCUGCCAAACUCCCAACGCUGAACUGCUCAACCCAUCAAUCAUUGUGCUACUCCUUUUCCUUCUCCGAGGUCGUGUACUCAUUCUGGAUCUGCAUGCUCUUACCCUUGUUGUAACACCGAAAAACUUUAAAACAAUUUUUCGCAUUUUCCAACACAUUUUUACAAACUCAUUCAUUCAUAAAAUGUCAUAGUAUCAUGUCUUUCUUUCACAAAACAUCUCCCAUGAUCGAAAUACAUAAAAUCCCAUGUGUGUACGAAUCAAGCCGGCGCCUUCCCACGGUCAUCACUGGUACCUGAAACACAUAACACGUAAUUCUGUAAGCAUAAGCUUAGUAAGUUCCUCAAAAUACCACAUAAACACAUAUCAGCCACUCAAGGCUGUAACUCUGUUGACCCUCUGGUCGAAUAUCUCUAUGGGACCCUCUUGGUCCCAUAACUCUGUGAACCCACUGGUCCAAACUCUGUAAACUCUGAAUCAUGCAUAUCACAUAUCACAAUAAAUCACAACACGUAGUAUCAUACAAACACACUGGCAUAUAGCUCUAGAAUACUAUGUCACACAACUCUGUUACCACACUAGGUAAAGUAUAGUGAGAAGACUCACCUCAGGCGUCUCGGUAAAUCUCUGACUCGGUAGUAAAUACUCUUAUAAAUAUAACUCUUAAGACUAGACUCAACCUGCCAUUGGCAACCUCAUAAGGGUAAAAGACUAUUUUACCCCCUCUCGACACAAGUACUGCAUGGUUGACCAAACUCUAAAAGUCAACGGUCACACUUUGACCCUACUCGCCGAGUGCACCCUGGUGACUCAGCGAGGUCACACAUGUUCUCUAACACUUUGUCCCGCUUGGCAUGCCGAUUCCCCCCUAUCGACGAGUCANACAUGAAUCGUGGGGCCACCCCGACUCAACUUGUCGAGUCUCAAGAACAACUCGGCGAGUACCGCCUUCAACUCCAGUCCUCUAACCCCCUUCUGACUCACUGAGUCAUCCCCCAACUCGGCAAGUCUACUCACUGAGCAAUUUACGCGAAACCCUAACCCUACUCGCCGAGUCUCAAGAACAACUAGGCGAGUUCAUGCGAUGCAUAAACUCUACUGACCUCCUGAGGUCAGAUAUGUUUCCCUAAACCAUAGAUAUGGCCUUCCCAAGAAUGAAUGUCACGUAAAGUCCGAAACUUGAUGCUUGUAUAACAACAAGGCAUCAAAAGGAGAUUUAAUCUCAAAAAUGGCAACCUAAGUCCAAUAACCCCAAACUGAUCCAUAAAGCUCCAAGGGUUAAGGUCUCUGGACCACUUUGAGUCCAUAUCCAAGGCACAAACUCGAAGAGGGACCAUUUGCUCCACAUAAUCACUCUCCAAAGGGGUUAGAAAACCCUAACUCUAAUGAUCAACACCAAAACUGGAGGAGGUUCGAACCAUUACCUCAAAAUGAUGUCUCUGAACUCUGGAACUGAUAGAAUCACACCUCCCCUUUGCUCUUGGUCACCUCCUUCUUGCUAAACCAAAGGUACAAAGAUCAAAAGUGACUUCUUCUUCCUCACAACGACUUGGCUCACUUAGGGUUCUCUCAAGGGACUUGGAGCCGUAAUGCGAGGCUAUAAGUGCCCUUAAAUAGGCUCCAAACCCGAGGGAUUAGGGUUUCAUUAAACAGCGUGGACUCGCCGAGCCCGGACGUGAACCCGGAUGAAUAUUCGCGACCCUACUCGGCGAGUCUUUGCUCCAACUCGCCGAGUUCCUCCACAAACUCCAAAAUAAUUAAAUAAAAUAAUAUACCUGGAAAUCCGGAUGUUACAAUUCUCCCCCACUUGAAUCAGACUUCGCCCUCGAAGUCUCACUCUAGAAACAACUAUGGAUGCUACUCACGCAUCUCACGCUCCGACUCCCAAGUAAGCUCUGACCCUUUCCAGUGUUGCCACUGGACCUGCACCAGAGGCACUUCUUUGUUCCUGAGAACCUUGAUCUUUCGAUCCCGAAUAGCCACUAGUCUCUCAACGUAGUUCAGGCCCACAUCCACCUGAAUAUCCUCUAAUGGCACUACUGCUGACUCAUCGGCUAUACACUUUCGCAACUGCAGCACAUGGAAAGUGUCAUGAAUCUAACCCAACUCUGCAGGUAGCUCCAUCCGGUAGGCUACCUUGCCUACCCUCGCGGUCACCCUAAAAGGACCGAUAUAUCGGGGCCCCAACUUGCCCCUCUUCCUGAAUCGGACCACUCCUUUCCAAGGAGAGACCUUCAGGAGUACAAAGUCGUCGACCUGGAACUCGAGCUCAGACCGGCGCCUAUCCGCAUAACUCUUCUGACAACUCUGAGCGGUCAAUAACCUCUGCCUGACCUGCUGUAUCUGCUUAGUCGUCUGAAGUACGAUCUCUGUACUACCCAUCACACGCUGCCUGACUUCUCUCCAACAAAUGGGGGUCCGACACCUUCUCCCAUACAACAGCUCAAAGGGUGGCAUACCAAUGCUCGAAUGAUGGCUGUUGUUGUAGGAAAACUCUGCCAAGGGCAAAUACGUAUCCCAACUCCCGCCGAAAUCCAGCACACAUGCCCUGAGCAUAUCCUCAAGUGUCUGAAUCGUCCGCUCGCUCUGUCCGUCAGUCUGGGGGUGGUGUGCGGUACUAAAAUGCAGCCUAGUACCCAAUUCCUCAUGAAAUUUCUUCCAGAAUCUGGAAGUGAAACGCACAUCUCGGUCUGAGACAAUCGAGGUCCGCACUCCAUGCCGCGAUACCACUUCCCUCACGUACAUCUCUGCCAACUUUUCUACGGAAGAGCACUCACUGAUAGCAAGGAAGUGGGUGCUCUUUGUCAACCUGUCCAUAAUCACCCAAAUUGCGUCGACUCCCGUAGCAGUUGUUGGCAAUUUGGUGAUAAAAUCCAUGGUAAUCUGUUCCCACUUCCACUCAGGAACCUCCAACGGCUGCAACUUACCAUGCGGUCUCUAGUGCUCAGCCUUAACCCUACGACAGGUUAAGCACCUCUCAACAAACCACGUGACAUCCCUCUUCAUACAGGGCCACCAAUACUCCCUCUUCAGGUCUAAAUACAUCUUAGGGGCCCCAGGAUGGAUCGAGAACUUCGAUCGAUGAGCCUCUUCCAUCAAAAUGGUACGCGUCCCGCCCACAAACGGUACCCAGAUUCGACCCUGAAAUGUCAUAAGCCCCCGACUAUCGGUAAUGAACUCCGAUACCAUCCCUACAACUCUCUCUCUCUUCUGGUUUUUUGACCUCCGGCCUCAGCCUGGGCCCCAUGAAUGGUAUCCAACACCGGAGCCAUCACGGUCAAUCUCAAACAAACAUCUCGCAUCGGAGCGGUUUCCUCCCUUCGACUCAGUGCAUCGGCUACAACAUUAGCCUUACCCGGGGGGGACAGGAUCUCGCAGUCAUAAUCCUUUACCACAUCCAACCAGCUCCUCUAGUGCAUAUUCAGGUUGGGCUGAUCCAUCAAGUACUUCAAGCUCUUGUGGUCCGUGUAUAUGGUACACCGAACCCCAUACAGAUAGUGACGCUAGAUCUUGAGGGCGACCACCACUACCCCCAACUCUAGAUCGUGGGUGGGAUACCUCGUCUCAUGAGGCUUCAGCUGCCUCGAUGCGUAUGCUAUCACAUGCCCUCUCUACAUCUGCACCGCUCCCAACCCCGAGAUUGACGAAUCACAAUACACCACAAAGUCCUCCAUUCCCUACGGAAGGGCUAACACCGGGGCUUCGCAUAGUCUCUGGCGAAGUGUCUCGAAGGAGGCCUGCUGCUCUGGGCCCCAUGAAAAAGCAACACCCUUCCGGGUCAACCUGGUGAGUGGCACUGCGAUCUUGGAGAAAUCCCUGAUAAAUCUCCGGUAAUACCCUGCCAGACCUAACAAACUCCUGAUAUCGGUGGGUGACCUCGGCACCUCCCAACUCAUCACUGCCUCAACCUUGGCCGGGUCGACCAAUACCCUUUCUGGUUAAUGAGGUGUCCUAGGAACUGGACCUCUCGCAACCAGAAAUCGCACUUGGAGAAUUUGGCAUAAAGCCUCUCCGAUCUCAGAACCCCGAGGAUCUCCCUCAAAUGAUUCUCAUGCUGCUCUCUGGAACACGAAUACACCAAAAUGUCAUCGAUGAAUACGAUCACCAAGCGAUCCAACAUCGGCCUGCACACUCUGUUCAAGAGGUCCAUGAACACCGCCAAUGCGUUGGUGAGUCCGAAAGGCAUCACCUCAAACUCGUAAUGUCCAUAACGAGUCCUGAACGCUGUCUUCUAGAUGUCCUCAUCUUACACCCUUACCUGAUGAUACCCAAACCUCAAAUCGAUCUUGGAGAACCAAGAUGCUCCCUGCAACUGAUCGAACAAAUCGUCGAUCCUCGGCAACGGGAAACGGUUCUUGACUGUCAGCUUGUUCAACUCCGGGUAAUCAAUGCACAUCCGGUAUGAACCAUCCUUUUUCUUGACAAAAAUGAUACGUGCUCCCCACGGCGAGCUGCUCGGCCGAAUAAACCCCUUCCCUAGCAACUACUGAAGCUGCGAGGAUAACUCUUGCAUCUUUGGAGGUGCAAGGUGAUAGGGCACCUUGGCGAUACGCGCGACCCUCGGGACCAAAUCGAUACUAAAGUCCACCUGCCUCACGGGAGGCACACCCGGCAACUCCUCCGGAAAUACGUCCGGGAACUCCCGCACUAUCGGAACCUCAUCAACUAACCUCGGUCUCUUGGAAUCAUCCCUCGUAUCCAUCACAUACACUACAAAACCCCUACAUCCCUGAUGUAGACAUUGUCUUGCCCUAGCGGCCGAACAAUAUGCUAACCCAAAACUUGUACCCUCGCCCUACACCAUAAGAACUCCCCCACUAGGGUCUCGUAUGGUCACCAGCUGUCGCUCGCAGUCGAUAAUCGCUCCGAAUCUGCUCAACCAGUCCAUGCCCACGAUGACACAGACAUCUCCCAUCGCAAUAGGAACUAAAUCAAUUGGGAACUCAACACCAAAAAUAUCGAGUACACACCCUUGGAUCACCUCUGUGGCAUAUACCGCCCUCUCGUCAGCUAUGGAAACUCUCAGAGGUCGACUCAAUGCCUCAUGACUAGCACUGAUUUGCUGACUAAAAUCCAAAGAUACAAAAGACCGACUCGCACCCGAGUCAAAUAACACCAAGGCAGGUACACAACUCACAAGAAAAGUACCUACGCAUAACAUAAUAUAAGCACAAUAUCUCAACAUCAACAUAAAUAUACGAAAGAAUACAUACCAGCCACGACGUCGGGCACUGCGUGGACCUCCUCCGCGGUCAACUGAAAGGCUCUCCCUCGUGCGUUCGGUGCCUCGGCCUUCACUGGCCGGCUCUUAGUAGCUCUGAUAGCAGCAGGGGCAGAUCCCUGAGAUGCUCCUUGUGCUGAUCCCCGCUGCGGACACUCUGCCUUCCGGUGUUCGGUUUGGUUGCAGUUAAAACAUACUGCAAACCCUUUAGGGCAAUCCUUGGCCAUAUGCCCCUCCUUGCCACAUUUGUAGCAAGACCCUGCUCUGCACACCCCAUUGUGGCUCUUUCCGCACUUGCCAAGUGCGGCNGAUCUCGAAUCAGCGGGAUUGGCCUGCUUGGCUACCGGCUGAGACUGUACCGGUCGCCGAUCCCUCCCCUGAGACUCAACCUAUUCCCUAGCCUGGGUCUCCAGCUCUAUCUCCCUCUUCCGGGCAUUUGCCUGAAGCUCGGCAAAUGUCCGGUACGUCGAGUUCGCCACAAACUCUCAUAUAUCCCUCCUCAAAAUGCUCAGACAUCGGCUCAUACAUGUCUGCUCGGAGGACACAUGCUCUGGGAAGAACAUUGCCCGCUCAUGGAACAUCCUCGUAAUCACUGUAACAGACUCAGUACCCUGCUUGAGGGUCAGAAACUCCUGGGCCAAACGCUCCCUCUUUACCUGGGGAACGUACUCAUCUCGGAACAUAGAAGUGAAUCUCUCCCAGGUCACUGCAGCAAGCUCAGCAGGCGUAUAGUGUGCCGUCACAAACUUCCACUAAUCCUUCGCCCCCAAGAGAAGCUGGUUCAGCGCGAACCGAACUCUCAAAUGCUUUGGAGAUGAGCAAGUAAAGAAACACCCCUCUAUGUCUGAAAUCCACCUCAUUGUUGCAAUCAGAUCCUGGGUCUCGUCCAACUCCGGUGGUUUUGUGUUGCUGAACUCUCGGAAGAGAAACACAUCACCACCCUGCGGCCUACUCGCAGCUAUAGCUGCAGUGGCCGUAGCAACAACAGCCUCAUAAAGAGAAGCGUACUUCUCAUCAAAUAUCUCUAUCAGCGUGGUCUUGAUAGACCCGAACAUCUCGAGUAUCUCUACCCUGAUGGCCGCAGCCACCUCCUCCUGGAUCAUCCUACGGAUCUCCUCAUCACUCGUACUGCUGCCCCUUGGUGUGUGGCGUGUCCCAACCAUGAUCUCCCUCUCUCUGAAAUACAACACAAGAAUAAAUAUUAGGGACUCGCUCGAGUAUGCUCACACUCGAAUACUCCACCCUACUUGUCCCUUGGUACUCCAAGGAUUCUUACUUGAGUUGUGCACUGACCCGGUGUCUUUAGUAGUACGGGCCCAAUACUACUGUUCACACCACAUCAACAUUCACCCCAAGUCCUCCUCCCAGAGUCCCAAAUCCCAAGUACUCUACUCUCUCUAAUCAUAUGAUACUCACUGGCAGAUCUCUCAUAAUCUCCUUGCUGCUACCUAAACACUCUAAAGUAUCCCUAGCAGCAAGACUCCUAUACUCAGGCAUCACAUAUCAGGCCACUCUAGUCAUAAUAAGAAUACCUAGUCUACUCUGGCAUGCAUAGCAUAGCUCAUCAUAUAACAUAUCAUAUCAUAUCUCAUAACACUUAUUGUAAUGGUAUUUUGGGAAAUCACCGUUCGGGCGCUGGCUGUUCGUACGCACGACUCUUAUCUGUUUGUCUCGAAAGUUCUUCUUUUGAAAACUUAUUUUAUUAUCGAAAUUUCCUCAAAUCCUCAGUUUGAGUUCAGAUACACCAGAAUCCAUCAAACCAAGGCUCUGAUACCAACUUGUAACACAGUAAAAAUUUAAAACAAUUUAUCGCAUUUUCAAACACAUUUUUACAAACUCAUUCAUUCAUAAAAUGUCAUAGUAUCAUGUCUUUGUUUCACAAAACAUAUCCCAAGAUCGAGAUACAUAAAAUCCCAUGUGUGUAUACGAAUCAAGCCGGCGCCUUCCCGCAGUCAUCACUGGUACCUGAAACACAUAACACGUAACUCUAUAAGCAUAAGCUUAGUGAGUUCCCCAAAAUACCACAUAAACACAUAUCAGCCACUCAAGGCUGUAACUCUAUUGACCCUCUACUCGAAUAUCUCUGUGGGACCCUCUUGGUCCCAGAACUCUUUGGACCCACUGGUCCUAACUCUGUAAACUCUGAAUCAUGCAUAUCAAAUAUCACAAUAAAUCACAACACGUAGUAUCAUACAAACACACUGGCAUAUAGCUCUAGAAUACUCUGUCACACAACUCUGUUACCACACUAGGUAAAGUAUAGUGAGAAGACUCACCUCAGGCGUCUCAGUAAAUCUCUGACUCGGUAGAAAUAUUGCCUAGUCUCCGCCUAUUUACAUAAAGUAAAUACUCUUGUAAAUAUAACUCUCAAGACUAGACUCAACCUGCCAUUGGCACCCUCAGAAGGGUAAAAGACUAUUUUACCCCCCUCUUGACACAACAACUCCAUGGUUGACCAAACCCUAAAAGUCAAUAAAAGUCAACAGUCACACUUUGACCCUACUCACCGAGUGCACCCUGGUGACUCGGCGAGUUCACACAUGUUCUCUAACACUUUGUCCCGCUUUGCACGUCGAGUCCCCCUUAUGCUCGACGAGUCAUACCAGGCAUGAAUCGUGGGGCCACCCCGACUCAACUUGCCGAGUCUCAAGAAGAACUCGGCGAGUACCGCCUUGAACUCCAGUCCUCUAACCCCCUUCUGACUCUUUGAGUCAUCCCCCAACUCGGCAAUUCUACUCACUGAGCAAUUUACGUGAAACCCUAACCCUUCUCGCCGAGUCUGAAGAACAACUCGGCGAGCUCAUGCCAUGCACAAACUCUACUGACCUCCUGAGGUCAGAUCUGUUUCCCUAAACCAUAGAUCUGGCCUUCCCAAGCCUAAAUGUCAUGUAAAGUCCGAAACUUGAUGCUUGUAUAACAACAACAAGGCAUCAAAAGGAGAUUUAAUCCCAAAAAUGGCAACCUAAGUCCAAUAACCCCAAACUGAUCCAUAAAGCUCCAAGGGUUAAGGUCUUUGGACCUCUUUGAGUCCAGAUCCAAGGCACAAACUCGAAGAGGGACCAUUUGCUCCACAUAAUCACUCUCCAAAGGGGUUAGAAAACCCUAACUCUAAUGAUCAACACCAAAACUGAAGGAGGUUCGAACCAUUACCUCAAAAUGAAGUCUCUGAACUCUGGAACUGCUAGAAUCGCACCUCCUCUUUGCUCUUGGUCACCUCCUUCUUGCAAAACCAAAGGUACAAGGAUCAAAAGUGACUUCUUCUUCCUCACAACGAUUUGGCUCACUUAGGGUUCUCUCAAUGGACUGGUAGCCGCAAUGGGAGGCUAUAAGUGACCUUAAAUAGGCUCCAAACCCGAGGGAUUAGGGUUUCAUUAAACAACGUGGACUCACCGAGUCCAUAAAUGGACUCGCCGAGUCCGGAUGUGAACCCGGAUGAACAUCCGCGACCCUACUCGGCGAGUCUUGGCUCCAACUCGCCGAGUUCCUCCACAAACUCCAAAAUAAUUAAAUAAAAUAACAUACCUGGAAGUCCGGAUGUUACACUUGUAUACUCGGAGGGUUCUCCCCCACUUUGAUCCUGCUUAUACCUCACUGCUCAAUGUUUUGGCAAGAAUUUCUGUUGAAACAUAAAAGUGAUCCUCUUGAACUAAGGUACCCAAAUCAUCUAUCAACCGCAACCGUUCACCAUCAGCAAUCAUAUCAGCAUCCGGAGUCAACAAGUCUUCAGCAUCCGCAGUCUUUGUUAUUUCCUUUACUUAUCUUUAUGUAAUGUACUCUAUCAUCCAGCAUGCCUUGCACGGAUUCUUAUAGAGUACUUUAUUUUUGAGACUAUAUAAAUAGAGACUCUUUCUAAUGUAUUCAGUACACCUCUUAACUUCUUAAUACACAAGAUUUCUUCCUCAACUAUUUCUCUCGAUGACUUGUGAAUUAUUCUGAAUAUAUUUCUCCAAGUUAUCUUCUUCUCUUCUCUAUCCUACUACUCUUCAGACUCUAAACUGCUACUGAAACAUAACCUCUCUUUGGAGCAAGUCUUCUAGACUUAAUCACUAAACUUGAUCUUCCUUACUAACUCGGAGUGAGUGCAUUCCUUGUUAUGAAUCAGUUUAAGCGUAUUCUUGAUAUAACAAUUGUUGUCAUUUAUAUUUCUUUACUUUUCGCAACCAAAGGAGAUUUAAUCCGCAAUAUACUUGUUGAGCUUUAGAUCCUUUGAGAUUAACUAUUCCGCAAUAUACUUGUUCUAACGUUUGUUUAAUUGUGUCUCCAAGUUUUUCUCUCAACAGUUGGUAUCAGAGCCAAAGUGGUUGCUUUUUAAAUAUUGGAACUAUGAUUUUCUCAUUAUUCCUUCUAUACCACUAAAGCUCAUUUCUCAAAAAAAAAAAAAACAAAAUGGCACAAUCGUUAUCUCUAAAUGUCUCCAAUAGUGUUGCUGGUUCUAACCAAGAUCCAAUACUAAUAGCAAAUGAAUAUCAUCACUGGUCACAAAGAAUGGAGAGGUACUUAAGAAGACUAGGUAGAGAUGUAUGGCGAUCCGUGGAAGAAAGACCACACGUUCCAGUCCAAACUGACGGCGCGAUAGCCAGGCUAGGAGGAGGUCAACCAACCAUGAGCCGUCCUACCAAGGAUUAUCUCGAUAAAAUGGAAAAUGAUGUCAUUGCUUUUUAUGAAAUUUCUUGUGAUGUUGCUCCUGACAACUUUGAUAUUAUCAUAAAUUGCAAGUCAGCAAAAGAGAUCUGGGAUAUACUCAAAAACCUGUAUGAAGGCUCAGAACAGGCACAAGAUAAGAAGCUCACUACUGCACUCAACAACUUCAACAACUUCAAAGCUCAUGCGGGUGAAAGUUUGGAAGACUCCUUCAAGAGAUUCAACUUGAUAGUCACAAAGUUAUCAAAUGCUGGUACCAUCCGCAGCAACCAUGAAACCAAUCUCCAGUUCCUUAAUGGCUUAGGACGACAAUGGACUAUGGCCAAAAUGAUAGUCCAAGGUGACAGGAAGAUUCACUCUUUAUCACUCUAGAAAAUCUAUGGAGAACUCCAAGCACAAGAAUCCAUUGUACUCAAAGACUGUACUGACUUCGGAGGACCGCUUGCUCUCAUAGCACAAUGUUUACCGCAGUCACCCUACUCUUCAUCAUAUGAUACCCCACCAUAGUCAUACGAAGCGGAUUCUGAGUAUCAUGAUGAAGAAGAAUUUCAUAAAGCUAUUGCUCUAGUUGGCCAACAGUUCAACCGCAUACCACCUUCUUCUUUCCGCAAGAAUCAACAAUUCAACAAAGCUCCCUUCAACCGUAACUUCGGUCCUCAGAAUAACCACUCUCGAUAUCCUAAAAGCUCUCAGAACAAUCAACCAAAGGAGGUACCGCAGUCUCCUCAGAACAAUAACUCCGAUACUCAAUCAGAAGACAAGACUGAUGUUGUGAUUUGUCACAAAUGCAAUAAAGAAAAUCACUUUCCAAAAGAGUGUAAGGCCAAAGUAGUCAAGGACAGAGCAUUCUACCUUAGAAUGGAUCAAGAGUUGGAAGAAAAAGAAAAGGCAAGGGCAUAUGUGGCUCAAGUUAAAAUAGACCAUAAAGUUUUGUCAUCAGAAGAUGAAGAAGAAACCAUCAGCAGUGUUAAAGGAAAAGGGAAAAUCUGCAUGCUGGCCACUGCGGAUGAUGAUGGGUCAGCAAUGUUGAACAAAAACUACUGCUACAUGGCAAAGGAUGGAACUCUAAGCAUCGUUGAACAGGUAAAACUUAUGAUCCAAACUGUAAAUUAUAGUAUGCAUGACUGUCAACCAUACAUAGAUGAUCUUACUAACACUUGUGUUGCCGUCCUUACAGACUAUAACAAAGCCCUAGAUGAGAACAACAUUGCGUCCCAAGAGAUGUUCCAUGUGAGAGGAAGACUGGAUAACAAGAAACUUAAAAUGGCAAUGUUAGAAAAGGAUCUAAAGUUAGAGAAAGAUGGUAGAAUGUUAAGUGAAACCCAAUUAGAGAUAGCUUUGAACCAGAGAGAUUUAGCUUAGAUGGAAAUUGUACGCUUAAAUCUAUUAAUUGAAAAAUUGUUUAAUGAAAGUGAGGCUGUUGAAAAUUUGGUAAAUAAUGGAACUGUGGACAAUACAUAUAAUUGGGGUUGGUCAAAUGGGUAUCCUACCGCAAUGGAUUCCUCACCCCGGUUCAACAAAGACAGAGUGUAUGUCCCUCCUGAUAGAGAAUUUCAUUUUCCUGUCAAUGAUAAGACUUUUCUCGAAGAUAUCAAAACUCACUUCAGAAGAUUACACAAUUUGAGAAAUAAUUGUGUCAGUGAGGAAAUUGUGCCCGAAGAUUCUAGUCAUACAUGUGAUCAAACUCCCAUCAGUGGCACCACUCUUUAAAAUUCUCAAACUUGAUCCGUAGUUGAUGAAGAAAUUGUUGUUGAAGGCCCCAAAGUCUCAAAGGACUUUCCAUCUUUGUCCUCGGACCACAGUGUUCCACAUUAUAGUCAAUUGUCCCAGAAGUGUUCCACCGCAGUCUCAUCUAAAACCUACUCUGUGGUAGUCAAAUCAUCUUUGCAAAAACCAUCAGUUCAAGGAACUACAACACUUCAGCCCAUUUUUCAUGAGUUACCUAUAGAAAAUUUUGAUCUAGGUAAAUGCUCUCAAAUUCCAGAAUCCUCAAGUUCUGAUGAUUCUAGUCCACGUUUUCAAAAUCGUUCAAAAAAUCCCAGGAAACUGCAGUUGAAUAACAAUGACUGCGGUUCACCAGAAUCUUUGGCAAAAAGAGCUUUCAAAGAAGAAAUUAUAUCUCGAAACAAAGGCAGACAAAGUUUUUCAAAAAAUAAGAAACAUGUGAGAAUUCCAAAAUCCAAGAGUCCAUAAAAAUUUGUUUUCACAAAUUACAUUUCAAAAAACUCUUAUUUCAUGAAAACAAGCAAAAAGGGAAGUUCAGUCUCGAAAGUCAUUCCUGCUACUUCUGACACAACCCAUAAAGGUGUCAAACUCACAAGAAACUACGUUUUUCAGGUCUAUUCCCCAGAUGUGUAACAACGCAAAUUUUCGAACAAAAUUUUCAUUUAAAAUAAAGUGAAUUAUUUCAACCAAAUAUAAUUAUUCCAAAUUUCAUAUCAAAAUACAAUCAUAAAAUCCCCAAGAUCUCAAAACAUCAACAGUGUGUACGCGUCAUGCCGGCGCCUUCCCACGGUCCUCGCUAGUACCUGAAACACAUACAUGACAACUGUAAGCAUAAAUGCUUAGUGAGUUCCCCAGUAUACUACUUACGCAUAUACGCCUUUCCAGGCCUUGAGAUAAUCGCCUUCCGGCCCAUAACAUAUUGCCUUCCGGCCCAUAACAUAAUGCCUUCCGGCCCAUAACAUAAUGCCUUCCGGCCCAUAACAUAUUGCCUUCCGGCCCAUAAACAUAUACAACAAUUAAUACAUUAAUCUUAACACAUAUAGCACGCAUAGCAAAUACCUUACCAUUUAUAGCACGUAUAACACAAAUCAUAUCCGACCUUCCGGUCACACAGUCAAACCCUUCCGGGUACAGUAUAGUGAGAAGACUCACCUCGCGGGUAAUGAAAGCUAGCGACUCCUGAAAUCACUCGCACUCGAUCCGCCGAGCUACAGACUCCCUAUAAUAUCAUAUAUCCCUUAUUAAUACUUUUAUCUUUCAAGACAACUGACCCUAAGAAAUUACAUGUAGGUCAACUCUGGUCAACGGUCAACGGUCAACUCGACUGGACUCGGCGAGUACCAUGGCGACUCGGCGAGUCUAGUCGUCCUCACAAAUUCCUGAAUAUUCCCUUUCUACUCGUCGAGUAUCCCUCUUGACUCGACGAGGUCCUCGUGGAAGAAUCGCGGGGCCACCCCGACUCCACUCGCCGAGUCUGAUGAACAACUCGGCGAGUCCCAGCAAAUCUUCAAGCUACUCGCCGAGUCUGAAGAACAACUCGGCGAGUCCAUGCCAUGCAGACGAGUAACUGCUUCCUGAGAUAGGUCUCGUCCCGAAGUACACAUGCAUGGGACCUUCUGGACCUCUAAAGGUCCUAAUACAAGACUAUAAUCGUGGGGUAACAAGGCAUUACUUCAUCAAAUCACUAAAUGGGUUCUAUAAACCCUAAUUUCAUAAAUACAUCAAAAUAACAGAUUUGGUCCGAGUAUUACCUGAAAACGCACUCUCUGUGUCCCCCAAAUCUCAGGACUCAAUCCUCCUUGAUAUUCCUUUAGCCAAAUCCCUCUUCUUCUUGCCUAACCAAUUCUUCCAAGUUCCAAAGCUUUCUCCCUUGCUCUAGGCGUCCACAGCGAUUAGGGUUCCUCUCAAUUGACCAAAAGACUGAAAAUGACGGCCUAAGAGGCGUUAAAUACGAUCCAAACUGAACGGUUAGGGUUUCUGCUGAACAGCGUCGACUCGCCGAGUCCAUAUCUGGACUCGUCGAGUCCAGUCGCGGACCCGCGACCAAGUCUGCGAUCCUACUCGGCGAGUCUAGGCUCCAACUCGCCGAGUCCCCUCUUAAAUCACCCCAAAAACAUAAUUUUAAUAAUACCUGAGAUUCCGGGCUGUUACAACUCUCCCCCACUUGGAUUAGACUUCGCCCUCGAAGUCUCAUUCUGCAAAUAGUUCCGGAUGCUGCUCCCGCAUUUCGCGCUCCGGUUCCCAAGUCAUUUCUGAUCCCUUACGGUGUUGCCAUUGAACCAACACCAGAGGUACCUCCUUGUUCCUCAGAACCUUGAUCUUCCGAUCCCUGAUAGCCACUGGUCUCUCCGCGUAAUUCAGGCUCGCAUCCACCUGAAUAUCCUCCAAUGGAACCACUGCCGACUCAUCGGCUAUGCACUUCCUCAACUGCGACACAUGAAAAGUGUCAUGGAUCUGACCCAACUCCGCUGGCAACUCCAACCGAUAGGCUACCCGACCUAUCCUUGCAAUCACACGAAAUGGCCCAAUAUACCGGGGCCCCAACUUGCCCCUCUUCCUGAAUCGAAUCACUCCUUUCCAAGGAGAGACCUUCAGGAGAACGAAGUCGCCGACCUGAAAUUCAAGCUCGGAUCGGCGCCUGUCUGCAUAACUCUUCUGUCGGCUCUGGGCAGUCAAUAACCUUUGUCUCACUCGCUGAAUCUGCUCUGUCGUCUGGAGCACGAUCUCCGUGCUGCCCAUCACUCUCUGUCCCACCUCUCCCCAGCAAAUGGGGGUCCGACACCUCCUACCAUACAACAGCUCGAAAGGUGGCAUACCAAUGCUCGAAUGAUGGCUGUUGUUGUAGGAGAACUCUGCCAAUGGUAAAUACGCAUCCCAACUACCCCCGAAGUCUAACACACACGCUCGGAGCAUGUCCUCCAGCGUCUGAAUUGUCCGCUCGCUCUGACCGUCUGUCUGGGGAUGGUAUGCGGUACUAAAAUGCAAUUUAGUACCCAGCUCCUCAUGGAAUUUCUUCCAGAAUCUGGAAGUAAAGCGCACAUCACGGUCUGACACAAUCGAGAUCGGCACCCCGUGCCGAGAUACCACCUCUCUCACGUAUAUCUCCGCCAAUUUCUCCGCCGAAGAACUCUCACUGAUGGCAAGGAAGUGUGCACUCUUUGUCAACCUAUCCACGAUCACCCAAAUUGCGUCAACUCCCCUAGCAGUCCUCGGCAAUUUGGUGAUAAAAUCCAUAGUGAUCUGUUCCCACUUCCACUCGGGGAUCUCCAAUGGCUGUAACUUGCCAUGCGGUCUCUGGUGCUCAGCCUUAACCCUACGGCAGGUCAAGCACCUCUCAACGAACCAUGCCACGUCCCUCUUCAUACAGGGCCACCAAUAUUCCUUCCUUAAAUCCAAAUACAUCUUUGUAGCACCGGGAUGGAUCGAGAAUUUCGAUCUAUGAGCCUCUUCCAUCAACGUAAUACGCGUACCGCCCACGAACGGUACCCAAAUCCGACCCUGAAACGUCAUAAGGCCUCGACUAUCCUUGACAAACUCUGAGAUUAACCCCACAACCCGCUCUUUCUUCUGCAUUUCUGGUCGCACAGCCUCUGCCUGGGCCCCACGAAUAGCGUCCAAUACUGGAGUCAUCACAGUCAGUCUCAAGCAUACAUCUCGCAAUGGAGUGCUCUCCGCCCUGCGGCUCAAUGCAUCGGCUACCACAUUAGCCUUGCCUGGGUGGUACAGGAUCUCACAAUCAUAAUCCUUGACCACAUCCAACCACCUCCUCUGACGCAUAUUUAGGUUGGGUUGAUCCAUCAAAUACUUCAAACUCUUAUGGUCCGUGUAUAUCGUACAUCGAACCCCAUACAAGUAGUGACGCCAAAUCUUGAGAGCGAACACUACUGCCCCCAACUCUAAAUCAUGCGUGGGAUAUCUCGCCUCAUGAGGCUUCAGCUGCCUCGACGCAUAAGCUAUCACAUGACCCCUCUGCAUCAACACUGCACCCAAUCCCGAAAUCGAUGCGUCGCAAUAUACCACGAAAUCUUCCAUCCCUUCUGGGAGAGCUAAUACCGGGGCUUCGCACAAUCUCUGGCGAAGUGUCUCAAAGGAGGUCUGCUGCUCGGGCCCCCAUGAGAAUGUAACACCCUUCCGGGUCAAUCUGGUGAGUGGCACUGCGAUCUUGGAGAAAUCCUUGAUAAAUCUCCGAUAAUACCCUGCCAACCCAAGGAAACUUCUGAUCUCAGAGGGUGACUUCGGCACCUCCCAACUCAUCACCGCCUCAACCUUGGCCGGAUCGACCAAUAUCCCUUUCUGAUUAACCACAUGUCCUAGAAACUGGACCUCCCGCAACCAGAAGUCACAUUUGGAGAACUUUGCAUAAAGCUUCUCCGACCUCAAUACCUCAAGGACCUCCCUCAAAUGCUCCUCAUGCUGCUCUCUAGAUCUCGAAUACACCAGAAUGUCGUCGAUAAAUACAAUCACUGACCGAUCCAACAUCGGCCUGCAUACCCUGUUCAUGAGAUCCAUGAACACAGCCGGGGCAUUGGUGAGUCCAAAAGGCAUCACCACAAACUCAUAAUGUCCAUAUCGCGUCCUAAACGCUGUCUUCUGGACGUCUUCAUCCCGUACUCUCACCUGAUGGUAUCCUGACCUCAGAUCGAUCUUGGAAAACCAAGAUGCUCCCUGCAACUGAUCGAAUAAAUCAUCGAUCCUCGGCAACGGGUAACGGUUCUUGACCGUUAACUUGUUCAACUCCCGGUAAUCAAUGCACAUCCGGUGUGAACCAUCCUUCUUUUUGACGAACAGAAUAGGUGCUCCCCAUGGCGAGCUGCUCGGCCGAAUGAAUCCCUUUCCCAGCAACUCCUGGAGUUGCGAGGACAACUCUUGCAUCUCUGGAGGUGCAAGACGAUAGGGCACUUUAGCAAUAGGCGCGGCCCCCGGAACCAGAUCGAUACCAAACUCUACUUGCCUCACAGGAGGUACUCCCGGCAGUUCCUCGGGAAAAACAUCUGAAAACUCACGCACCACAGGGACCUCCUCAACUGACUUCGGUCUCUCGGAAACCUCCCGCGUAUCCAUCACAUACGCCACAAAACCCUUACAGCCCUGCCGUAGACACUGCCUCGCCCUAGCGGCCGAACAAAAAGCUGAUCCCGAACGGGUACCCUCGCCGUACACCGAAAGAACUCCCCCUCUAGGGUCUCGUAUAGUCACCAACUGACGCUCACAGUCGAUGACAGCGCCGAACCGGCUCAGCCAGUCCAUGCCCACGAUGACACAGACAUCCCCCAUCGCGAUAGGAAUCAGAUCAAUUGGGAAUCCAAUCCCGAAAAUCUCUAGUACACAUCCCCGAAGAACCUCCGUAGCACAAAUCACCUUCUCGUCAGCUAUAGAAACUCUCAAAGGUCGACUCAACGACUCACGACUAACGCCGAUAUGCUGACUAAAGGCUAAGGACACAAAGGACCUACUCGCACCCGAGUCAAAUAACACUAAGGCAGGCACAGAGUUCACAAGGAAAGUACCUACGCGCAUAAUAACAUAAGCAUAACAUAUCGACAUUAAAAUAAUUACAUGAAUUACAACAUACCUGCCACAACAUCGGGCGCAGCGCGGACCUCCUCCGCAGUCAGCUGAAAGGCUCUCCCACGAGCCCUCGGGGCCUCGACCUUCACCGGUCGAGUCUCAGUAGUCCUGGCAACAGGUGCAGAUCCCUGACGAAGCUGAGGGCACUCGGCCUUCCGAUGGCCGGUCUGGUUGCAAUGAAAGCAAACCAUAAAUCCCUUGGGACACUCCCUAGCAAUGUGUCCCUCCUUGCCACACUUGUAGCAAGCACCGGCUCGACACGCCCCAUCGUGACCCUUACCGCACUUUACGCAAGUGCGGUUCUUCGAACCUCCCGUCCUCGAAUCGGCGGACUUGAUCCGCUUGGCUGCCGGCUGAGACUGAGCCGGCCGCCGGUCUGCCUGCUGAGACUCGGCCUCCUCCCUGGCCUGAGUCUCUAACUCGAUCUCACGCUUCCUGGCAUUCGCCUGAAGCUCAGUAAAAGUAUGGUAAGUGGAGUUUGACACAAACUCCCGGAUCUCCCUCCUCAGAACACCCAAGUACCGGCUCAUCCGAGCCUGCUCUGUGGACACCAGCUCGGGGCAAAACAUCGCCCUCUCAUGAAACUUCCGCGUGAUUGCCGCCACCGAAUCAGUACCCUGCUUGAGGGUUAAGAACUCCUGAACCAAUCGUUCCCUCUCCACCGGGGGAACGUACUCGUCCCUGAACAUGGCAGUAAACCCCUCCCAUGUCACUGCUGUAGUCUCUGCCAAAGUGAAGUUCGCCGUCACGAACUUCCACCAGUCCUUCGCUCCCAGACGGAGCUGGUUCAAAGCGAACCGUACCCUCAGGUGCUCCGGGCAUGAACAAGUGUAGAAGCACCCCUCUAUAUCCGCGAUCCACCUCAUCGCAGCAAUCGGAUCCUGCGUCCCAUCGAACUCUGGUGGCUUCGUGUUGCUGAACUCUCGGAACAGCAACGAGUCACCCCCCUGUGGCCUAGCAGCGGCCAUAGCUGCGGUAGCUGCAGCGGUUGCAGCCUCAGUCAAUGCGGCGUACCGCUCAUCAAACGUCUCCAUCAGGGUGGUCUUAAUAGACCCAAACAUCUCCGGGAUCUCAGCCCGGAUCGCCGCAGCUACCUCCUCGUGAAUCAUCUGACGAAUCUCCUCGUCACUCACACCGCUCGAACUCGCUCCGUGGCGUGGUCUAACCAUGAUGUCUCUGAAAUACAACAUAAAACUAUCAGAGACUCCAUCGAGUAUAAUCGCACUCGAUAACGCAACCCUACUCAGUCUCCGAUAUCCAGGGAUUCUUACUUGGGUCUCCCACUGACCCGGUGUCUUCGGUAGUACGGGCCCAAUACUACCGACCACACCGCAUCAGCAUUCAUCCCAAAUCUUCCUCCCCAAACCCCGGAUAGUGAGUACUCUACUUCUGUUAUGCACUAUCUACUCGUACACUAGCAAAGCAUCUCAUAUCGGCAAACUUCCCUAGACUAAGGCAUCACAAAUCAGGCCACUCUAGUCCUAUCAUGAAUACCUAGUCUUCUAGCAUGCAUAACAAUUCAUAUCAUAUAAUAUUGUAAGGUAUUUUGGGGAUCUUUACCGUUCGGGCGCUGACUGAUCGUACACACUGCUUCUUUCUUGCUUACCACAAAACCAUUUACAAAAGUUUAUGCCUUUAUUUAAAAAGUUUUCCUCAAAUCCUCGGUUUGAGUUCAGUUACUCCCGAAGGUGCACCCGAAUCCCUCAAACCAAGGCUCUGAUACAAAGUGUAACAACGCAAAUUUUCAAACAAAUUUUUCAUUUUAAAAAUAAAGUAUUUCCAUUCAAAACAAGGCAUAAAUAAUUUAAGUGUCAUGUCAAAUACAAACUGUCUAAAUCCCAAGAUCAUAAAAACAUCCUUCAGUGUGUAUCGAUCACGCCGGCGCCUUCCCACGGUCCUCGCUAGUACCUGAAACACAUACAUAACAACUGUAAGCAUAAAUGCUUAGUGAGUUCCCCAAUAUACAACUUACGCACAUACGCCUUUCCAGGCCCUGACCUUCCGGUCCAUGUGUCUCAGGGGACUUCCGUCCCUGCUGGGUAAACCUUCCGGUCCUACCCACGCCGACCUUCCGGUCCAUCACACAACAUAUCGCCUUCCGGCCCAUAACAUAUUGCCUUCCGGCCCAUAAUAUAAUCGCCUUCCGGCCCAUGACAUACAUAGCACAUAUAACAAAUAACUUACCACAUAUAGCAUACAUAUCACAUAUCAUAUCCGACCUUCCGGUCACACAGUCAAACCCUUCCGGGUACAGUAUAGUGAGAAGACUCACCUCGCGGGUAAUGAAAGCUAGCGACUCCUGAAAUCACUCGCACUCGAUCCGCCGAGCUACAGACUCCCUAUAAUAUCAUAUAUCCCUUAUUAAUACUUUUAUCUUUCAAGACAACUGACCCUAAGAAAUUACAUGUAGGUCAACUCUGGUCAACGGUCAACUUGACCGGACUCGGCGAGUGCAAAGGCGACUCGGCGAGUCUAGACGUCCUCCCCAACUUUCCCUGAUGUUCCCUUUCUACUCGUCGAGUAUCCCUCUUGGCUCGACGAGAUCCUCGUGGAAGAAUCGCGGGGCCACCCCGACUCCACUCGUCGAGUCUGAAGAACAGCUCGACGAGUUCCAUUCAAUCUCCAAGCUACUCGCCGAGUCUGUUCGUCGGACUCGGCGAGUCCCUGCCAUGCAGUCGAUCAAACUGCUUCCUGAGAUACGUAUUGUCCCGAAAUACACAAGCAUGGGACCUUCUGGACCUCUAAAGGUCCUAAUACAGGGUUAUAGUCGUUUGGGUAACAAGGUACUAAUCCAUCUAAUCACCAAAUGGGUUCCAUAAACCCUAAAUCCAUGCACACAUCAACAUAACAGAAAAGAUCCAAAAUAUUACCUGAAUAAUGCACUCUCUGUGUCCCCAAACCGCAGAACUCGAAUCCCUUGCUGUUCCUUUAGCCAAAACUCUUCUCCUCCUUGCACAACAAUUUCUUCAAGGCCCUAAUAUCCUUCAAUCUUGCUCUAGAUGCCCACAGCCGUUUAGGGUUCUUCUUAGUCGACUAAAGACGGACAAUGACGGCCUAUAAGUGCAUUAUAUACGUUCCAAAACCAAACGGCUAGGGUUUCCGCUGAACAGCGCAGACUCGCCGAGUCCAUAAUGGACUCGUCGAGUCCAGUCGCGAAACCGCGACCCAGUCUGUGGUCCUGCUCGGCGAGUCUGGCUCCAACUCGCCGAGUCCCCUCCUAAAACACCCCAAAAACAAUAUUAUAAAAAUACCUGGAAUUCCGGGCUGUUACAAAAUGACCCUAAUUGGAAAGGAAUUUUACCCACUCCAACACUUUUAAAAUAACAUCAAAACAAGUGGAAAGGAAUUUUACCAAAUCCAUCUAAAGGGAUUCAAAGAUUUACACGUGCUAAACCUCGUUCAAAACAAACUUUUUAGAAAUCAAAUGUUAAAUCUUUCAGAAGUUAUCCACCUCGGACCAAUACCAAGUCCAAUUCACCCUAUAAACCGCUGACCAAGCAUAAUGUCAGAUUCAAUGACAAACCCUCUUUUUGUAAAUGUCAGUGCAGUUGUCAAAAGUUUUUAUCUCAUGUCAAGUCAAAUCAAAGUCAGAAAUCUCGUACUUUUCAGAAACCUCAUAAUAAUCGAAAUUUGAACAAACGCCCAGGACUAGGUCUAAAAGUUGACAAAAGACCUUUCCAUGCAACCUCGGACCAUGCAUCAUUUAAGAAUACAUCAAUCGUCCCUGGCUCCAAACUUGUUUGGAUGCCUAAACUAACCGUGUAAUUCUCAGGCUUUGUGCAAGGAGGAACAAGAAGAAGAAUGGUUAACUGACAGUGCCUGCUCCUUGCACAUGACCGGAAGGUUAGAGUACCUUCGGGAUUUCAAGCCUAUAUGCAAUGGUGGAAAUGUCACGUUUGGCAACAAUGCAAACGGUGUCAUCCGAGGUUAUGGUGUUCUCACUACGGGGAACUUUUCCAUUAAGAAGGUUGCUUAUGUAGAAAGCCUUAAACACAAUCUUAUCAGUGUUGGCCAACUAUGUAAAGCAUGACAUCGCGUUGAAUUUGAUGAUCAAUUCUGUUAUAUAAUGACGAGUGAUCGCAACACUUGCUUAAUCAAAUCUCGCUCCGAAGGCACGAUCUAUCCUCUGGAUGUUUCUCUCAUCAUUGGUAAACCGUAGCUGUGUUUUCUGUCCAAAGCUGUAUCCGAAGUUUGCUGGCUAUGGCAUCGCAAGCUAACUCAUCUCAACUUUCGGUACAUCAACAACCUCGUCACAGGAGAACUAGUCUGUGGUCUCCCAAUUCUGAAAUUCAGCAACGAUACCCUUUGUCCAGCGUGUGAAUGCGGUAAACAAUCAAAAGCAAGCCAUCCUCUGAUAACGUAUUCUUCUAUCUCUGAACCACUGGAGCUACUACACAUUGAUCUCUGGGGUCCCUCAACCGUAGCCAGUCUUCACCAAAAAAAGUAUAUACUGGUUAUUGUUGAUGACUAUACACGCUUCACAUGGGUCUUUUUUCUCAGACUCAAAUCAGAGACACCACAAAUCUUCAUUAACUUCAUCAAAGAAAUCAAACUUCAGAUCAAGCUUCCAGUCAGACGCAUCCACACUGAUAAUGGAACCGAGUUCACUAAUCAUCUUUUGAACAGUUUCCUAGUUUCCAAAGGCAUCUCUCACAAGUUUUCAGCACCCUAUACACCGCAACAAAAUGGUGUAGUAUAAAGAAGGAACCGCACACUCGUUGAAGCAGCCAGAUCCAUGCUUAACUUCACCCAACUUCCUUUCUACUUCUGGGCCGAAGCAGUAGCAACCGCAUGCUUUGUUCAAAACCGAAGUAUCGUGUGAAAGCGUCUAAAUAAAACACCAUAUGAAGGUCUUAACAAUCGCAAACCCAAUGUUCGUUUUUUUCAUAUCUUUGGAUAUAGAUGCUUCAUGAUCAAUAAUAGAGACCAACUCAACAAGUUUGCACCAAAGUCUGACGAAGGUAUCUUCCAUGGUUAUUCCUCUAACAAGGUUGCAUAUCGAGUGCUCAUCAGAAGAACAAGGUUGAUCAUUGAAAGAUUUGAUGUGAAAUUUAAUGACUCUCACAUACGCAUUGCACCUCUGUGCACCGAAACCACCGCAAUCAUGGAAAGUGACAUUCCAGCCGCUAUGGACCUCUGAAUCUAGUUGAAAUCAACUAUGAUGAUCUUUUUGAUCCCAUUGAAACGGCGAAACUAUCCGAAGUUCUAGUGUCACCCGCAGCUCAACAACAACAUGCCGACAUAUCUGGACCAUCUCUAUCUGAAGUAAUAUUGCUCAAUACUUCCACCUCUCCGGUUGAUGGGGAAAGCUCUACUCCCGAUCUUGUUGCAACCGUUGAGGUUCCAGUACCUGAUGCUGCUUACAUUCCAGCCUGAAGUGAAGCUUCACCAUCAAACGAACCUUCGGAGGACUCAGAUGACGAUUUUAUAGAGAAUAUUGACACUAGAUCCGAUCCUAGAAUUGUCACUCUCCCAUCUGCAUUCCAGGGGGAACCUUCUCAGGUUCCAGAGGAACUCCUAUCCACAUUCCAGGGUUAACCUCAACCUCUGCCGAUUCCUCAAGUAAAUUCUGGUCCAAUAGAUCAAGAUGAUUUAGCAGGAUGUUCUCAAGUCCAGGGGGAACUGCCAUCCCCAACCGCAGAUUCCUCUGACAUCCAAGAUAUCCCUUCUACCACAGUUGCUGAUCAUCUGAUCAUCUUCAUGUAUGGACAAAAGACCACCCACCAGGUCAAAUUAUUGGCAACCCAUCUGCACGUAUCUAGACUCGGUCUUCCAAGGACCAAUCUAAUCACUACCAUUAUGCAACAUUUAUGUCUUCGGUUGAACCUAGAACGAUCAAAGAAGCUUUGCUUGAACCAGACUGGAUAGCCGCAAUGCAAGAAGAAUUGGAAGAAUUUGAAAGAAACAAAGUAUGGAAACUUGUUCCUCUUCCACAAGGUCAUACUAUUGUUGGUACUGAUGGGUUUUGAGUAUUCUAACACUUCCUAAGUGAACAUGCAACCCUAAUAACCUUGGAUCUAUGUUUGUCUAAUUAUCAUGCAAAGUUGAAUUCCAAGGUUAUAUUCCUAUCUAGCAUACAUGGGGAACAAUUUUAACUUGAAUCAUAGAUAGAAUAACUUACCUUGUUGUUGCUUGUGUUCCUUGAAACCUUGUGAGCCUAGCACCCCAAGUGUGAUGCCUCAAAUGCUUCACACAACACCAAAUGCUCUUGGAAAGACUCUUGAGAUAACACACACUUCUCAAAAUCGGCCAAGCCCUCUAGUUUCUUAGUGUUCAACUUGUGUAGCCAAUUUUGUGGAGAAUGGGACUCUUAUAUAGUGUUGGCACAUCUAGGGUUACACCAUGUAAACCCUAAUGUGUCAUGACUCUUCAUUUCCAUGACCCAUGGGUUUGUAACUCCCAUGGAGCAUCCAUGGAGCAUCCUAUGGGUAGAACCCAACUUGAUAAUCCAUGGAGCCUCUUAGCCCACUAUACAAGAUAUGGAUGAUUUACAUAAUCAACCCAUAUAUUUAAUUAGUUAUCCUUUGAUCACUUAAUUAAUUCCAAAUUAAUUCUUUGAUCAACUAAUCAAAUAAUAUUAUUAAUAUAUUAGAACUUAUAAUAUAUUAAUAAUCUCCAAGUGUUAUUUCUCUCAUUUAGUCUAUCCAAUUGCAUGGUGCCAUGCAACCCAAAUGGACCAUGCCGGGUCGGGUCAAGUACAAGCCCGAAAUAGUUAUGGACUUAGACACCUUAUCCAACAGUCUCCCACUUGGAUAAGUCUAAUAACUAUAUCUCUAGUACUUCAGGAACCGACCGGCAAUCGUAGCUCUUUCAAGGUCUCUCGGAACUGAGAAGAUGAUGGUACGCCAUUUAAGAUAAGUGAUCAUAUAAUCCUCCGUUCUAGAUAUCAGCCGGACAAAUACAUGGAACAUUGUCUUGCUUAUUGUCCAGCAUUUGUUUCCCGAUUUCCGAUUUGUUUGACAUAGAACUUAAUUGAACACAUCAACUUAGUUCUGACCGGGCCCGGUACAUGGGUCAAAACAAAAUCAUCGAGGGGCCCAGAUAUCAGCUUCUAAUCCAAGAAGGAACAGAUAAACUUCGACUCAUAUGUUUGUUCUACCACUCAUUGAAUUACACACAAAAGUACGUUUUAUAACAUCGAGUUACCAAUGCGGUUUCGUACAGUCAAUGCAUAACCAACUUGUAAGUAACAAAUCAUAUCUCUAGGUUUGAAGACUUAUAUGAUAUUACCGUCUCACGAUCACUCGAGAUAGAAUUCCAUGAAGUGAUUCCAGUGAGCGUGGGUUGAGUCCAAUGCUCAGAACUUAUGAGCACUCAUGAUUGUUGUAGCCUUGUCCAACACCUUAGACCUCUACAACCCAUCAUGACAGUCUUGAUUCAUACCUACUUCCGACAUAUGACCGACUGUGGAGGUUUGAAUAAUAUGUUACACCAAACAAAAUUAUUCUGGAAGUCAAAACAUGCAAAAGAAAUAUAGUAAACGAUUGACAAGAGAUAGCAACACUUUACUCAUAAAUAAAACACCUUUUAUUCAUCAUCAAAUGUCAAUUACACUUUACAAAUUUCUGGGUUAUCUAACUACUAAA